RNAcentral lists this long non-coding RNA (109691 nucleotides) under Arachis ipaensis. RNAcentral describes it as "long non-coding RNA (AIPA_LNC000262)". Lineage: Eukaryota; Viridiplantae; Streptophyta; Magnoliopsida; Fabales; Fabaceae. The record is from RNAcentral.
UAUAACUUCAAACUCUUUUUCAACAUAUAUAUGGCAGUAUCAAGUUAGAGAAGUUGGCUGUUAUGAGAGUGAGAGCAAUUCUUGGCUGCAUCAUCGUACAUGAAUGGUUGACGUACUUUAGAGCUCACAUGAUUACAUAAAGAAGUCACAUCUCGUAUGACUGUAUGUAACAACUGGUACCAAUUGUAGGUAGAAAAGAGAUCAAACAGUACAGAAACUGAAGGAAAUGGGUAAAAUCCAAUGUGGCUUUACCCUUCCCCAGGUCAUAUGUGUUCUUUACUGAGAAAGGAAAAAACAAUGUGUGACAAAUGGCAGGCUUUUGAGAGACCUGACCCUCUCCUAGUCUGAUUCUAAUCCCAACAAUCUGAAUGCCCUCCUCAGCAUUUUGUCACCUCCCAAUAUACUCCCCAACUCUCUUUUCUAACAAAAUUAUUUCACUACCCUUCCCCACCAGUCUUGCCGCCCAGAGUUACCAGUUCCUCGGGCCCAUAUUGCGCUCCCCUCCUCCCCGUCCUGAGCAUUUUGUUUUCCCACAACCGAGAUUUACUCAUUUCAUUCUCACCAUUAACCAUUUUAUCACUUUCCCUGCGUGUGUUUGUCUGCAUAUAUUUUGUUUUGAAUGUGUUAACUUUGUAAAUUACACAAAAUUAUUGGAUUGUUUUCUCAAUUUUCCUUCCCCCCGGCUUUGGGUGUUGAAGAAUUUACGAGGGUGUGAUCCACAAGGGCGAGUUUAUUAUUAAUGUAAACACCGGCAAGAAGAUCAAGGUAAAAUCUAAGGCUUUUUGUGAUUGUGUUAUUCAUGGGCAUAUGUGCAACUGAAUCCUGGAAUUUUUUUUGGCUAAUGCUAUGCUAUAAAUCAUAGGUGUAACUCUCAAGAUUUUUCCAAACACAACUUUGCAGUAGUGUUUUGUUGAAAUCUUCAGCUUUUUAUUAUUUCCUUUAGAUUUCAUCUUGGGAAGAGUAAUAAAUUACAUGACAUAAGAUUAUAGCAAUUAUUCAAUUUUAAUCUACCCUGGGUUCAUGAAUUUCUUUAAAACUAUGCACCAAAAUUUUGUUGUUGUGCUACCAGUGAUGUAAUAUUUUCACUAGUUAGAUCAUUAGGUCUGUGCUUUCAUGUAUUGCAUUUCAAAAUUAGAAUGAAUUUUUGGCUAAAUGUUUUUCUUAAUGGAUGCAGGUUCCUCGCUUAGUUAGGAUGCAUUCUGAUGAGAUGGAGGUUAGGUUUUGGAUUUACAGUAUUACUGGCGGAUUUUCAUGUUGUUGGUAUUUUUUUCUCAUUAUUUUUUUAUGGUAAAGAGGAACUCUUAUCCCCUUGUCCUACCCAGUUUGUUUAGUUUUCUCUUCAUAUUAAAAAAAGUCUUCUUUUAUCAAGAAAAAACAAAAAAGAAAAGAAAAGAAAAGAAAAAGAAACUUUUGUUGGGUAGGUUAUAGGCUAUUGUUUUUGCUAUAGAGUAACUUGGUAGGGGUACCUUUCCCUGCUUGAUUUGUUACGAAGACUGUUUAAUAUAUUUCAAUAAUUAAAUAUAUUUAAUAUUCAAUUAGGAUUUUAUCCAAAUUGCAGGACAUUCAAGAGGCUCAUGCAGGGCAAAUAUUGAUUUCUGGAAUCCUAUAUUGUACCUUUAUUUAUUCAAGAUUUAAUUAAGGGUCUUGUUAACAAGUGUUAAGGCACUUACUAAGAAUACUAUAAGAACAAGUAAAUGUUAAUUUUUUUUUUUAAUUUUUCUGUGCACUUAAUGCAAACCAAAACUUUUCUAUUUUCUCUCUUAACCAAUGCCCAUAGGAAACUCUCAAGUUAAAUCUUUUAAAUUAAUUUGUAAGGCUCUAAUUGUAUAGUUUAAUCAAUUUUUUAGGCUUAAUUACUGUCAAUCCUUCUCAACAGCUGUUAAACAUUCUGAAUUUCUGAUAAUUGAGUCUUUUGUUGUUAGCAGUCUCUGCCUAUUGAUGUAGAGAAUGAAUUGCACUCAAUUUUGAACUUAAUCUUGUAGUAAUAUGUUGCCUAAGUUAGUUUAUAUUGGCCUUAAUACAUGAUUACUUGUCUAGCUUUUUUCCAUCCAUUGGUUAUUAGGAGAUACUUUUACCGAUGUAUCAGUUAAAUACACAAUGACUUCCAUGAAUGUUCCUGAACCUGUAAUGUCAUUAGCUGUACAGCCAGUUUCAAAAGAUUCUGGAGGGCAAGUAAGUAGUUUCUUUAUGUAACACACUGACCACCCUGUCCCAGCUUAUCAUGUAUUUGAUUUUCUUGGUAUAUCACUUGCAGUUUUCAAAAGCUUUGAAUCGCUUCUAGAAAGAGGAUCCUACAUUCCGUGUUGGUUUAGACCCAGAGAGUGGGCAGGUAAUGUUCUAUUCUAUUUAUCUAGAUCAUAAAAGUGGCAAAUUUGUUGUACUUGCAAUGACAUAGUUUACCUUUGUUGUUAGACUAUCAUUUCUGGAAUGGGAGAACUACAUUUAGAUAUUUAUGUUGAACGUAUUCGGAGAGAGUAUAAGGUACCUAUUCCUUUCCCAUGCAUUAAUGUUAAUCCUUGCUGAUACUGGUUUUAUAUUUCCUGCUUCUGGAGUUUCAUUAUUAUGUUCCUACUUGUUAAGGUUGAUGCAACUAUUGGAAAGCCCCAUGUAAACUUCAGAGAAACUGUUACACAACGUGCUGAUUUUGAUUAUUUACACAAGAAGCAAUCUGGAGGGCAAGGUCAAUAUGGACGGGUAAUCGGGUAUGUAUCGGUAAUUUUUAUAUUAGUUACCAUAUCCAUGUGUAUAAAUAUCCUUUUUCUUUUCUCAAUAAAAGUGUAAUAAUCCUUAGAUUUAAAACAAAUUGGAUAAAGCCUUCUUCUCUUUGCUGUGGUUCUGGUUCUGGGCUAAUGGCUUCCGUAUAAAGUAUAUCUUACUUUAUGAUAGCAGCUGAUUGUGAAUUUGUGAUGUUCCAACUUAUCCCUAAUCACCUUUUGUUUCUUGAUGCUUAGUGAAUUCACUAUGUUCUAUGUUUGCAGGUAUAUUGAACCACUUCGGGCAGGAUCACCAACUAAAUUCGAAUUUGAAAACCUCCUUGUUGGGCAAGCUAUUCCAUCAGGUUUUAUCCCUGCAAUUGAAAAAGGUUUUAAGGAAGCCGCCAACUCGUGAGUGAAAUUUUCAUCAUUGCUUAUUUGUGAUUUCUACUUUAAGUCUAAUUGUUGUUCAACAUAUAUUAUCUUAUUCCCCAUGAAUGUAAUAAAGACCACCGAAAAAUGUAAUGAUGGAAUAAGUGAGCAUUCAAAAGUAAUUUAUGGGGACUAAGAAUGUAAUAUUGAGGAAGCCAAAGUUCAUUCAUAGGCAUAUUUACGAAACAUCAAUUUUAUUAUGCGAUUCAGCCAUGAUAGUAUUACAAUACUCAUUUUAUGGUAACGUAAUGUUGCUUUCAUACAGGGGGGCUUUAAUUGGACAUCCUGUUGAAAAUCUUAGAGUUGUCUUGACAGAUGGUGCUACUCAUGCCGUUGAUUCUAGUGAACUUGCAUUUAAGUUGGCUUCUAUCUAUGCUUUCAGACAGGUUCUUUACAAUUCCGCAUCCAUAUUCAUAACAUUGCACAUAUCAUCCUGAUAAUAUUGUCCAUAGUUUUGUUCUCAUAGUAAUGACCAUAUUCUUUGAUAUUUGUAUCAGUGCUAUACAGCUUCCAGGCCAUUUAUAUUAGAACUUGUUAUGCUUGUUGAGCUGAAAGUACCAACAGAAUUCCAAGGAGCUGUUGCUGGUGACAUUAACAAGUGGGGUUCUUAUUUUAUUCUAUCCUUGUUUCUCUUUUCAAAUGGUUUAUUUAUGAUAUUGGUUUAUUUAUGAUAUUUUUAUCUAUGGUAUUGGUUUAUGAUACUGGUUUAUUUUAUUCUAUCUUUGAUAUUGGUUUAUUUAUGAUAUUUUUAUCUAUGGUAUUGGUUUAUGAUACUGGUUUAUUUUAUUCUAUCUUUGAUAUUGGUUUAUUUAUGAUAUUUUUAUCUAUGGUAUACGAUGUCAGAUUUUUUUUUUUUAUUAAAUUUUAAUUUAGGUUAAGAGUUUUUAAGUCAUCUUAAUUAGUGGCUAGAAAAACUGACAGAAUGCUUUUUGAAAAAACUGACAAAACCUAUGCUUUGCCUCUGAUACCACUUUUAGACGGUGAUUAUAAUGUGAAAAAGGUUAAUGAACUCCUCAAUUUUUAGAUUUAUAUACACUAAUUAAUUAUUACUCAUAAUUAUAAUAUAUAAUAAAGAAGAACAUGAUGAGUCCUAAUUGAUCUUAAUUAAUUCUAGUAUAUCCUAAUCGAUACAUAAACACACUUUAAUAUAAUAUUAAUCAUAGUUAUCAGAACCAAAUGACCAGGUGACCCGAUUACUGAAUCAACUGGUGGGUCACUGGUUUAUCCGGUUGAUCCGGUCAUAAUUUAAAAAAUAUAAAUUAUAUAAAUAAAAUUAAAAUUACAUACUAAAACUUAAAAUGUAAGUCUUUACAAAUAUAAUAAUAAUCAAAUGUUAAUUUUUAGACAACUAAUGAUGCAAAAAAAGAUAAUAAAUUAAUUUUUAAUACAAAAUAUUUUUUCUAUUUAAAUAAACAAGAACAAGCAAAAGAUAACAUAAUUGAUAAUCAAGUCCAAGUGAUCUUAAAAUCGAAAUUUAUAUCUUCAUAGGAUAAAUUUGGAGCUUGAUCAACAUUUUUCUCAUUUUGAUUUGCAUCUAUAUCUUUCAUAAGAAACACUGUAUUAUGAUGCAGAACAUCAGAAUAAGAGAAAGAAGAGUUUGAAGAGAGAGAUACAAGAAACUAGUUGCAUUGUAUGAUAACUAUGAUAACUUUCAGGGAGCAACAAAAAUAUAAACUAUGAUAACUUUCAGGCAGCAACAAAAAAAAAAACAAGAAAAUUGAAACAGAAAGAACAGGGGGAAUUCAUUAACAAAUUCAAGGUUCAUGAUAAUCAGUAACAAAUUUCAGCAACACAUUCGGUUUUCAGCAACAAAAUUAAAACAGAAAGAACAGGGGGAACUCACCAAAUCGGGUUGCACAAAGGAAUCUGACGGCGAAGGAGAAGCUGAUGGCAAGGGAGAAGCUAACGGCAAGGCUCGAAGCAAGAAGACGACAACGAAGACCAGUCCACCGGGACCUGUUGCCUCUAUUACCGGGGACGAAGAGCGCAGGGAAGGGAGAGAUCGAGACCAGGUGCGAGACAGAGACCGUGAGAAGCAAGAAGAUGACCACCACCACUACCCGAGGGACCAGAUGCGGUUCCGUCUGCUUCUGCCGCCAACGAAGCGAACACCGGGGCACGGGACCGCGACGACGACCAAGGUGAGUGGACGAGGUGAGAGACUGAGAGAGCGACGAGGUGAGGCCGUGAGAGACUGAGAGUGACGACUGUCGAGGUGAGGGGAGAGACGAGAAAGGGACUACUGAGUAUUGAGUUCCGACUGCCGAGCUAGAGAUGGAGAGAUCACAGAGACUGGCUGGAUUAGGGGGGUUUUACUUAGACUCUCAGAGUCAAGAGUCUCAGAUUUGGCAUUUAAGCAUAGGGUUUCAUCUAAAGGGAAAGGUUAGGAGGGGGGUUAUGAAAGGACGCCGUUUCAAGUAUUAGGAAGAAAAAAAAAUAAGAACGACCCGAAUCGGGUUAAAUUAACCGGCCGGGUCAUUGGAUUUCACGAAAACCCGUUUGGUCGAACCGGGUUCGACCGGGUCUGUUGCACAACCAGUUCAACGAGUGGCUUGGCCCGACCAAGUAACGAAGUGACCGAAUUUUCGGUCGAACCGGCCAGGUCAAGCCGGAUUUGAUAACUAUGUCUACAAUAGACCACAAAUAGAGAUACAAAUAUCCUACACAAUAUAAUUUGCAACAUCCAUGUACAGGUCUCCAACAUUCAUUAAAAGUUUUCAACUAUCGUCAUUUUGAUCUACAUUAUUACUUAAUAGACCAAAAAUUACAACAGGUGGAUAGCUUUUUGUCAUCUCCCAAAGCAAUCACUCGAUAUUUCCUCACAACAUCCUUCAUUAUUUUUCCUCCAUCUUAUGUUAUAUGUCCAUUCCCUUUGUAGCAUUUAGUAACAUGAUACAUAUAUAGAGAUAUCUUUUAGUCAUCACAAUAUGUUUUUAGAUGCCCUUUAUAUCAAUGCAUAUCUCAACUUUGCUUUCUUCCUUCUUUCUUUCUCUUUUUAUUUCUUUCUCUCUUUUUGCUUAACUCAUUUUCUUCCUUGACAUCUUUUGAUUGUAAAUUAUUAAUUUUUUUUAAUCCAAAAUGGGACAAAGUGAUCCCAGAGAUUGUGUUUCUUGAACUUCUCAACUUUUUUAAUGAAUAAUAACAUUCUGUGUGAUCUGAUAUAUUUCAAUUAACAAAUUAACAUAGACAAUAAUAAAAGACAGAAAUAUGGUUGGUCUAACAAGCAGUCAUCAAUUGCAUAACCAAAAAAGAGUCGCAUUCCGUGAAUAAAGGAUAAAUUGAGAAUCGCAAACAAUCAUAUGCAAGACACUUAUUAAAUUGUAUUUAAUGAAGAUCGAUUAGUGAACCUAAAUGGUAAGCAAAACAGAAGCAAACUAAGGCCUUCAUUCUUCCAUUUGUCUUUAAUUAAAUUCAAAUGACAAGCAAAUUAAGUCCCUAAAAUGUUAACUAGUUCAUUCUUUUAUAAAGCAGCAAGGUUUAAUCAUACACAAGCAAAUUAAGCCUCUAUUUGGGAAGAACACAUCACAAAUAUUAAAAAGCUCUAACUAAAUUGAAUAAAGUUUAAUCACACUGUAUUUUCAUCUCAUAAAGAGGCAACCCAGAACCAACCUAAUAAAAAAGAUAGAUGAACAAAGAAAUUUAAAAAUUGAACUAAUCCAUAUUCUUAACUAAUCAAGUCAUCAAUAUUCAAUAAUCAAUUAAUCAAAAAUCAAGAGAUGCACAGAAAAGUAGAAGAAAAAAUACGUCAUCAAUGUCCAUUUUAUUAAGCAAAUUCUAGUGCCAAAGCUCUAUCAUUCGAGAAAAUGACACAAAACAAUCAUACAAAAUACCAUAGUUUAAAAAUAAAUAAAUUCAAUUCACAGAGCAAGAGGAAAAAAUAUUUAGAUAAAAUCAAACAAGAGACACAAAUUUAGGUUCCAAAUUGAGAAAUGACAACAAAUAGAAGAUAAAGAAGGAGAACGCAUACCUAAUUUUCUGAAGGAAGGAGACGUUCGUUGCAGUGCUGGUAGCAGAGUUUGCAGGCGGCGGCGGAGCCUGCUAGUGGAUAGAAUAGCGGCGGUGUGCGUAGAGAAAGCAAAAGGUAAGGUUAGAGAGGGAGUACAGAGUAGAGAGCACAGCAGCAGCGAAGAGAGGAGAAGUGAGCAGAUCGGCAUCGAGCUCAAAGGUUGCAGCCUCAACAGCAAUAGUAACAGUGUACAAUGAAGAAAUCAGAGGGAUGCUGGAGAAAGAAGUGGCUGCCGUUCUGGUCUACGACAGGGUGGGAGACUGAGGGGCUAUGGAAGAAGAAUAUUGGAGAUUCGAAAGUAGUGGGUAUUGUUGGGUAAGCAAAGAGAAAAUGGAAUGUCAUAGUUGUUGGGGUAUUUUUUGGAGUGUUUGUCACUCAUGUAUUAAUUUGAAAUCUUUAGAUUUUUUAUUUUUGUUAAUAGUUUAUNAUAUUAUAAAAAUAUGUUAUAGGUGUGUAUUAAACCAAAGAUCUCUCACUUAGUGCAAAACCCUAAAAAAUACCCUAAAAAAUCCUAGAAAACUCCUAAAAACUCCUAAAAAAAAUUCUAAAGAAUUCUGGAAAACCCUAGAAAACCCUAAAAAACCCUAGAAAACUCUAGAUAACCCUAGAAAACUUUAGAAAAACCCUAAAAAAUCCUAAAAAAAUCUAAGUACCCUAACAAACCCUAGAAAAUCCUAGAAAAUCCAAGAAAAACCCCUAAAAAAUCCUAGAAAAUCUUAGAAAAUCCUACAAACCCUAGAAAAUCCUAAAAAUUCUAAAAAAACACUUGAAAAAUCCUAGAAAACCCUACAAAACCCUAGAAAUUCCUAGAUAACCCUAGAAAACUUUAGAAAAACCCUUGAAAACCCUAGAAAACAAUAGAAAAAUCCUAGAAAACCUUAGAAAAAUCUAGAAAAUCCUAGAAAAACCCUAAAAAUCCUAAAAACCAUAAAAAAUAUAAAAAAAAACACUAAAAAUCCUAGAAAAUUUUAGAAAACCCUUGAAAACAACCUAGAAAACUUUAGAAAACCCUAGAAAACCCUAGAAAAAUCCUAGAAAACCCUAAAUAACACUAGAAAAUCUUUGAAAACCCUAGAAAACCCUAGAUAACCCUAAAAAUCAUAAAAAAUCCUAGAAAAAACCAUAAAAAAUCCUAGAAAAACCAUAAAAAUCCUAGAAAACCCUAAAACCAUAAAAAAAUCCAAGAAAAUCCUACAAAAAAACUUAGAAAACCCUAGAAGAUCCUAGAAAAUCGUAGAAAAACCAUAAAAACCCUAGAAAAUCCUAGAUAACCCUAAAAAAAUCCUAGAAAACCCUAAAAAAUUCUAGAAAAACCAUAGAAAACCAUAGAAAAACCUAGAAGAUCAUAGAAAACUAUAGAAAAACCCUAGAAAACCCUAGAAGAUCCUAAAAAAUCCUAGAAAACCGUAGAAAUCCCUAGAAAUCUCUAGAAAUCCCUAAAUAACACUAGAAAAUCUUUGAUAACCCUAGAAAAUCCUAAAAAAAAUCUUAGAAAAUAAUAAAAACCCUAAAAAUCCUAGAAAACCCUAGUAAAUCUUAAAAAACACUAAAAAGUCCUAGAAAACCAAAGAAAACUCUAGAAAAACCUAGAAAAUCCAAGAAAACAAUAGAAAAAUCUUAGAAAACUGUAGAAAAAUCUAUAAAACCCAAGAAAAAUCCUGAAAAAUUCUAAAAACCAUAAAAACACCCUUGAAAGUCCUAAAAACUCUAGAAAUCCUAGAAAAAACCUAAAAACACAUGAAAACUCUAAAAACAAAAAAAAACAUUAGAAGAUUCUAAAAAAUCCUAGAUAACCUUAGAAAACCCUAGAAAAACAUAAAAAACCCUAGAAAACCCUAGAUAACCCAAGAAAAACCUUAGAAAACACUAAAUAACCAUAAAAAAUCUUAGAAAAUACAAAAAACCUAAAAACCCUUAAAAAAACCAUAGAAAAUCCUAAAAAAAUCCCUAGGAAACCCUAGAAAAUUCAAAAAAAUCCUAGAAAAUCAUAGAAAAUCCUAGAUAACCCAAGAAAACCCUAGAAAAAUCCUAGAAAACCUAAGAAAAAAUCUAGAAAACUCUAGAAAACCCUAAAAAACCUUAAAAAAUCCUAGAAAAAACAAAAAAAAAAUCCUAAAAAACCCUAAAAAAAUCCUAGAAAACCCUAAAAAUCCUAAAAACUCUAGAUAAACCCAGACAAAACCUAGAAAAUCCUUGAAACCCCUCAAAAACCUAAGAAAAUCCUAAAAAACCUAGAAAACACUAGAAAAACCCUAAAAAACAAUGAAAAAAAGUCUAGAAAAUCCUAAAAACCUAGAAAAAACCUAGAAAACCCUAGAUAACCAUAAAAAAACCCUAGAAAAUUCUAGUAAAACCCUAAAAAAAUCCUAGAUAAUACUAGAGAACCCUAGAAAACCUUAGAUAACCCUAGAAAAUCCUAGAAAAAUCCUAAAAAACCAUAGAAAAAUCUAGAAAACUCUAAAAAACCCUACAUAAUAUCAUUUGCAACAUCCAUGUACAGGUCUCCAACAUUCAUUAAAAGUUUUCACCUAUCAUAUUUUAAUCUACAUUAUUACUUAAUAGACCAAAAAUUACAGCAGGUGGAUAGCUUUUUGUUAUCUUCUGAAGCAAUCACUCAAUAUUUCCUCACAACAUCCUUCAUUAUUUUCCUUCCAUCUUUUGUUAUAUGUCCAUUCCCUUUGUAGCAUUUAGCAACAUGAUACAUAUAUAGAGAUAUCUUUUAAUUUAGUCAUCACAAUGUGUUUCUAGAUUCCCUUUAUAUAAAUGAAUAUCUCAACUUUUCUUUCUUCCUUCUUUCUUUCUCUUUUUAUUUCUUUCUCUUUUUUUGCUUAACUCAUUUUCUUCCUUGACAUCUUUUUAUUGAAACUAUUAAUUUUGUUUUAAUCCAAAAAGGGACAAAAGUGAUCCUAGAGAUAGUGUUUCUUCAAAUUCUCAACUUUUUUCAAUGAAUAAUAAUAUUCUGUGUGAUCUGAUAUAUUUCGAUUAACAAAUUAACAUAGACAAUAAUAAAAGACAGGAAUAUAGUUGGUCUAACAAGAAGUCAUCAAUUGCAUAGCUAUAAAGGAGUCUCAUUACGUUAAUAAAAGAUAAAUUGAUAAUUGAAAACAAUCACAUGCAAGACACUUAUUACAUUGUAUUUAAUCAAGAUGGAUUAGUGAACCAAAAUGGUAAGCAAAAUCUAAGCAAACUAUGGCCUUCAUUCUUCCAUUUGUCUUUAAUUAAAUUCAAAUCACAAGCAAAUUAAGCCCCAGAAUGUUAGCUAGUUCAUUCUUUUAUAAAGCAGCAAGGUUUAAUCAUACACAAGCAAAUUAAGCCUCUAUUUGGAAAGAACACAUCACACAUAUUAAAAAGCUCUCACUAAAUUGAAUAAAGUUUAAUCACACUGUAUUUUUAUCUCAUAUAGAGGCAACCCAGAACUAUCCUAAUAAAAAAGAUAGAUAAACAACAAAAUUUAAAAAUUAAACUAAUCCAUAUUCUUAACUGAUCAAGUCAUCAAUAUUCAAUAAUCAAUUAAUCAAAAAUCAAGAGAUGCACAGAAAAGUAGAAAAAAAAUAGUCAUCAAUGUCCAUUUCAUUAAGCAAAUUCUAGUGCCAAAGCUCUAUCAUUCGAGAAAAUGACUGAUGAGCGGAUAUUUUAUACGCUUUUUGGGGUUAAUUUCAUGUAGUUUUUAGGAGGUUUUAGUUAGUUUUUAUAUUAAUUCUAGUAGUUUUUAGGAAAAAUUCAUAUUUCUGGACUCUACUAUGAGUUGUGUGUUUUUCUGUGAUUUUAGGUAUUUUUCUGGCUGAAAUUGAAGGAGUUGAGCAAAAAUCUGAUUCAGGCUGAAAAAGGACUGCUGAUGCUGUUGGAUUCUGACCUCCCUGCACUCAAAGUGGAUUUUCUGGAGCUACAGAACUCGAAAUGGCGCGCUUCUAGUGGUGUUGGAAAGUAGACAUCCAGGGAUUUCCAGCAAUAUAUAAUAGUCCAUACUUUGCACGAGGAUAGACGACGUAAACUGGCGUUCAACGCCAGUCCUCUACCCAAUUCUGGCGUUCAGCGCCAGAAAAGGAGCGAAAGCUGGAGUUGAACGCCCAAAAUGGCACAAAAACUGGCGUUCAACUCCACAAAUGGCCUCUGCACGUGAAUUGCUUAAGUCUCAGCCCAGCACACACCAAGUGGGCCCCAGAAGUGGAUCUCUAUACCAUCUGCUAUAGUUUACUCAUUUUCCGUAAACCUAGAGAAGACAGAGGAAAGCAGAGAUUCAGAAGACAAAGCAUCUCCAAAACUCCAACAUAUUCUCCAUUACUGCAUAACAAGUAACCUUUAAUCCAUGCUCUCUUGUUCAUUCGCAAUUCAAAUGAUAAACAUAAUUGACUUCCUGACUAAGAUUUACAAGAUAACCAUAGACUGCUUCAAACCAACAAUCUCCGUGGGAUUCGACCCUUACUCACGUGAGGUAUUACUUGGACGACCCAGUGCACUUGCUGGUUAGUGGUACAAGUUGUGAAACGUGUAAUUCACAAUUUGUGCACCAAGCUUUUGGCGCCGUUGCCGGGGAUUGUUCGUGUUUGGACAACUAAACGGUUUAUUUUGUUGCUUAGAUUAGGACAAAUUUCUUUUUUUUGUUUAGAGUCUCUUAUUGUUUUCGUGUUAAAAAUUUUAGAAUCCUGAUUUUCUUUUUAAAAUAUUUUUCAAAAAUAAUUUCUCUAUUAAAUCCUGUGCCAAACUUUAAGUUUGAUGUUUUCUUGUUGAUUUUCCUUUGGUUUUCGAAAAUUUUGGUUUGGUUUUCUAAAAAUUUUAAGUUUGGUGUUCUUCCUUCGUGUUCUUGAGUUUUCCUUGUGUCUUGAUCUUAAAAUUUUUAAGUUUGGUGUUCCUUUGUGUUUUUCCUUCCAAAAUUUUCGAAAAUAAGGAACAUUAGAUCUAAAAAUUUUAAAUCUUGUGCUAUCUUAUUGUUUUUCUCUCUCUUCUUAAAAUUCAAAAAUAUCUUUUCUCUCUAUUUUAAAGCAUCUUUUUCGAAAUCUAUUUCUAAAAUUUAGAUUUUUAUUUCAAAAUUUAAAACCUUUUUCAAAAAUCAUCAUAUCCUUUUCAAAAACAUCUUUAAAGAUGUUCAGCCUUAUUUGGAGGAUUCAGGGGACAUGAAAGAGCCUCUGAACUUUCUUCUGAAAGAGGAAAAACCUCCUAAACCCGAGCUCAAGCCACUGCCACCAUCCUUGAAAUAUGCAUUUCUGGGAGAAGGUGACACUUUUCCAGUGAUCAUAAGCUCUGCUUUAAAUUCACAGGAAGAGGAAGCACUUAUUCAAGUGCUAAGGACACACAAGACAGCUCUUGGGUGGUCCAUAGGUGACCUUAAGGGCAUAAGCCCAGCUAGAUGUAUGCACAAAAUCCUAUUGGAGGAUAAUGCCAAACCAGUGGUUCAACCACAGAGGCGGCUAAAUCCAGCCAUGAAGGAAGUGGUGCAGAAAGAGGUCACCAAAUUACUAGAGGCUGGGAUUAUUUAUCCUAUUUCUGAUAGCUCCUGGGUGAGCCCUGUCCAAGUCGUCCCAAAAAAGGGAGGCAUGACAGUGAUUCAUAAUGAGAAAAAUGAACUGGUUCCUACGAGAACAGUUACAGGGUGGCGCAUGUGUAUUGACUACAGAAGACUCAAUACAGCCACCAGAAAGGAUCAUUUUCCUUUACCAUUCAUAGACCAGAUGCUAGAAAGACUGGCAGGUCAUGAGUAUUACUGCUUUUUGGAUGGCUACUCAGGCUAUAACCAGAUUGCAGUAGAUCCCCAGGAUCAAGAGAAAACAGCAUUCACAUGUCCAUCAGGAGUGUUUGCUUAUAGAAGGAUGCCUUUUGGGCUGUGUAAUGCGCCUGCAACCUUCCAGAGAUGCAUGCUCUCUAUUUUCUCUAAUAUGGUGGAAAAAUUUCUGGAAGUCUUUAUGGAUGACUUCUCAGUAUAUGGAGACUCAUUCAGCUCCUGUCUUGAUCACCUGAAACUUGUUCUGAAAAGAUGCCAAGAGACCAACCUAGUUUUAAACUGGGAAAAAUGUCACUUCAUGGUGACCGAAGGGAUUGUCCUUGGGCAUAAAAUCUCAAACAAGGGAAUAGAGGUGGAUCAGGCAAAAAUAGAGGUAAUUGAAAAAUUACCACCACCUGCCAAUGUUAAGGCAGUCAGAAGCUUUCUGGGGCAUGCAGGAUUCUAUAGGAGGUUUAUAAAGGAUUUUUCAAAAAUCGCAAAACCUCUAAGCAAUCUGCUAGCUGCUGACACGCCAUUUGUGUUUGACACAGGGUGUCUGCAGGCGUUUGAAACGCUGAAAGCUAAGCUGGUCACAGCACCAGUCAUUUUUGCACCAGAUUGGACAUUACCAUUUGAGCUAAUGUGUGAUGCCAGUGAUCACGCCAUUGGUGCAGUGCGUUGUUUGAUGUAUGGGGAAUUGACUUCAUGGGACCUUUCCCACCAUCAUACUCAAACACUUAUAUUUUGGUGGCAGUUGAUUAUGUAUCAAAAUGGGUUGAGGCCAUUGCCACACCCACUAAUGAUACUAAAACAGUGCUGAAGUUCCUCCAGAAACAUAUCUUUAGCAGGUUCGGUGUCCCUAGAGUGCUAAUCAGCGAUGGGGGCACUCACUUCUGCAAUAAACAGCUUUACUCUGCCAUGGUUCGGUAUGGAAUUCGCCAUAAGGUGGCCACUCCAUAUCAUCCACAAACUAAUGGGCAAGCUGAAGUCUCUAACAGAGAAUUAAAGAGAAUCCUAGAACGGACAGUAAAUACCCGUAGAAAGGAUUGGGCACGGAGCUUGGAUGAUGCUCUGUGGGCUUACAGAACAGCAUUCAAGACCCCUAUAGGGACCUCUCCAUACCAACUUGUGUAUGGUAAAGCAUGUCACCUGCCCGUGGAACUGGAACAUAAAGCCUACUGGGCAACCAGAUUCCUAAACUUNNNNNNNNNNNNNNNNNNNNNNNNNNNNNNNNNNNNNNNNNNNNNNNNNNNNNNNNNNNNNNNNNNNNNNNNNNNNNNNNNNNNNNNNNNNNNNNNNNNNNNNNNNNNNNNNNNNNNNNNNNNNNNNNNNNNNNNNNNNNNNNNNNNNNNNNNNNNNNNNNNNNNNNNNNNNNNNNNNNNNNNNNNNNNNNNNNNNNNNNNNNNNNNNNNNNNNNNNNNNNNNNNNNNNNNNNNNNNNNNNNNNNNNNNNNNNNNNNNNNNNNNNNNNNNNNNNNNNNNNNNNNNNNNNNNNNNNNNNNNNNNNNNNNNNNNNNNNNNNNNNNNNNNNNNNNNNNNNNNNNNNNNNNNNNNNNNNNNNNNNNNNNNNNNNNNNNNNNNNNNNNNNNNNNNNNNNNNNNNNNNNNNNNNNNNNNNNNNNNNNNNNNNNNNNNNNNNNNNNNNNNNNNNNNNNNNNNNNNNNNNNNNNNNNNNNNNNNNNNNNNNNNNNNNNNNNNNNNNNNNNNNNNNNNNNNNNNNNNNNNNNNNNNNNNNNNNNNNNNNNNNNNNNNNNNNNNNNNNNNNNNNNNNNNNNNNNNNNNNNNNNNNNNNNNNNNNNNNNNNNNNNNNNNNNNAAAAAAACUAAAGAGAAAUAUUUCGAACCGUAAAAGCUUUCGACACUUAGACUUAAGGAGAUCGAGUAAAUCGACCUCGUUAGUGGCAUGACAGAAAGCUGUCAUCUAGAAUCUUUGAACCAGGACAGAAGGUUCUUCUGUUCAACUCUAGACUCAGGCUAUUCCCCGGGAAGUUGAAAUCCCGGUGGAGGGGACCAUACGUGAUUACAAGUGUAUCACCAUAUGGUUAUGUGGAGCUUCAAGAUAUUGAUUCUGAUAAGAAGUUCAUUGUCAAUGGACAGAGAAUCAAGCAUUAUCUUGAAGGCAACGUUGAGCAAGAAUGCUCAAGGCUGAAGCUAGAUUAAAAGCUCAGCAAAGUCCAGCUAAAGACAAUAAAGAAGCGCUUGCUGGGAGGCAACCCAGCCAUGGGGCAUCAAUUCUCUAAGCAUUUUGCCCUAUUUUUUAUUUUUAUUUUUAUUUGUUUAUAUAAAGUUCACUGACACUAAGGUAAAGAAUCAAUUGCAUAAAUUUACAGGGUUACAGAAGGAAUCUGCACACAAAACAGGGAUAGGGAGCUUACUGGAACGCCAGUGAGGGCCAGUUUUGGGCGUUCAGCGCCCAAAAUGGGCAUCCAGUGGGCGCUGAACGCCAGGAAGGAUAGCAAUCUGGCGUUCAACGUCAGAAAAGGGCAACAACUGGGCAUUGAACGCCCAGAAGUGCAGCAUUUGGGCGCUGAACGCCCAAAACAGGCAGUGUUUGGGCGUUCAAACGCCAGGAUGGCAGGGAGGAGCCAAAUUCAUUUUUCCACACAUAUUUCCAUUCUAAUUUCAAAAUUUUAUGUUUCAAUGCAUGAUUUUUACAUAAACAUGUUAGGAACCCUGAUUUCUAAAAUCCCCAAUUUCUAAAAAUCCCUCUUUCAAAAAUAUCAAAUAUAUCUUAAUCUAUAAGCACCACCCUCUUUGCAAAUUCAAUCCAACUCUUUUCAAAUAUUUUCUAAAAACAAAUCUAUCUUUUUCACUCUAAAAUAUUUUCAAUAUCUUUUUCAAAUCUCCAUAUUAUCUUUUUCAAAAUCUAGAUUCAUCUUUUUCAAAAAUCUAUCAUAUCUUCUCAAUUUUAAACUAUAUCUUCUAUCUUAUCUUUUUCAAAUCAAUCUUUUUAUCUUAUCUUUUCCCAAUUUUCGAAAACAACCCCCCAUUCCUUUAAAUAUGGGUUCGGCCUCCCUCCUCCUCCAUCAACAAUUGCACCUAGCUCUCCUUCCAUCCCUCUUCUUUCUUUUCUUUUGCUUGAGGACAAGCAAACCUCUAAGUUUGGUGUGUUUAUCCGAGAUCACUAAGAUCAUGGCUCCCAAAGGAAAACAACCCACUCCAAGAGGCAAGAAAGAGAGCGUUCCAAAACCACUUUGGAAUCAAGGGAAGUUCUUAUCUAAAGAACAUUCAGACCAUUAUCUUAAAGUAAUGGGGCUGAGAUCAGUGAUCCCGGAAGUUAGAUUCGAUCUGAAAGAAGACGAAUAUCCGGAGAUCCAGAAGCAAAUUCGAAUCAGGAACUGGGAAGUCCUAGCUAAUCCUGAAACGAAAGUGGGAAGGAACAUGGUCCAGGAAUUCUAUGCCAAUAUGUGGCAGACUGACAAGCAAAAACUAUCUGGAACUGCCUUCUAUGAAUUUCGGACCAUGGUCAGAGGAAAGCUUGUUCACACCACCCCUGACAAGAUCAGAGAGAUCUUAAAGCUACCUCAGCUAAAGGAUGAUCCAGACUCCUUCAACAGGAGGAUGAUGAGAGCAGACAUUGACCUGGAUAAGAUUCUAGAGGACAUAUGUAUCCCUGGAACCAGGUGGACCACCAACACAAAGGGAGUCCCAAAUCAACUCAAGAGAGAGGAUCUCAAACCAGUCGCCAGAGGAUGGCUGGACUUCAUUGGGCGUUCUCUGUUGCCCACUAACAACCGUUCUGAAGUCACAGUUAAAAGAGCAGUGAUGAUCCAUUGCAUCAUGAUGGGAAAGGAAGUGGAGGUUCAUCAGCUGAUUUCAACUGAACUCUACAAAAUUGCUAACAAAAAUUCCAAAGAGGCCAGGUUGGCUUAUCCAAGCGUGAUUUCUAUGCUCUGCAAGGACGCUGGAGUAAGGAUGGGAAUAACUGAAUAUAUCCUAAUUGAAAAGCCAAUCACCAAAGCAUCAAUGGAAAAACAACAAGCACAGGAGGAUCCCAUCAAGAAGAGAGCACAGGAAUUCCUCCCAGAGAUCCCUCAAUCUGAAUACUGGGAGUAUCUUGAGACGUCUGUUACCAAGAUACGGGAAGCUAUGGAGCAAAUAAUAAAAGAACAGAAGGAACACAGUCAAAUGCUGACCUACAUGUUUAAAGAACAAGAGGAGCAAGGGCAUGACUUAAGGGAAUUGAAGUGCCAAAAGUCUUCUCUUGUAGGACCAAGCACCCCAAGGAUCAGAGGAACCCCCGUUCCCCCAGAAAAAAGGUUGUUAAUUUCCAAUUUCUGCCUUAACUCUGUGAUAGUGUCCUUAUAGAAGUUUACCUUAGGAGUCAUAAAGUAGUAAUUAGUAUCUAUUUUGAUUUUAUCUCCAAUUAAGUUAUAAUUUAUUUUUCUCAUCAUCAGCAAACAUGAAUAAAGUAGUAGAUCUUUUGAAUAAGAGGCAAUAAAAUUUCGAGUUUUAAUAAGAGAAAUUCUAAUUAGUUAAAUGUGGUGGCAAUGCUUUCUGUCUUCUGAAUGAAUGCUUGAACAGUGCAUAUAUCUUUUGAAUUUGUUGCUUAAGACUGUUAAAUAUGUUGGCUCUUGAAAGAAUGGUGAACAUGAGACAUGUUAUUGAUGAUCUGAAAAAUCAAAAAAUUGAUUCUUGAAGCAAGAAAAAGCAGCAAAGAACAAAGCUUGCAGAAAAAAAAAAUAGCGAAAAAAAAUAGAAAGAAAAAGAAAAAGCAAGCAGAAAAAGCCAAUAGCCCUUAAAACCAAAAGGCAAGGGUAAUAAAAAGGAUCCCAAGGCUUUGAGCAUCAGUGGAUAGGAGGGCCAAAAAGGAAUAAAAUCCUGGCCUAAGCGGCUAAACCAAGCUGUCCCUAACCAUGUGCUUGUGGCGUGAAGGUGUCAAGCGAAAACUUGAGACUAAGCGGUUAAAGUCAAGGUCCAAGCAAAAAGAAGAGUGUGCUUAAGAACUCUGGACACCUCUAAUUGGGGACUUUAGCAAAGCUAAGUCACAAUCUGAAAAGGUUCACCCAGUUAUGUGUCUGUGGCAUUUAUGUAUCCGGUGGUAAUACUGGAAAACAAAGUGCUUAGGGCCACGGCCAAGACUCAUAAAGAAGCUGUGUUCAAGAAUCAUCACACUGAACUAGGAGAAUCAAUAACACUAUCUGAAUUCUGAGUUCCUAUAGAUGCCAAUCACUCUGAGCCUCAAUGGAUAAAGUGAGAUGCCAAAACUGUUCAGAAGCAAAAAGCUACUAGUCCCGCUCAUCUAAUUAGAAUCUGAGCUUCAUUCAAAAACUCUGAGAUAUUAUUGCUUCUCAACCUAUUAGUCUUCUACUUUAUUUGUCUAGUUGCUUGAGGACAAGCAACAGUUUAAGUUUGGUGUUGUGAUGAGCGGAUAUUUUAUACGCUUUUUGGGGUUAAUUUCAUGUAGUUUUUAGGGGGUUUUAGUUAGUUUUUAUAUUAAUUCUAGUAGUUUUUAGGAAAAAUUCAUAUUUCUGGACUCUACUAUGAGUUGUGUGUUUUUCUGUGAUUUCAGGUAUUUUUCUGGCUGAAAUUGAAGGAGCUGAGCAAAAAUCUGAUUCAGGCUGAAAAAGGACUGCUGAUGCUGUUGGAUUCUGACCUCCCUGCACUCAAAGUGGAUUUUCUGGAGCUACAGAACUCGAAAUUCUUAAUCAGAAUCUUCGUGGUAUAAGCUAGAACUGAUGGCGGCUUUCAUGAGAAUUCGGAAAGUCUAAACCUUGUCUGUGGUAUUCCGAGUAGGAUUCAAUGAUUGAAGGACUGUGACGAACUUCAAACUCACGAGUGCUGGGCGUAGUGACAGACGCAAAAGGAUAGCAGAUCCUAUUCCGGUAUGACUGAAAACCUGCAGAUGAUUAGCCGUACGGUGACAGCGCACUUGGAAUCUUUUCACUGGAAGGAUGGAUGGUAGCCAUUGACAACGGUGAUCCACCUACACACAGCUUGCCAUAGGAAGACGUGCGUGCGUGAAUCAGAAGACAGAGGAAAGCAGAGAUUCAGAAGACAAAGCAUCUCCAAAACUCCAACAUAUUCUCCAUUACUGCAUAACAAGUAACCUUUAAUCCAUGCUCUCUUGUUCAUUCGCAAUUCAACUGAUAAACAUAAUUGACUUCCUGACUAAGAUUUACAAGAUAACCAUAGACUGCUUCAAACCAACAAUCUCUGUGGGAUUCGACCCUUACUCACGUGAGGUAUUACUUGGACGACCCAGUGCACUUGCUGGUUAGUGGUACAAGUUGUGAAACGUGUAAUUCACAAUUUGUGCACCAAGUUUCAGAAAGCUUGGCUUAGCUGACGAAGUUAAACCAACCCGGAUAUGUCUCCAACUUGCUGAUGGCUCAACUAAAUACCCAUUAGGCGUGAUUGAAGACAUGAUAGUCAGAGUUGGGCCAUUCGCCUUUCCCACUGACUUUGUUGUGCUGGAAAUGAAGGUGCACAAGAGUGCUACUCUCAUUCUAGGAAGACCCUUCCUCGCAACUGAACGAUCCCUCAUUGACGUCCAACAGGGGGAAAUAACCCUGAGGGUCAAUGACGAUGAGUUCAAGUUGAACGCUGUCAAAGCCAUGCAGCAUCCAGACACAUCAACAGACUGCAUGAAAGUUGAUCUUAUUGACUCCUUGGUGGAAGAGAUCAACAUGGCUGAGAGUCUCGAAUCAGAGUUGGAAAAUAUCUUUAAAGAUAUUCAGCCUGAUUUGGAGGAUUCAGAGGACAUGAAAGAGCCUCUGAAAUUUUUUCUGAAGGAGGAAAAACCUCCUAAACCCGAGCUCAAGCCACUGCCACCAUCCUUGAAAUAUGCAUUUCUGGGAGAAGGUGACACUUUUCAGUGAUCAUAAGCUCUGCUUUAAAUUCAAAGGAAGAGGAAGCACUUAUUCAAGUGCUAAGGACACACAAGACAGCUCUUGGGUGGUCCAUAGGUGACCUUAAGGGCAUAAGCCCAGCUAGAUGUAUGCACAAAAUCCUAUUGGAGGAUAAUGCCAAACCAGUGGUUCAACCACAGAGGCGGCUAAAUCCAGCCAUGAAGGAAGUGGUGCAGAAAGAGGUCACCUAAUUUUCUGAAGGAAGGAGACGUUCGUUGCAGUGCUGGCAGCAGAGUUUGCAGGUGGCGGCGAAGCCUGCUAGUGGAUAGAAUAGCGGCGGUGUGCGUAGAGAAAGUAAAAGGUUGGAGAGGGAGUACAGAGUAGAGAGCACAACAGCAGCAAAGAGAAGAGAAGUGAGCAGAUCGGCAUCGAGCUCAAAGGUUGCAGCCUCAACAGCAAUAGUAACGGUGUAUAAUAAAGAGAUCAGAGGGAUGCUGGAGAAAGAAGUGGCUGUCGUUCUGGUCUAUGACAGGGUGGGAGACUGAGGGGCUGUGGAAGAAGAAUAUUGGAGAUUUGAAAGUGGUGGGUAUUGUUGGGUAAGCAAAGAGAAAAUGGGAUGUCAUAGUCGUUGGGGUCUUUUUUGGGGGGUUUGUCACUCAUGUAUUAAUUUGAAAUCUUUAGAUUUUUUAUUUUUGUUAAUAGUUUAUUAGUUUAACAAUAUUUCUUUAUAUUUAAAGAUCAAAUUAAAAUUAUGAUUAAAAAUCAAAUAUUUCAAAUUUAAACAAUAAUAUUUAAGAGGCUAAAUUGUAAUAAUUUAAAUUUUUUGAAUACCUUACGAAUAAACUAUGUCAAAAUAUGACAAAUUAGAGGAUUGAAAAUUGAGUGUGACUAACUUACAUCCUAUAUAUGUAUAUGUUACAAAAAUUUGUUAUAGGUGGGUAUUAAACUAAGGAUCUCUCACUUAGUGCAAAACCCUAAAAAAUNNNNNNNNNNNNNNNNNNNNNNNNNNNNNNNNNNNNNNNNNNNNNNNNNNNNNNNNNNNNNNNNNNNNNNNNNNNNNNNNNNNNNNNNNNNNNNNNNNNNNNNNNNNNNNNNNNNNNNNNNNNNNNNNNNNNNNNNNNNNNNNNNNNNNNNNNNNNNNNNNNNNNNNNNNNNNNNNNNNNNNNNNNNNNNNNNNNNNNNNNNNNNNNNNNNNNNNNNNNNNNNNNNNNNNNNNNNNNNNNNNNNNNNNNNNNNNNNNNNNNNNNNNNNNNNNNNNNNNNNNNNNNNNNNNNNNNNNNNNNNNNNNNNNNNNNNNNNNNNNNNNNNNNNNNNNNNNNNNNNNNNNNNNNNNNNNNNNNNNNNNNNNNNNNNNNNNNNNNNNNNNNNNNNNNNNNNNNNNNNNNNNNNNNNNNNNNNNNNNNNNNNNNNNNNNNNNNNNNNNNNNNNNNNNNNNNNNNNNNNNNNNNNNNNNNNNNNNNNNNNNNNNNNNNNNNNNNNNNNNNNNNNNNNNNNNNNNNNNNNNNNNNNNNNNNNNNNNNNNNNNNNNNNNNNNNNNNNNNNNNNNNNNNNNNNNNNNNNNNNNNNNNNNNNNNNNNNNNNNNNNNNNNNNNNNNNNNNNNNNNNNNNNNNNNNNNNNNNNNNNNNNNNNNNNNNNNNNNNNNNNNNNNNNNNNNNNNNNNNNNNNNNNNNNNNNNNNNNNNNNNNNNNNNNNNNNNNNNNNNNNNNNNNNNNNNNNNNNNNNNNNNNNNNNNNNNNNNNNNNNNNNNNNNNNNNNNNNNNNNNNNNNNNNNNNNNNNNNNNNNNNNNNNNNNNNNNNNNNNNNNNNNNNNNNNNNNNNNNNNNNNNNNNNNNNNNNNNNNNNNNNNNNNNNNNNNNNNNNNNNNNNNNNNNNNNNNNNNNNNNNNNNNNNNNNNNNNNNNNNNNNNNNNNNNNNNNNNNNNNNNNNNNNNNNNNNNNNNNNNNNNNNNNNNNNNNNNNNNNNNNNNNNNNNNNNNNNNNNNNNNNNNNNNNNNNNNNNNNNNNNNNNNNNNNNNNNNNNNNNNNNNNNNNNNNNNNNNNNNNNNNNNNNNNNNNNNNNNNNNNNNNNNNNNNNNNNNNNNNNNNNNNNNNNNNNNNNNNNNNNNNNNNNNNNNNNNNNNNNNNNNNNNNNNNNNNNNNNNNNNNNNNNNNNNNNNNNNNNNNNNNNNNNNNNNNNNNNNNNNNNNNNNNNNNNNNNNNNNNNNNNNNNNNNNNNNNNNNNNNNNNNNNNNNNUGAGCAGAUCGGCAUCGAGCUCAAAGGUUGCAGCGUCAACAGUAACAAUAACGGUGUACAAUGAAGAAAUUGGAGGGAUGCUGGAGAAAGAAGUGGCUGCCGUUCUGGUUUAUGACAGAGCGAGAGACUCAAGGACUGUGGAAGAAGAAGAUUGGGGAUUUGAAAGUAGUGGGUAUUGUUGGAUAAGCAAAGAGAAAAUGGGAUGUCUAGUUGUUGGGGUAUUUUUUGGGGGGUUUGUCACUCAUGUAUUAAUUUGAAAUCUUUAGAUUUUUCAUUUUUGUUAAUAGUUUAUUAGUUUAACAAUAUUUCUUUAUAUUUAAAGAUCAAAUUAAAAUUAUGAUUAAAAAUCAAAUAUUUCAAAUUUAAACAAUAAAAUUUAAGAGGCUAAAUUGGAAUAAAUUAAAAUAGUUUGAAUACCUUACGAAUAAACUAUGUCAAAAUAUGACAAAUUAGAGGAUUGAAAAUUGAGUGUGACUAACUUACAUCCUAUAUAUGUAUAUGUUAUAAAAAUAUGUUAUAGGUGGGUAUUAAACCAAGGAUCUCUCACUUAGUGCAAAACUCUAAAAAAUCCCCUAAAAAAUCCUAGAAAACUCCUAAAAAACCCUAAAGAAUCCUGAAAAACCCUAAAAAACCAUAGAAAACUCUAGAUAACCCUAGAAAACUUUAGAAAAACCCUAGAAAAUCCUAAAAAAAACCUAAGUACCCUAACAAACCCUAGAAAACCCUAGAAAAUCCAAGAAAAACCCUAAAAAAUCUUAGAAAACCCUAGAAAAUCCUAAAGAUCCUAAAAAAUACUAGAAAAACCCUAGAAAACCCUAGAAAACCCUAGAAAAUCCUAGAUAACCCUAGAAAACUUUAGAAAAACCCUUGAAAACCCUAGAAAAUAAUAGAAAAAUUCUAGAAAACCUUAGAAAAAUCUAGAAAAUCCUAGAAAAAUCCUAAAAAUCCUAAAAACCCUAAAUAACCCUAGAAAAUCUUCGAAAACUCUAGAAAACCCUAGAUAACCCUAAAAACCAUAAAAAACCCUAGAUAAAACCAUAAAAACCCUAGAAAACCCUAAAAAAACCCUAAAAAACCUAUGUACCCUAACAAACCCUAGAAAAUCCUAGAAAACCCUAGAAAAUCCUAAAAAUCCAUAAAAACACUAGAAAACCCUUGAAAACCCUACAAAACCCUAGAAAUUCCUAGAUAAUGAUGCCAUGGCAUCUUAUCCUAGUUUUACUAGUCUUUUUCUUUGUUUUCAUUUGGUUUUAUGCACUUUCCUGAGUUACAAGUAAGCCAUUUGGGUAGAAAUUCAUGUGUACUUGGAUUCAAUCAACCAUGAGUAAAUUAAUGUAUUUUCAUGAGGUUUUGUGCUAUAAUUGCUUAUAUGUCAAGGAUAAUAAGAAGUCUCAUGAUUUUAGCAUAGCUUUGAUGCAAUUAUUGGUUGAUAACAGGUAAAGAAAGACAUGGAGAAAGGUUGAAGAAAAGAGACUUAGAGAAGAGAAACAGAGCUCACGUUUGAGAUGGCGUUGGGGGUCCAACGUUAAUCCCAUCGUAGUUAGAAAAUGAUCAAGUCUGGGCCGAAGGAUUUUUGAAGUGCGCGCACGCGUACAUGCCGCGUACGCGCAAAAGCAACAAAUUUUGGCAUCCGCGCGGAAGCAUACAGCACGCGUACGCGCAGAUGCAUAUUUUUGGCUCAUGUGCGCGAAAGCGCACGGUGCACGUACGCGCCACAACCAAACGUUGGGGGUCCAACAUUGUCUCAAACUCUACCUCCAACGUCUUCGAUGCUCAUCCCAGAAUUGAGAUUGGAAAAAGUGGAAUCGGCGCGCACGCACCAAUGUCACGUACGCGUACUUGGGAAAAAAGCAAUGCACGCGUAAGCGUGAAGUACGCGCACACGUAAAAAUGCCAACGUUGGAGGUCCAACGCUGAGACCAACGUCAUCCCUCCCUGGAUCAAACUGGAAAUUGGAAAAUAUGCAUCCACGCGCAAGCGCGCAGUGCGCGCACGCGUGGAUGAGCAAUUUUGGCAAGGUGUGCGGAAGCGCAUGGUGCCCGUACGCGUGGAUCGGCGGACGUUGGCCCUCCAACGUUGGGUCAAACGCCGAUGACAGCAGACCUUUCUGGUUUUACUGAUAUGAUGGAAAGUGGAGUUUGAGUCAACGUUGGCACUAAAACGUUGACUCAAACUUGAAGCACCAGCAUCCAACUUUCACACAGAUCUCUUCUCAAGAUCAAGAGCAGUCAAUGGGAGCCAUCUUCGAUCCAAAUUCAUCAAGGCCAAAAGCCCAAUUCAAGGCUUGAAGAUUAAAAAUAGAAAGUGUAUAAAUAGAAGUUAGUUUGAUUUAGAAAGGGGACGGUCAUUUUUUUUUUGGCUGUAAGCUCAGUUUAGUUGAGAUUGAAUUCUCCCUCCUCUUUAUUCUUACUCUGCAUUCCUUCUUUCUGUUUUGAGAAUUGUAGAGAGAUUGAAGGAAUUCUGUUUCAAUCCCUGAUCUACAAUUUAUCUUUGUUUUCGUCUGCAUAAUUUUAAGGAAUUGUGAAUUGAAUUAAGCUUUCUGAUUUCAUUCUUAUUGCUCCUGCUAAUCUUGCUAUUUUCCUUUGGAUCUGGAAUUGAGAUUGGAACGAGUUCUAUUGAUUCAAAUUCUGAGAAUCAUUUUUUAUUCUUCAUCUCAAGUGAUCUAAGGACUGGAUCUAAAUUUCCUUUACUGCUUCCAUUUUAUAUUUUUCUGUGAAUUGCUUGCUGAUCGGAUCAAGGAAGGAAUUGAGAUCUAAACUUGUUUUCUAGUCUCUUGACCCCUGAGAUCUGCAUUUUCAUUUCUGUUCAUUUGCUGAGGCUUCUUCAAGCCAAUUUACUUUUCUAUUUAAAGAUCCAGCUCAAUCCAAGUUAUCUUCUACUCUUUUACUUGUUGAAAUUUACUUUCCUUUGCUUAAAUUCUGCUAUCCCAACUCCCUAAGCCCUUUAAUAUUCAAGCAAUUUACAUUUCCUGCACUCUAAGCUUCUGCAAUUUACCUUUCUUGCACUUUAAGUUUUUGUCAUUUACUUUACUUGUCCUUUAAGAUUCAGCUCUUUUACUUCUUUAAGCUCUUUAAUUUACUGCAAUUCUUCCCUCUCCCUUUACAAUUCAUGCAAUUUAGCUUCUGUCAAUUACAAAUCACUCAGAUCAACUCUUGUUUGCUUGACUAAAUCAACCACUAAACUAAAAUUGCUCAAUCCUUCAAUCCCUGUGGGAUCGACCUCACUCCCGUGAGUUAUUAUUACUUGAUGCGACCCGGUACACUUGCCGGUGAGUUUUGUGUUGGAUUGUUUUCCACACAUGAAGUUUUUGGCGCUGUUGCCGGGGAUUGAAAUAGAUUGACAAUGAUUAAGUGAGGUGGUGAUCUAGAUUAAGCAUUUUUUUCUUUUGUUUUCAACUAACACAUUAACUGUUUGACUUUUUGCCUAAGCUAACCAAAACUUCAUUCUAGCAAUAGAUUGAAGUUUCACUGGUUUUCUGGCUUUUAUGUUUCUUGUGUUCUGGUUUGUAUGUCAGGUACAAGGAGAGUUACACCUAUCUUUUGUGAACAAGACGAAAGGAUUCUUAGAAGGAUAAGAAGAGAAGCUAGAGGGAAGGCUGUUGUUGGAAAGGAAGAUUCUGAGGAGGAAUACCACGAAAUGGAAGGAGAUCCCUCUAAUUCCAAUCCUCCAGAAGGAGGGGUCAAUAACAAUCCACCACAGAGGAGAGUACUGGCCUCUUAUACAUUUUUAAACUCUAGACAUUGUGGGAGUAGCAUUCUUACCCCUAAUGUCAAUGCAAAUAACUUUGAACUGAAGCCAUAACUCAUCACACUGGUCCAAAACAACUGCUCUUUUGGAGGAGGGCCACUUGAAGAUCCAAACCAACACUUAUCCACCUUCCUUAGGAUAUGUGAUACUGUAAAAUCUAAUGGUGUGCAUUCUGACAUCUACAAGUUGCUGUUAUUCCCAUUCUCCCUCAGAGAUAAAGCCACUCAAUGGCUAGAAACAUUCCCAAAGGAGAGCAUCAACACUUGGGAAGAUUUGGUGAGCAAGUUUCUUGCCAAAUUUUACCCACCUCAGAGGAUUAUUAGAUUGAAGACGGAAGUGCAGAUAUUCACACAAUUGGAUGCUGAAACUCUAUAUGAGGCAUGUGAGAGAUAUAAGGCUCUGCUCAGGAAAUGCCCACCGAAAAUGUUCACUGAGUAGGACAAACUGCAAAACUUCUAUGAAGGACUCACUCUAAAGGCUCAAGAGGCACUGGAUCACUCAGCUGGAGGCUCAUUGCAACUGAUGAAGACUGCAGAGGAGGCUCAAAACCUCAUUGACAUGGUGGCAAACAACCAAUAUUUCUUUGCUUACCAAAGGCAACGCCAACCAUCACAGAGGAAAGGACUGCUAGAGUUGGAAGGAGUAGACACAAUCCUAGCCCAACACAAAGUGAUGCAGCAGCAAAUUCAGCAAUAAUUUGAGCAAAUGGCCAAGAGAAUUGAUAGCCUACAAGUUGCAUCAGUGAAUGUCACAAGCCAACCAUCAACUCCUUGGGGGCAGAAUGAAGAGAAUCAAGCCAAAUCUAAUAUGUGCACAACCAAGGCUCUAGACAAAAUGAAGCGUAUGGUGACACCUAUAACCCAUCCUGGAAGAACCACCCAAACCUUAGGUGGGGAGAUGGCCACAACCAGAAUCAACAACCAUGGCAAAGGAAUUCAAAUCAAAACACCCCAAGAAAUAACUAGAACCACAACCAGCAGCACACUAACCAAAACUCCUACAGAAAACCCCAAAACAACUACCCCACUUCCAACCAUUAUCCACCCAGUAAUCAAACCACCAACCAAAAUACUUACCAUCAACAAUCAACACCCCAAAACCAACCGAUCUCACAAGACUCUCAGAAGAUCACCAAUUUGGAGAUGUUAAUGGAGAAAAUGAUGAAGCACCAAGAAAUGACAACAAAGAACCAGGAAGCUUCCAUGAAGAAUAUGGAGAGGCAGAUUGGACAGCUCUCCAAGAAAAUUGCUAUUGAGAGACCAUCAAGCUCAUUACCAAGUGACACCAUUCCUAAUCCAAAAGAAGAGUGCAAAGCUAUACAGCUAAGGAGUGGGAAGAUAUUGGUGGACAAUAAAGAGGCAACCAAGAAGCCUAUGGAAAGUGACAAAGAAUCAACAGAGAAAGAGGAAGCUAGCAACAAGGACACAACAAGCAAGAAUGUCCCAGAAAAGUUCAAAGAGAAGGACAACCAGCCACACAAUUCAAAGGAAGAAUCAACCCAGGGAUAUAAACAAGUGGGGAAAACUUACACACCUUCACUGCCAUAUCCCCAAAGAUUCAACAAAGAAGCAAAGGAUCAACACUUUCAUAAGUUCCUUGAGACUUUCAAGAAGUUAGAGAUCAACAUUCCUUUGGCUGAGGCAUUAGAGCAGAUGCCUCUGUAUGCCAAGUUUCUGAAAGAGCUUAUCAGUAAAAAGAGAAGUUGGCAUGAGAAAGAGACUAUACUGCUUACUGAGGAAUGUAGGGCGUUGAUUCAAAAAGGGCUUCCCCCUAAGCUUGAAGACCCCGGAAGUUUCUUUCUGCCUUGCACCAUUGGGAGAUUGACCAUCAACAAGGCAAUGUGUGACUUAGGGGCAAGUAUCAACCUAAUACCCUCUUCUUUGGUGAAAAAGCUUUGUAUAGAGGAAGUGAAGCCAAUACAAAUGUCUCUGGAACUGGUGGAUAAGUCGGUGAUAUGUUCCAGGGGUGUGAUUGAAAACCUUCUAGUUAAGGUGGACAAAUUCAUAUUCCCUGCGGAUUUUGUGGUCUUAGACUCAGAUGAGGAUGAAGGUGAUUCCAUUAUACUUGGGAGACCAUUCUUGGCCACUGCUAGGGCCAUUAUAGAUGUGGAGCAAGGAAAGCUAACCCUCAGAAUGCAUGAUAAAAACAUCACCUUGAAUGUAUUCCCAGAAACACAGCUCAGUGAUGAAAAGAACAACUGCAUGGACAUUGACAAAGGAAGCUUGCAAUGGAAGGAAGGAACUAGCAAGACAGUUGAUAACCAUCUUCCAAGGCAGGAAACAAACAACAUAGCAGGGUAAGAGAAGAAUGAGACUGGGCAAAGUGAAGAGGGAAACCGAGAAGGAAUUGAAGUGCUUACUAAGAAGGAGAGGCCCAAAAUAAAGGUUGCUGUCAAAGAAGAAGGAGUAACAAGAAGAAGAAAGAAAAGCAAGAAAAAUACUCAGAAGGGAUGGAAGAACAAGAAAAUCCCAACUGAGGGGUUCUCCAGGGUGAUGAAGUACAGUUGAUCUAUCAACAAUUGGGAACAAGCCAACAAGCCAAUGACUACUACACUGUUUGCAAAAUACUCUCACUUGAGCAUGCUGAAAUUGAGCAUCAAGGAACAAAAAGGAAGCUCACAGUGAGGGGGGAUAAGUUGAGACAUCACAGCCGUCAACCACCCUGAAGGGGGACCCAAUGUCAAGCUAGUGACAAUAAAAGAGCGCUCCAUGGGAGGCAACCCAUGAUUUAAGAUUCCUGUUUGUUUUAAAUUCAAUAAGCUAUGAUCACCCUAGCAUGAUUUUGAAUCUUCAUGAACAGACUUGAUAGAUGCAUGCACUAUUUCGAAGCAUAUGCCAGACUUCUAAGUUUGGUGUCCCUUCAAGAACACCAAAUUAGUUUUUCAAGCAUUCUUAGACCAUAUGCUCAGUCAUUUCGCUGAAGUAUAUGACCAAACACUAAGUUUGGUGUCUGCAUGUGUAGUGAUUUUCAGAAGAUCAUUUCUUGUUCAUAGAAUCAAAGUCAUACAUAAAUGGAUCAUGCAUUAUAACAUUUUAGGACUUUAUGAUAGGAAAGAAAUUAUAUUUUAUGAUGAAGAUAUCAAUUGUGAUGAAUUGCUUGCAUUCUACAUUAAUCCCUUAGCAAGAGACAAGUUUGGUGUUCACCGAACCUUGGUUCACUAAUUAAGGGACACAAUUGAUUCUUUAUGAAAAAAAAAGGGGGAGUCACGGUUAGACAAUCAUAAGGAAUGAUAGUCAAUCUAUAGUUUUAGAUAUGAAAGGAUCUUGCUACCGUUUGAUAAUGCUUGUUCUUUUUGUCUUGUUGUGAUAGUUAGGUAGUCAGAGAACUAUUCAAUGGAAGGGAAAAGACAAGGAAGGGCAAGCUAGCAAGAAGACAAAAGUGGAUCACAUGGCUUGAAAGGUGAAUCUGCACAUCCUUGGAAGGAGCACUUUGAAGACCAAGGAGAUAUACUUUACGAAGAGGCAAACUUUGUCUUCAUUUAACUUUGCAUACACACCCUUCAUUAACCACUUGUCCAAAUGAAUCCUAACCCUCCAUUCUUCAUUAAAGUAUACUAUAAAAAGCCUCACUUGAACCAUGCACAUGAACCAAAUUUUCACACAUCUUGCACUCCAGAUAAUUCAAACCUUGUGUACCUUAAAACCAAGGCCUAGAAACCGUGUCCCCUCCUGACCAACUAAGCACCCUUGUUCACCUACACCCAUCAUACUACCCUCACUUCAAACACUCUUCUUCCAAAAGUACACCACACCACCCAACCUUCUUUGUAACUUAACUUCAACCCCUUCAACCAAUCAAGGAAGCAUGGCUUCUUCUUCAAGUGCAAAAAGACGGAAAGGAAAGGAACCCAUGGUUGAAGAAAGUGGUAGUGAAUAUGAUCGAUGGAAGUUCAAAUCAUGGUACCAUCAAAUGCAACUGGGAUGGAUGAAUGAUAGAAAGAUAUAUCCAGAAAUUCCAUUUCAGCUACCUGAUGAAGGAUGCCUAGAAAUGAAAGCCAAGAUCAGAAAGAGAAAAUGGGAAGAGCUCACAUCACCAAUCACUAGAAUUAAUGCAAACAUCAUAAGAGAGUUUUAUGCUAACACCCCAAGGCUUAAUGCGAAUGAAGCUCCAACUUACAAGAGCUAUGUACGGGGAGUAGAAGUGGAUUUUAGUUCGAAGACUAUUGCGAAAGUCUUAGGACUAAGGACAGCUCACUUUGAUGAAUCAGGGUACCACCAAAGAGUAAAUAGAAACCCAGAUUAUGAUGAAAUCUCUAGUGAUAUCUGUGUGGUGAACACAGAUUGGGAAAGAGAUGAACAUGGAAGGCAUAAAUACUUGAAAAGGGGAGAUCUAACCCCUGAGGCAAAAGGAUGGUAUGAGCUCAUAAAGAGAUCAAUCCUAGGUACAGUGAACACUUCAGAAGUUAACAAGCAAAGAGUUGUCAUGCUACACUGUAUGGUGAUGGGGGGAGAAGUGAAGGUUCAAGAAAUCAUCGCCGAUGAUAUUCAAAGGAUUGCAGAGAAGAGUUCGGCUGACGCUUGGCUGUACUACCCAAGUACCAUUAUGCGGUUAUGCAUGAAGGCUAAAGUACCACAAGAGGAUGCAAACCCAAAAUGGUUGAAUCCAGGCAUGCCUAUAACCUUUGAAAGAAUGAUGAUCGUCACAGAGGCGCAGCAAAGUUGAAGACCACAAAGAAGGAGAAGAAGAGAAGAACCAAAGGAGGAAGAAGAACCAUUGGAAGAACAAGGAGAACAGCAACAAGUUCAACCACAAAACAAUAUGAACAUGGUUCGGAUGCAAGAAGCAAUUCAAAGGCUAUCAGAACAAUACAUGGGAUUCAAGAGAAGCAGGAAGAAUUUCAUUCACAGUACAUGAGAGCUCAACAAAGACAAGAAGAACUUCAGUUGAGGAUGAUGAGUCAACAAAGAGACUAUGAGUCAAGAUCUUUGGUCAUGCAACAGGACCAAGCUUCACAAAUUCAAGAGUCAUUCAAUCAGUUGGCCCAACUGUACUUUGAGAAUAUGAGAGCUCUCAAGGAAUUCACAACCCUUCAGGAUGCAAGGUAUGGAGUUCAAGCUGAUUAUAACAUAAAUGGCCAAUUCAAGUUAAGCUAUAUUGUGGAUCAUCUACACAACAUGGAACCAGCAUUUUCAACUUUUGAUGAAUACUUCAAAGUGAGAAGUGAAAGAGAAGUAGACAAAGCAAUACUCCUGGAGAACAGGGUAGAAGAGACAAUGAAAAAAGUUGGAUUCUGGCAAAAGCUAAAAGGCAAGGGCAAGGGAGAAACUAGUAAGCAAGCAAGUGAGAAGAAAAACAAAGACAAAAAGGAAGACAAAUAAAAGGUGGACCCGCUCCUUGCUUAUCACAUUCACUAAAGAAAAGAACAUGCUUGUUUAGUUGGUAGUCAUUCUAGUUUGAUAGUUUUUGCAUCUUGUCUGUUUAACUUUACAAUAAGAAGGCUAGUUUAAGUGUGUGCUUGUGUGUGUUCACUUUCACUUGACUAAAUGCUUGUCUUAUGGCCUGAGUGUUUUCAAUUCAAUAAAAGAAAUGUUUGAAACAUGAAGCGAGAUAGUUCUUUGUUAGCUGGAAGUAAAAUAAUAGUAAGUGGUGGUAUGUGUGUUUGAUUGUGUGGUAGCUCACUCACAAUGAAUAAAAGGAAUAGCUUGUUCUCUUUUUAAGUGGAAAUUAGCCUGCUGUCUAUGAAUCUCAAGCAAAUAAAAAUCCUUGGUUAAAAGAAAAACAAAUAGAAAGAAAAAGAAAAGCCAAGAGUGGCAGAAAAAAAAAAGAAAGAAUAAAGCUAGACACCAAUAGCUUGAACACUAGGAUAUAUGCCUGUGGUAUCUUUGUACUAGGAUCUGCUUGGACGAUUAAGUUCUAUGGAGUGCUUUAACACUUGGUAACUUGGGUUAACUAACCCGAGAUUAUCAACUGAAAGUUCAAUAUCAAGAACAACUUAGUUACAAGACAUUUAGUGACCCAAAGAGGUGCUAGGCAUCAAUGUCCUAAGUAGAAAUAUGAGCCAAGUGUCUGCAGUGAAUAAUGUGUUGAGCACAAAUAAGUUGAGAAAUUGUUGUACACAUGACACUGAGCUAAAGCUUACAGAAAAAGAAAAUGAAGAAAAGUAAUCACCAAGGACAAGUAAAUAAUGAGAGGUCAUAGCAAUGUGUUAAUUGAUGCUUGAAAGAGACUUUCUAUGCCUAAAGGUCAAUAAGAAGUGAGUUGUUGCAUAUCUUAACAAAACCCCAUGAACUACCAAUAAUACUUUGCUAACGUGAACAUUCCCUUCCAUUUCAUUCUUUCUUCUUAAUAGUUCAGUACUUGCUUGGGGACAAGCAAGAUUUAAGUUUGGUGUUGUGAUGCCAUGGCAUCUUAUCCUAGUUUUACUAGUCUUUUUCUUUGUUUUCAUUUGGUUUUAUGCACUUUCCUGAGUUACAAGUAAGCCAUUUGGGUAUAAAUUCAUGUGUACUUGGAUUCAAUCAACCAAGAGUAAAUUAAUGCAUUUUCAUGAGGUAUUGUGCUAUAAUUGCUUAUAUGUCAAGGAUAAUAAGAAGUCUCAUGAUUUUAGCAUAGCUUUGAUGCAUUUAUUGGUUGAUAACAGGUAAAGAAAGACAUGGAGAAAGGUUGAAGAAAAGAGACUUGGAGAAGAGAAACAGAGCUCACGUUUGAGAUGGCGUUGGGGGUCCAACGUUAACCCCAACGUAGUUAGAAAAUGAUCAAGUCUGGGCCGAAGGAUUUUUGAGGUGCGCGCACGCGUACAUGCCGCGUAUGCACAAAAGCAACAAAUUUUGGCAUCCGCGCGGAAGCAUACAGCACGCGUACGCGCAGACGCAUAUUUUUGGCUCAUGUGCGCGGAAGCGCACGGUGCGCGUACGCACCACAACCAAACGUUGGGGGUCCAACGUUGCCUCAAACGCUACCUCCAACAUCUUCGAUGCUCAUCCCAGAAUUGAGAUUGGAAAAAGUGGAAUCGGCGCGCACGCACCAAUGCCACGUACGCGUACUAGGGUAAAAAGCAAUGCACGCGUAAGUGUGAAGUACGCGCACGCGUAAAAAUACCAACGUUGGAGGGAACGUUGGAGGUCCAACGCUGAGACCAACGUCAUCCCUCCCUGGAUCAAACUGGAAAUUGGAAAAUAUGCAUCCACGCGCAAGCGCGCAGUGCGCGCACGCGUGGAUGAGCAAUUUUGGCAAGGUGCGCGUACGCGUGGAUCGGCGGACGUUGGCCCUCCAACGUUGGGUCAAACGCCGAUGACAGCAGACCUUUCUGGUUUUACUGAUAUGAUGGAAAGUGGCGUUUGAGUUAACAUUGGCACUAAAAUGUUGACUCAAACUUGAAGCACCAGCAUCCAACUUUCACACAGAUCUCUUCUCAAGAUCAAGAGCAGUCAAUGGGAGCCAUCUUUGAUCCAAAUUCAUCAAGGCUAAAAGCCCAAUUCAAGGCUUGAAGAUUAAAAAUAGAAAGUGUAUAAAUAGAAGUUAGUUUGAUUUAGAAAGGGGACGGUAAUUUUUUUUUGUUUUUUUGGCUGUAAGCUCAGUUUAGUUGAGAUUGAAUUCUCCCUCCUCUUUAUUCUUACUCUGCAUUCCUUCUUUCUGUUUUGAGAAUUGUAGAGAGAGAUUGAAGGAAUUCUGUUUCAAUCCCUGAUCUACAAUUUAUCUUUGUGAAAGUCUGCAUAAUUUUAAGGAAUUGUGAAUUGAAUUAAGCUUUCUGAUUUCAUUCUUAUUGCUCCUACUAAUCUUGCUAUUUUCCUUUGGAUCUGGAAUUGAGAUUGGAACGAGUUCUAUUGAUUCAAAUUCUGAGAAUCAUUUUUUAUUCUUCAUCUCAAGUGAUCUAAGGACUGGAUCUAAAUUUCCCUUACUACUUCCAUUUUAUAUUUUUUUGCGAAUUGCUUGCUGAUCGGAUCAAGGAAGAAAUUGAGAUCUAGACUUGUUUUCUAGUCUCUUGACCCCUGAGAUCUGCAUUUUCAUUUUUGUUCAUUUGCUAAGGCUUCUUCAAGCCAAUUUACUUUUCUAUUUAAAGAUCCAGCUCAAUCCAAGUUAUCUUCUACUCUUUUACUUGUUGCAAUUUACUUUCCUUUGCUUAAAUUCUGCUAUCACAACUCCCUAAGCCCUUUAAUAUUCAAGCAAUUUACAUUUCCUGCACUCUAAGCUUCUGCAAUUUACCUUUCUUGCACUUUAAGUUUCUGUCAUUUACUUUACUUGUCCUUUAAGAUUCAGCUCUUUCACUUCUUUAAGCUCUUUAAUUUACUGCAAUUCUUCCCUCUCCCUUUACAAUUCAUGCAAUUUAGCUUCUGUCAAUUACAAAUCACUCAGAUCAACUCUUGUUUGCUUGACUAAAUCAUCCACUAAACUAAAAUUGCUCAAUCCUUCAAUCCCUGUGGGAUCAACCUCACUCCCGUGAGUUAUUAUUACUUGAUGCGACCCGGUACACUUGCCGGUGAGUUUUGUGUUGGAUCGUUUUCCACACAUCAGAUAACCCUAGAAAACUUUAGAAAAAUCCUUGAAAACCCUAGAAAACAAUAGAAAAAUCCUAGAAAACCUUAGAAAAAUCUAGAAAAUCCUAGAAAAAUCCUAAAAAUCCUAAAAACCAUAAAAAAAAAAUCCAAAAAACCCUAAAAAUCUUAGAAAAUUUUAGAAAACCGUAGAAAAAACCUAUAAAAUCUUAGAAACCCUUGAAAACCCUAGAAAAAUCUUAAAAAAACCCUAAAUAACCCUAGAAAAUUCUCGAAGACCCUAGAAAACCCUAGAUAACUCUAAAAACCAUAAAUAACACUAGAAAAAACCAUAAAAAACCCUAGAAAAAUCAUAAAAAACCCUAGAAAACCCUAAAAACCAUAGAAAACCCUUGAAAACCUUUGAAAAUCCUAGAAAAACCAUAAAAAUCCUAGAAAAGCCUAGAUAACCCUAAAAAAUCCUAGAAAAUCCUAAAAAAUUUUAGAAAAAUCAUAGAAAACCAUAAAAAAAAUCUAGAAGAUCAUAGAAAACUGUAGAAAAACCAUAGAAAAUCCUAGAAGAUCCAAAAAAAUCCUAGAAAACCGUAGAAAUCCCUAGAAAUACCUAAAUAACACUAGAAAAUCUUUGAUAACCCUAGAAAACCCUAAAAAAAUCUUAGAAAACAAUAGAAACCCUAAAAACCCUAGAAAAUCUUAAUAAAUCUUAAAAAAUCCUAAAAAGUCCUAGAAAACCCAAGAAAACCCAAGAAAAACCUAGAAAAUUCAAGAAAAUAAUAGAUAAAUCUUAGAAAACUGUAGAAAAUCUAUAAAACCCAAGAAAAAUCCUGAAAAAUUCUAAAAACCAAAAAACACCCUUGAAAGUCCUAAAAACUCUAGAAAAUCCUAGAAAAAACCUAAAAAACACAUGAAAACUCUAAAAGACCUAAAAAAACAUUAGAAGAUUCUAAAAAACCCUAGAUAACCCUAGAAAAUCUUAGAAAAACAUAAAAAAUCCUAGAAAACCCUAGAUAACCCAAGAAAAAUCUUAGAAAACACUAGAUAACCCUAGAAAACCUUAGAAAAUACAAAAAACCUGAAAAACCCCUAAAAAAACAUAGAAAAUCCUAAAUAAAUUCCUAGGAAACCCUAGAAAAUACAAAAAAAUCCUAGAAAAUCCUAGAAAACCUUAGAUAACCCAAGAAAAUCCUAGAAAAACCCUAGAAAAUCCUAAAAAUGCUAAACACCCUAGAAAAACCCUAGAAAACCUAAGAAAAAAUCUAGAAAACCCUAGAAAACUCUAAAAAACCUUAAAAAAUCCUAGAACAAAUAAAAAAAAACCCUAAAAAAUUAUUGAAAACUCUAAAAAUCCUAAAAACCCUAGAUAGACCUAGAUAAAACCUAGAAAAUCCUUGAAACCCCUCAAAAACUUAAGAAAAUCCUAGAAAACCUAGAAAACACAAGAAAAACCCUAAAAAACAUGAAAAAAAAAGUCUAGAAAAUCCUAAAAACCCUAGAAAACCCUAAAAAAACCUAGAAAAUCCUAGACAACCAUAAAAAACCCUAGAAAACUCUAGUAAAACCCUAAAAAAACCCUAGAUAAUACUAGAGAACCCUAGAAAACCUUAGAUAACCCUAGAAAAUCCUAGAAAAAUCCUAAAAAACCAUAGAAAAACCUAGAAAACUCUAAAAAACCCUACAUAAUAUCAUUUGCAACAUCCAUGUAUAGGUCUCCAACAUUCAUUAAAAGUUUUCACCUAUCGUAUUUUAAUCUACAUUAUUACUUAAUAGACCAAAAAUUACAGCAGGUAGAUAGCUUUUUGUCAUCUUCCGAAGCAAUCACUCAAUAUUUCCUCACAACAUCCUUCAUUAUUUUCCUUCCAUCUUUUGUUAUAUGUCCAUUCCCUUUGUAGCAUUUAGCAACAUGAUACAUAUAUAGAGAUAUCUUUUAAUUUAGUCAUCACAAUGUAUUUUUAGAUUCCCUUUAUAUAAAUGAAUAUCUCAACUUUUCUUUCUUCCUUCUUUCUUUCUCUUUUUAUUUCUUUCUCUUUUUUUGCUUAACUCAUUUUCUUCCUUGACAUCUUUGGAUUGAAAUUAUUAAUUUUGUUUAAAUCCAAAAUGGGACGAAAGUGAUCCUAGAGAUAGUGUUUCUUCGACUUCUCAACUUUUUUCAAUGGAUAAUAAUAUUCUGUGUGAUCUUAUAUAUUUCAAUUAACAAAUUAACAUAGACAAUAAUAAAAGACAGGAAUAUAGUUGGUCUAACAAGCAGUCAUCAAUUGCAUAGCUAUAAAAGAGUCUCAUUACGUGAAUAAAAGAUAAAUUGAGAAUUGAAAACAAUCAUAUGCAAGACACUUAUUACAUUGUAUUUAAUGAAGAUGGAUUAGUGAACUAAAAUGGUAAGCAAAAUCGAAGCAAACUAAGGCCUUCAUUCUUCCAUUUGUCUUUAAUUAAAUUCAAAUCACAAGCAAAUUAAGGCCCCAGAAUGUUAGCUAGUUCAUUCUUUUAUAAAGCAGCAAGGUUUAAUCAUACACAGAAAAAUUAAGCCUCUAUUUGGAAAGAACACAUCACACAUACUAAAAAGCUCUCAUAAAUUGCAUAAAGUUUAAUCACACUGUAUCUUUAUCUCAUAUAGAGGCAACCCAGAACUAUCUUAAUAAAAAAGAUAGAUAAACAAAGAAAUUUAAAAAUUGAACUAAUCCAUAUUCUGAACUGAUCAAGUCAUCAAUAUUCAAUAAUCAAUUAAUCAAAAAUCAAGAGAUGCACAGAAAAGUAGAAGAAAAAAUACGUCAUCAAUGUCCAUUUUAUUAAGCAAAUUCUUGUGCCAAAACUCUAUCAUUCGAGAAAAUGACACAAAAAAAUCAUACACAAUACCAUAGUUUAAAAAUAAAUAAAUUCAAUUCACAGAGGAAGAGGAAAAAAUAUUUAGAUAAAAUCAAACAAGAGACACAAAUUUAGGUUCCAGAUUGAGAAAUGACAACAAAUAGAAGAUAAAGAAGGAGAACGCAUACCUAAUUUUCUGAAGGAAGGAGACGUUCGUUGCAGUGCUGGCAGCAGAGUUUGCAGGCGGCGGCGGAGGCUGCUAGUGGAUAGAAUAGCGGUGGUGUGCAUAGAGAAAGCAAAAGGUUGGAGAGAGAGUACAGAGUAGAGAGCACAACAGCAGCGAAGAGAGGAGUAGAGAGCAGAUCGGCAUCGAGCUCAAAGGUUGCAGCCUCAACAGCAAUAGUAAUGGUGUACAAUGAAGAGAUCAGAGGGAUGCUGGAGAACGAAGUGGCUGCCAUUCUGGUCUAUGACAGGGUGAGAGACUGAGGGGUUGUGGAAGAAGAAUAUUGCAUAUUUGAAAGUAGUGGGUAUUGUUGGGUAAGCAAAGAGAAAAUGGGAUGUCAUAGUCGUUGAGGUAUUUUUUGGGGGGUUUGUCACUCAUGUAUUAAUUUGAAGUCUUUAGAUUUUUCAUUUUUGUUAAUAGUUUAUUAGUUUAACAAUAUUUCUUUAUAUUUAAAGAUCAAAUUAAAAUUAUGAUUAAAAAUCAAAUAUUUCAAAUUUAAACAAUAAAAUUUAAGAGGCUAAAUUAGAAUAAAUUAAAAUAGUUUGAAUACCUUACGAAUAAACUAUGUAAAAAUAUGACAAAUUAGAGGAUUGGAAAUUGAGUAUGACUAACUUACAUCCUAUAUAUGUAUAUGUUAUAAAAAUAUGUUAUACGUGGGUAUUAAACCAAGGAUCUCUCACUUAGAGCAAAACCCUAAAAAAUACCCUAGAAAAUCCUAAAAAAUCCUAGAAAACUCCUAGAAAACCCUAAAAAACCCUAAAAAAUCCUGAAAAAUCCUAGAAAACUUUAAAAAACUCUAGAAAAUCCUAAAAAAACCUAAGUACCUAACAAACCCUAGAAAACCCUAGAAAAUCCCUAAAAAAUCCUAGAAAACCCUAGAUAAUCCUAGAAAAUCCUAGAAAAUCCUAAAAAACACUAGAAAACCCUAGAAAACAAUAGAAAAAUCCUAGAAAACCUUAGAAAAAUCUAGAAAAUCCUAGAAAAAAUCUAAAAAUCCCUCUAGUCGAUGAAAAAUGCAAGGAAGGAAGAGAAGCAAACAUCUUGCUGGCACUAAACUCUGUUAUCGAAGGAGGGGAGCUUCUAAAGCGUACACGAAAAGGUAUCCUUAAAAUAUUUAUAGCAAUUGAAGUAAAUUAAAAUAAAUGGCAAAUGCACAUAGAAGUUUAUAUUUAUAACACAAAGUAUCCCUUUCUUUCUGAAUGUCAAAUGCAGGAGAUCUUCACUGGAAGCAAGUAUUUUUCAAUAUGAAUUCAAAUUUACAGGUAAUUGCUAGAAGACACUCAAAAAUCCAUCAAAAAAUAAUAGGCAUAGGAGAUAAUCAUAACCACUGAUUUUGUUAAUAUCUCCAAUUAAAUAGUUACAUGGAAUGUUCUAACAAAAUUACAACAGGUUAUAGCAAAAAUGAAGAGCAAGCACAUGGCAGGAACAUUCACCAAAAAGAAGAAAUGUAAGCUCAAAGUUUCAUUCAUAACUAUUCUUUCCCACAAUCUAAAAACCAAUGCUUUAAGGUAUGGCCUAUAAAAUCGCAGGUAUAGUCACCGGAGUCUGCAGUGAUGUCCAAGCUUGGCCAGGAAGAGAGAAAGAAGACUUAAUAGAAAAGAGGGCAUAUUUCGGAAUUAAAACUGCAGAAAGGAUAAUAGAGUUUGAAUGUGAGAGUAAAAGAGACAAACAGUUCUAGCUUGAUGGGAUUCAGUAUAUGUUGAAUUGCCAUGCCAAAGCGGCAUAAAUAUAAACAGAAAAUAAGAAAAAAUAAAAUGGCUGAUAUGGGGUUGCUUUUUCUACUUCUCUUUUACUUUUACUUUGUGAGAUGCUUAUAAAGAUGUACAUUUGAUAGAAUAACUGUAAGAUUUCGCCAAGGACUAUGACAGAGUACAAUGAUUUCAAUGAAGAGGCAUAGGAUCUAGAACCGUUACAUUGUCACUCUAAUUCCUUCAGGAAAUCAGCAUUAUCAACAAAAGCCUGCAUAAGUAAUACACAAGUCAAACUUUAAAAUACAAUAAGAUGGUAUCAUUCUAUGCCAAAGUCUCGGGUAUAAAUGAAAGGAGAACUCAGAUGAUAGGUAUAGAGAAAAAGAAGUAGUGGUAAAUAAUAUUUUGAGUUAUGUUAGGUGUACAUAUCUUGCAUCGCAAGUCAUCCGACUCACCCCGUUCAACCGUGGAUAGUGUGAGUCGGCAUGGUGUUUAAAAUAAAAUAUAUUUGCCUAGUAUUUCUCACGUUAUUUCACAUAUGAUUCAUUCCUCUCUAAUUACAUAUCAAACACAAACCACCCAUGAAUUCAUCAACAUAGUUGACCAGGUUGAAGUCUUAGAAGAAGCACAUAAUAAAUCCCAUACAAUCAAAUAGAUGGAAAGGUUACGCAUACCAAUUUGCAACCAUCAGGGUCCAAGGUCCAAGCAAACUGCUAUCUUGGUGUUGAUAACUGGCAGCGGCCCAGGUUCACGGAUAAUCUUGCCUCCACACAGUUUGAUUGCUUCUACACUCUUAUACACAUCAUUUGUGCCUAUUGCAAUAUGUGCAAACACAUAAAUGAGUUGCAUUCUAACAGUAAGAUAUAGAAAAUAGACACGGAGAACACCACAAAAAUCAAUAAAAUCACUUUCGAAAAUGGAAAAUAAAUAGUAUCUACCUGUCCAUAGCCAUUUCCUUUGUCAUAAUUAGUGAUUCCGUAGAUAUAUGUAAGUUCUAGAACAAUGUUCUUAUCUUCAGGACCAUACCCCAUUGUGGCAACUGUAUUCUAUAAACCAAUCAGAAUCAAUGACAAUUGAUAGCUAAAAAUCGAUAAAAUCAUGUUUUUUGUUUUUACUUUUUUUCUUCACAAAAUCUAAUAAGCAAAUGUUACUGAAAAUGAAAACAGAAACCAAACAAGCCAACUUGCGCAUGAUAUUAAUAAUUGCCACCAGCAUAAGUUUACCUUGUGCUCAGGAUUGUCUUUCCUAUGCAGAGGUUGCAUGCCAAUAGCCUUUUGAAAUCCAUAAAAACAAAGAAAAAAUAUUAAUACAUGAAAGAAAGAUGGAAUUCACUUCAUGAAAGAACCUUUCACAUUUUCAUCCUAACAGGAGUAGAAAACACUCACUUUCUGAUAGAAGACUAUGGCAUGGUCAAGAUCACCUACACGAAGUGACACUUAGCAUAGGGGUUCGGAAGUAAGUCCUCUUUCCAAGAGCUCAAAUUCAUAACCAUCAGGAUCUUGGAUGAAAGAAGUUACUGUGCUGCCACCUUUGACAGGCCCUGGUUCCUUGAUAACCUUUCCACCUUUUACUUUUAUCAGAUAAACUGCCUUGGCAGCCUAGAAAUUGGAGUAAGGACAAUAAUCAUCAUAAUUUAAGUCAGAAAUUUGACAGAGACAUGCAACAUACAUGAAAAUUGAGCAUCAAUAAAAGGAAAUGAACCAAAAACCACUCUUAAAAAGACCAUUUAGUUUUUAACUUCCUGUGAGAAUUUCAUAGUUUGAAGAUAACAACACACAUUGAUUAAUUGGCUGGUGAUGUUAGAUAAGCUGGUAACUAAUGUUCAUGAAAAAUAUAAAUUGGUUCUUAAUGCACCAAUGUGUUCAAUUGGAGACUCUAUUUGAAUUUUAAGUUGCUGUUGCUUAGUUCUACAAUAUCAACAAUCAUGCUUUGUUUUCUAAUUGUUCUAUAAUAGGAGCUUACAUCUUCAACUACAACACCCAAAUGACCAAACCCAUUUCCAAUGUCAUACUUGUCCACUCCAUAAUCUGCAAUGAUCAAGAAAUACAAACAAGAAACAUGAGAAGCACAAACUAUUUUAUGCUAAACAAAAGUUUGUAUCUUGCACAUCUAAACUCACUGUAGGUAAGCUCAACUGUAAAAUUGGAAUCUUCAGGGCCAUAUCCAAGAAAAGAAUUUGUGUAUCUUUCUUCAGGUAUAUCACGUUUUCUCAACAGCUUCAUGCCAAGGCACUUAGUGUAAAACCUAAAUAUAUAUACACAUUCCAAAAAUGUAAUCAAGAUUCAAGAAUAUAGUAUAAUAAUUGCAUUAAUUUAGGGCAACUGAAGCAUCAUAGGUAGCAUACUUUAUAGUCUUAUCCAAGUCCCCAACACGGUACACAACAUGUAAGAAUCUUCUAUUGUCAUUUUUGACCCAUUCAAACAAGUUUUGCUCUGGUUGAAUUAGAUUCUCUGCUGUAUUAGCCUUUGCUACUCUAAACAAUUCUGAACCUUUUACACCAAAUAACAGAGAUUGGGACUGUGGAAUAGCUGAACAAAUUGCCAUAACAAUUCUGUUAAUAUAAACAGAGUGAUAAUAUAAUUAAUUAACUCUAAGUAUCAAAUGGAUAAUAAUAAAGCUGAUGUGAAUGGAGGUUAAUUACCAAAUGGACCAAAAAGAAGGUGAAAGAGAGCUAGUCUUCUAGAAGGGUUAGGGUUGUAAGAGGAAAUGCAUAUAGUGAUAGAAGGGAAACUGAAAGAACAAGUUGUUGAUAACAUUAAGGAUGAGGCCAUGGCCAUUGCCAUUGCCAUUUGGCAAUGCUGCAAAUUGCUAAUGAAGCUGGUUGCCUUGUUCUCUUCUUCCCGACUACCUAAACCAAACAGCUCUAUCCACCAUGCAUCAUGCAUGGACAGUAAUUAUUGUUAACGGGAUUUUAUUAGAUUGGGCUUUAGCCCAUUGUAACUACAGCGUUUCGUAGAGUUUGGGCUUUUAUUUACAUCAUUGAGUCUGCUCGUUUUAAUUUUCUUUCAUCAAUUCAUUCGGCAAAACCUUUAUAUAAAAAUUAAGUCUUAAAUUUCCGAAUUGCGCAUAUUUAUUAUUUACCAUCGUGAUUUUGUUAGUAUACAAUACGUGUUGAAUCUCAAGAAGGAAGAAAAACAUAUUGACAAAUUGAACCACUAGUUUUGUUAGUAUUCGAUGAUUAUUUUAAGAGGAGAAAAAGGGUAUCGUUGGCAUGAAUUUUGAGUUGUAAAAUGCAUGCUCCUACAAUCUAUGUACAAAACAAAACCACAUGGUAAAAUACAAUGAUGUGGUUCUUUUUAGAAUAACAAAAGAAGUUUAUGCAAGAAUUGGCCUAGUUUAUUACCAUUGCAACUUGGGGGUAGAUGGGGGAAGAAGGUUGAAGAUACAGACUAAAAACAAGGAUUGAAGAUGUAUAAUUUUUAAGGUAAAGUAUAUUUUUUGUUCUUGAAAUUUGUUAAAAAUUUUAAAAAUAUUCUUAAGUUUUAAUUUGUUUCAAUUUUAUCCUUAAUAUUUUCAAUUUGUAUCAAUUUUAUCCUUAUCUUCAAAUUUUUUGGUCAAACUAUGGUCAACAUUAAUUUUUUCCAAUAACACCCCCCAAACCCUAUUCUCUUUCAUCAUCAUCCCCAAACUCACUCAGCAACAGUCCCAUCCGGCCAUCCCUCACUCCCUCUAUGAUUAUCUCUUCUGCCGUGUAGUCUACCUCCAGAACAACUCCUUCUCCAGCCACCUCCCUCCGCCGCUCCUCAACCUCACCAACCUAACCUCGCCAACCUCCAGCUACUCAACCUCGCUCACAACCUCUUCUCCGGCACGCUCUUCGGCCACAUAACAAACUUUCUCUAGUACCUCGAUUUGUCAUCCCACACAUUUUCCGGCGACGUUCCAAUGAACUUCUCCUCCAAAUCUCAACGCCAGCUCAUUAACUUGUCCUACAAUGACUUUUUUGGUGGGAUUUCGGUCACCAUCGGAGCUCUAAAGAAGCUCGAGCAUCUCUGGCUUGGCUCCAACAACUUCCAUGGAACCUUACCUUCAACACUUGCAAACUGAAAGAUAUAACGCCCCAUGAGAAGAGAAGGUUGUUGAUUCCCAACAUGAUUCCAACGAAGAUGAUAAAGGUAGAAUCUUUUUGUUGAAAUCUUUGAGAACAUGCUUGAAGAUAUAUACAGUACCCACAAAGAGAAGAAAGUAAUUGAGAAUCAGAAGGGACAUGUACCUCUUAUUUGUUAUGGAGUUUUGAUCUGUUGUUGCAUGGAGCUGUUGUUGUGUUUUGUUGUUGUUGAUGUUGCCGUUGCCCAUAUUUUAUUUUGCUUCUUCUUCUUAAAUGUUGAUGGAUUUGAUUUCAAGUGCUUCAUAGCACUUGUUGGUUGGAGCCAUGGUCAGGGAUUGGUGGUGGAAUGCUGGGUCUUGUAAUNNNNNNNNNNNNNNNNNNNNNNNNNNNNNNNNNNNNNNNNNNNNNNNNNNNNNNNNNNNNNNNNNNNNNNNNNNNNNNNNNNNNNNNNNNNNNNNNNNNNNNNNNNNNNNNNNNNNNNNNNNNNNNNNNNNNNNNNNNNNNNNNNNNNNNNNNNNNNNNNNNNNNNNNNNNNNNNNNNNNNNNNNNNNNNNNNNNNNNNNNNNNNNNNNNNNNNNNNNNNNNNNNNNNNNNNNNNNNNNNNNNNNNNNNNNNNNNNNNNNNNNNNNNNNNNNNNNNNNNNNNNNNNNNNNNNNNNNNNNNNNNNNNNNNNNNNNNNNNNNNNNNNNNNNNNNNNNNNNNNNNNNNNNNNNNNNNNNNNNNNNNNNNNNNNNNNNNNNNNNNNNNNNNNNNNNNNNNNNNNNNNNNNNNNNNNNNNNNNNNNNNNNNNNNNNNNNNNNNNNNNNNNNNNNNNNNNNNNNNNNNNNNNNNNNNNNNNNNNNNNNNNNNNNNNNNNNNNNNNNNNNNNNNNNNNNNNNNNNNNNNNNNNNNNNNNNNNNNNNNNNNNNNNNNNNNNNNNNNNNNNNNNNNNNNNNNNNNNNNNNNNNNNNNNNNNNNNNNNNNNNNNNNNNNNNNNNNNNNNNNNNNNNNNNNNNNNNNNNNNNNNNNNNNNNNNNNNNNNNNNNNNNNNNNNNNNNNNNNNNNNNNNNNNNNNNNNNNNNNNNNNNNNNNNNNNNNNNNNNNNNNNNNNNNNNNNNNNNNNNNNNNNNNNNNNNNNNNNNNNNNNNNNNNNNNNNNNNNNNNNNNNNNNNNNNNNNNNNNNNNNNNNNNNNNNNNNNNNNNNNNNNNNNNNNNNNNNNNNNNNNNNNNNNNNNNNNNNNNNNNNNNNNNNNNNNNNNNNNNNNNNNNNNNNNNNNNNNNNNNNNNNNNNNNNNNNNNNNNNNNNNNNNNNNNNNNNNNNNNNNNNNNNNNNNNNNNNNNNNNNNNNNNNNNNNNAGCCUAGAAAUUGGAGUAAGGACAAUAAUCAUCAUAAUUAAAGUCAGAAAUUUGACAGAGACAUGCAGCAUACAUGAAAAUUGAGCAUCAAUAAAAGGAAAUGUACCAAAAACCACUCUUAAAAAGACCAUUUAGUUUUUAACUUCCUGUGAGAAUUUCAUAGUUUGAAGAUAACAACACACAUUGAUUAAUUGGCUGGUGAUGUUAGAUAAGCUGGUAACUAAUGUUCAUGAAAAAUAUAAAUUGGUUCUUAAUGCACCAAUGUGUUCAAUUGGAGACUCUAUUUGAAUUUUAAGUUGCUGUUGCUUAGUUCUACAAUAUCAACAAUCAUGCUUUGUUUUCUAAUUGUUCUAUAAUAGGAGCUUACAUCUUCAACUACAACACCCAAAUGACCAAACCCAUUUCCAAUGUCAUACUUGUCCACUCCAUAAUCUACAAUGAUCAAGAAAUACAAACAAGAAACAUGAGAAGCACAAACUAUUUUAUGCUAAACAAAAGUUUGUAUCUUGCACAUCUAAACUCACUGUAGGUAAGCUCAACUGUAAAAUUGGAAUCUUCAGGGCCAUAUCCAAGAAAAGAAUUUGUGUAUCUUUCUUCAGGUAUAUCACGUUUUCUCAACAGCUUCAUGCCAAGGCACUUAGUGUAAAACCUAAAUAUAUAUACACAUUCCAAAAAUGUAAUCAAGAUUCAAGAAUAUAGUAUAAUAAUUGCAUUAAUUUAGGGCAAUUGAAGCAUCAUAGGUAGCAUACUUUAUAGUCUUAUCCAAGUCCCCAACACGGUACACAACAUGUAAGAAUCUUCUAUUGUCAUUUUUGACCUAUUCAAACAAGUUUUGCUUUGGUUGAAUUAGAUUCUUUGCUGUAUUAGCCUCUACUACUCUAAACAAUUCUGAACCUUUUACACCAAAUAACAGAGAUUGGGACUAUGGAAUAGCUGAACAAAUUGACAUAACAAUUCUGUUAAUAUAAACAGAGUGAUAAUAUAAUUAAUUAACUCUAAGUAUCAAAUGGAUAAUAAUAAAGCUUAUGUGAAUGGAGGUUAAUUACCAAAAGGACCAGAAAGAAGGUGAAAGAGAGCUAGUCUUCUAGAAGGGUUAGGGUUGUAAGAGGAAAUGCAUAUAGUGAUAGAAGGGAAACUGAAAGAACAAGUUGUUGAUAACAUUAAGGAUGAGGUCAUGGCCAUUGCCAUUGCCAUUUGGCAAUGCUGCAAAUUGCUAAUGAUGCUGGUUGCCUUGUUCUCUUCUUCCCGACUACCUAAACCAAACAGCUCUAUCCACCAUGCAUCAUGCAUGGACAGUAAUUAUUGUUAACGGGCUUUUAUUAGAUUGGGCUUUAGCCCAUUGUAACUACAGCGUUUCAUAGAGUUUGGGCUUUUAUUUACAUCAUUGAGUCUGCUCGUUUUAAUUUUCUUUCAUCAAUUCAUUCGGCAAAACCUUUAUAUAAAAAUUCAGUCUUAAAUUUCCAAAUUGCGCAUAUUUAUUAUUUACCAUCGUGAUUUUGUUAGUAUACAAUACGUGUUGAAUCUCAAAAAGAAAGAAAAACAUAUUGACAAAUUGAACCACUAGUUUUGUUAGUAUUCGAUGAUUAUUUUAACUUUUAGAAAAAAAAGGGUAUCGUUGGCAUGAAUUUUGAGUUGUAAAAUGCAUGUUCCUACAAUCUAUGUACAAAACAAAACCACAUGGUAAAAUACAAUGAUGUGGUUCUUUUUAGAAUAACAAAAGAAGUUUAUGCAAGAAUUGGCCUAGUUUAUUACCAUUGCAACUUGGGGGUAGAUGGGGGAAGAAGGUUGAAGAUACAGACUAAAAACAAGGAUUGAAGAUGUAUAAUUUUUAAGGUAAAGUAUAUUUUUUGUUCUUGAAAUUUGUUAAAAAUUUUAAAAAUAUUCUUAAGUUUUAAUUUGUUUCAAUUUUAUAUUUAAUUUUUUCGAUUUGCAUCAAUUUUAUCCUUAUUCCAAAUUUUUUUAUCAAACUAUGGUCAACACUAUUUUUUUUUCAAUUUUACCCUUCAAAAUCUAUUCACUUUCAUCAUUUCCAAAAUAUUAUUUUCUCUCUCUUCCAAAUACCCCAUCACCAAACCCCUUACCACUACCGCCACUAUUAUCAUCAUAUCUUCCCCUUAAUCUUAUUUCUAAACAGAAUAAAGAAAAGAAAUCGAAAAAUCUCAAUAAACUGAUUCAAAAAAAUAAAAAUGGCAGAAGAUUAUAACCUUCAUAAUCAAGAACAAGAACAACAACAAUAACCCACCAAGUUGCUCCAAUUCAGAGACUCACUUCAACCCGAGUUAAUGCAGUUCUUUGUACUUUGCAGCUCGAAAAUUCCCGUGAGAAAAUUAAAGACAAGUUUAACAAUUUGAAUGGACAAAGAAUCGCACAACAACGAAGUGGGGACCGAACCUAAAAAGUUAUUUGUUGAAAGGGACAGAAACUGAAGUCUCAGCAUCUUCCCUAUUUGUUGAAGGGAAUAACCCUCCGAUGGAAUUCUUCUCGGCGUUGACGUGAACGUGGUUGAUGGUGACCGGAAUCCAAGGGUUUUCUAGGGUUAUCUAGGAUUUUCUAGGGUUUUUAGGGUUUUCCUAGGGUUAUCUAGGGUUUGCUAGGUUUUUUCUAGGGUUUUCUAGGAUUUUUUAAGGAUUUUUUGAGUUUCUAGGGUUUUUUAUAGUUUUCACAAUUUUUAGGGUUUUUCUAGGAUUUUCUAGAUUUUUCUAGGGUUUCUCUAUUAUUUUCUAGCGUUUUUUAGGAUUUUUCUAGUAUUUUCUAGGAUUUUCUAGGAUUUUUCUAAAGUUUUCUAAGGUUAUCUAGGGUUUUCUAGGGUUUUUUAGGGUUUUCUAGGGUUUUUUAGGAUUUUUUAGAAUUUUUUAGGAUUUUUUAGGGUUUUCUAGGGUUAUCUAAGAUUUUCUAAGGUCUUUUAGAGUUUUCUAGGAUUUUCUAUGUUUUUCUAAAUAUUUUUUUCUCUUACUCUGUGAAUUGAAUUUAUUUAUUUUUAAACUAUUGUAUUUUGUAUGAUUGUUUUGUGUCAUUUUCUGGAAUGAUAGAACUUUGGCACUAGAAUUUGCUGAAUGGAAUGGACAUUGAUGGCGUGUUUCUUCUUCUACUUUUCUGUGCAUCUCUUGAUUUUUGAUUAAUUGAUUAUUGAAUAUUGAUGAUUUGAUCAGUUAAGAAUAUGGAUUAGUUCAAUUUUUAAAUUUCUUUGUUCAUCUACCUUUUUUAUUAGACUAGUUCUGGGUUGCCUCGUUAUGAGAUGAAAAUACAGUGCGAUUAAACUUUAUUCAAUUCAGUGAGAGUUUUUUAAUAUUUGUGAUGUGUUCUUCCCAAAUAGAGGCUUAAUUUGCUUGUGUAUGAUUAAACCUUGCUGCUUUAUAAAAGAAUGAACUAGUUAACAUUCUAGGGCCUUAAUUUGCUUGUCAUUUGAAUUUAAUUAAAGACAAAUGGAAGAAUGAAGGCCUUAGUUUGCUUCGGUUUUGCUUACCAUUUAGGUUCACUAAUCCAUCUUCAUUAAAUACAAUGUAAUAAGUGUCUUGCAUAUGAUUGUUUACAAUUCUCAAUUUGUCUUUUAUUCAUGUAAUGAGACUCUUUUAUGGCUAUGCAAUUGAUGACUGCUUGUUAAACCAACAAUAUUCUUGUCUUUUAUUAUUGUCUAUGUUAAUUUGUUAAUAGAAAUAUAUCAGAUCACACAGAAUAUUAUUAUUCAUUGAAAAAGUUGAGAAGUUGAAGAAACACAGUCUCUGGGAUCACUUUCAUCCCAUUUUGGAUUAAAAAAAAUGAAUAGUUUACAAUAAAAAGAUUUCAAUGAAGAAAAUAAGUUAAGCAAAAAAAGAGAAAGAAAUAAAAAGAGAAAGAAAGAAGGAAGAAAGAAAGUUGAUAUAUACAUUGAUAUAAAGGACAUCUAAAAAUAUAUUGUGAUGACUAAAAGAUAUCUCUAUAUAUGUAUCAUGUUACUAAAUGCUACAAAGGGAAUGGACAUAUAACAAAAGAUGGAGAAAAAAUAAUAAAGAAUGUUGUGAGAAAAUAUUGAGUGAUUACUUUGGGAGAUGACAAAAAGCUAUCCAUCUACUGUAAUUUUUUGUCUAUUAAAUAAUAAUGUAGAUUAAAAUGACGAUAGGUGAAAUCUUUUAAUGAAUGUUGGAGACCUGUAUCUGAAUGUUGCAAAUUAUAUUAUGUAGGAUAUUUGUGUCUUUAUUUAUAGUCUAUUGUAGACAUAGUUAUCAAACCCGGCUCAACUCGGCCGAUUCGACCGAAAACCCGAUCACCCGGUCACCUGACUAGAUCGAGCCACUCAUUGAACCGAUUGUGCAACAGACCUGGUUCGACCCGACGGGUUUUCGUGAAACCCGAUGACCCAGCUGAUUAAUUUAACCCGGUCCAGGUCGUUUUUUUUUUCUUCUUAAUACCUGAAACGGCGUCGUUUCAUAACCCUCUCCUCCCCUUCCCCUUUCGAUGAAACUCUAUGCCCAAAUGCCAAAUCUAAGACUCUUGAAUCUUUGUGCUCUCUCCGUCUCUAGCUCGGCAGUCAGAACUCAGUACUCAAUAGUCCCUCUCUCAUCUCUCCCCUCACCUCGACAGUCGUCACUCUCAGUCUCUCACGGCCUCACCUCAUCGCUCUCUCAGUCCCCCACCUCAUCCACUCACCUUGGUCGUCGUCACGGUCCCAUGCCCCUGUGCUCGCUUCGCUGGCGGCAGAAGCAAAUGGAACCGCAUCUGGUCCCUCGGGUGGUGGUGGUGGUAAUCUUCUUGCUUCUCACAGUCUCUAUCUCACACCUGGUCUCGAUCUCUCCCUUCCCUACGCUAUUCAUCGCUGGUAACAGAGCCAACAGAUCCUAGUGGGCUGGUCUUCGUUGUCGUCUUCUUGCUUUGAGCCUUGCCGUCAGCUUCUUCCUCGCCAUCAGCUUCUCCUUCGCUGUCAGAUUCCUUCGUGCAACCCGAUUUGGUGAGUUCCCCCUGUUCUUUCUGUUUCAAUUUUUUUGCUGCAUCACUGCACUUUGAUUUUGUUGCCAAAAUAAUUUGUUGCUGAAAGUUGAAUGUGUUGAUGAAAUUUGUUAUAUCAUAGUUUAUGUUUUUGUUGCUGCCUGAAAGUUAUCAUAGUUAUCAUAGCUGAAUUUGUUGCUAGAACUCUAGAAGUAGAAUUUGUUGUUAAGUUGAAUUUGAUGCUGAACCUAUCAUAAAUGUGGUUGUUGCUAGAAAUAGAAUUUGUUACUGGAUAACUGACUUGAGUUGAAUUUGUUACUGAACCUUCUUGUUGUGUUGCUUAAAAAAUGCUAAAUCUUUUGUUGCUGUAUGUUAAGGGAUAAGAGAUAAGAGAGUUAGUCAAUAACAAAAUCAGUUUGGUACAGUUAGUUAGGGUUUGUUAUUCUGAUGUCUGAUCUUUUUCUCUUUUUCAAUUCUGUUAUAAAUAAAGCUCUUGCAUCUCUCUAAGAGGUGUGUAGAAUUGAUUCAUUGAUGGAGGAAUAAGAUGAAGUUAAUUCAGUUCACUAGUUUCUUGUACCUCUCUCUUCAAACUCUUCUUUCUCUAUUUCAGAUGUUCUGCAUAACAUCAUAAUGCAGUGUUUCUUAUGGAAGAUACAGAUGCAAAUCAAAGUGAAAAAAAUGUUGAUCAAGCUCCAAAUUUGUCCUAUGAAGAUAUAGAUGUCGAUCUUAAGAUCACUUAGACUUGAUUAUUGAUUAUGUUAUCUUUUGUUUGUUCUUGUUUAUUUAAAUAGAGAAAGUAUUUUCUACUAGAAACUAGUUUAUUAUCUCUUUUUCAUUAUUAGUUGUCUAAAAAUUAACAUUUGAUUAUUAUUAUUAUUAUUAUGUUUGUAAAGACUUGCAUUUUAAGUUUUAAUAUGUAAUUUUAAUUUCAUUUAUAUAAUUUUAUAUUUUUUAAAUUAUGACCGGGUCAACCGAGUGAAUCAGUGACCCAUCGGUUGAACCAGACCGGGUGGAUUGCCGAUUCAGUUCUGAUAACUAUAAUUGUAGAUUUGUAGCCCUUUUUUCUUACUAUAUUAGUUUUAGUAUAUUAAAGGCAAAAUUUCCAAGGCGUAGAGUGAAGAAAAUGGUCAAACAAUCAACUCAAUUGAAGGAACUUAAAACCCAAACGCAGCAACCUCAAUUCAAAGAGCUUGAAAUCGAAGGUACAGCAAAAUCAAAUAACAAAUUUCUUGAUCAGCAUAAAGUUUUCACUAUUUAUUUAUUUUUAUUAAAACUCUACCUGUGUGUUUGUGGCAGUGGAGCGUCAAAUCAGUGCAAUUAAGGUGGUUCGUGAUGUUGAGAUUGAGCGAUUGUUGAUGGAACUUCGUUUGGUUCCGUCGUGUUUCAGUGAGGAACAGCUCCGGAAGCCAAUGCUGCAGGUCUUCGAAGAAACCUUACCGAAUCCCUCAAUUGUGAAAGAUGAAGGGAAUGGAAAAUUUGAUGUGAAGUAGAAAGAGAGAGGGAGCAGAAUGUCCACGACUUGUGGUGGUGUAGGAAGAGAUUUGCACGCUUCUCUGUUCUAGAGGCUUUCGAUUGCUUUUCCUUCGGAAUGUCCUUUUUCGGUUCCUUAGUUUGGUGGUUUUGAAUACUCUAGCAAUACUGGUAGUGUUUAGUUUUCUCUUUCGAUUUAACUCAUUUCAUAUCUGAAUUAAAGUUUCCUAAAUUGAAUUAAAAAAAAUGGAAAUGUAUGUUACGAAACAUACUAUUGUUUUGUGCCCCUUAAAAUGUUUGAGUUCCUUCAAUUUUGAACGAUUUUACUAUAGAUAUUAUAGUUCUUAUACAUUUUGGCAUAGAUUGUAGUUGAUACCUGUUAGUUUACUUCUUUGUUGGUAGGGAGAACCGGAUUUCUUGGUGAUGAAAAUCUUCAUUUUAAGGACUUUGUAUGUUCUCUAUCUUCUCUGUGCACUUUGAUUAAUUGUAUUUUGUAACAUCCUUAGCUGGCUUGUUUGGGUCACUUACAUAGGACUUGAUGCGACAUAAAAUUGGGGGUAGCUGUGUAGGAGCAGCAUUAAUAUAGCACUUCCAUUCUCAUUUCCAUCAUGUGCUGAAGCAUCCAUGAAUUGAUUUGAAUGAGAAAUGUUGCUAUUCAUUUAGGAUCCUUUCAUGUGCAGAUGGAAGAGAACUUGCCUCUAUUACUAGUUUCAUUGCAUACGCUGCUAAAUCUAUUAUGACUAACUUAAACAGCUUGCAAAUAAAAACUAAUUAGUGAUUGCAAUGUAUUGUGAUAAUAUGAAUUGAUUGAAUAUCUUGCUAUAUCUUGUUCAUUUAGUUUCCUUGUUGCAUGAAGAGAUACUUUUCUAAAAAUAAACUACCAAGAAUGGUACUCGAAAGUUUAUGCCGCUAAUAAAAAUAACCUAGAAAGAUAACAAAUAAGCUCCAAAAGAUUUAAAAAGUGAGAAAACUAACCGGAUAUUAGUUAUAUUUUUUUCAUAAAAUACUUUAGAUAUUAGAUUUCGAUGCGAUUUUUUGUAAGUAUUAUUAGAAAAAUGAGACUUUGUCAUAGUUAAAAUUUGGUGAUUUGUCAAGGAAUUUUUUCAAUGUUUUUUGUGAAUGAUUGAAUUUAAAAUAAAAUGCACAAGUUGUUUACUAAAUACAAAAUUCCUUUAUCAUUUAUGUAAAAAAAAUAUGAUAUUUUUGUUAAUUUUGUCACGUUUUUAAAUCUUUUGAGACUUCUUUGUCAUUCAUAGAAAUCUUAUUUGGUUAUUUUUCAUAGCGAUAUGAGUUUUUUGGUGCAAUUUCGAUAGUUUACCUUGUUCCUAAUAGCAUGUGAACUAUUUUUAGCUCAAUUUGUUAGUUACUUUAUAAGCUAAGCUCUUAAGCCAGUGAGCUACUGAGCUUGAGCUAAAAAUUUGAGCUCAUUUAUUAAAUGAGUCAAACUUAACUUUGCUAUGUUCCAUGAGCAGGGUUUGGUAGAGUUGAUGGAAGGUAUACCGGUUCGGAAUUCCACAAAAUACUUCCGUUGUUAGUAUAGCCCAACCGAUAAUCAAUCCUCAAUCCCAAAUUAAGAAAGGGUGGUUGUCACAAGUGCUAACCGCAAAUAAGAAUGUAACCGGAGUAUUUAGACUCUGGGUCGUCUCACGAAGAAUGGGCAAGCAUGUGCUUUAGCAUUGAUAAAAAAUACGGGGUUGAGAAUCAUGGUAAUGAAAAUUAACUACCAAGCUUGUCAUGCAAGAAAUCUUAAAAUGCAAGAAACUCUAAAUUUAAGCAAUUAACUAAAUCAAGAACUAGCAACUAAGAAUUUUGGUUUUUCAAAUAUGAAUCAAAGGUACUCUUGACUAAGCAUGGGAAUUGGGGUCUCUAUCCUUGUCUUCAACUAUAAUUAGCCAAUUGUGACGAACCAAACUCACUAAGUCUACCUCAAAGAACCUUAAGUACGUAAUAUUUACUCCUAGGGUUGAGGUAUGUCAAGUGGUUUGACCAAUUUCAACACAUAAGUCCCAACCAAUCUACUAAUUAGUAGUGGGUUGGUGUUAAUGGGUGUCAAUUUGGUCACUAAGGGUUCUCCAAUCAAUAAUCCAAUGAGACCCAAUGACUCAAGGUCACCCAAUUCUCAUAACUUAGACCAAGAGUAAAAGAAACUACUCCAUAAUUAAAGCAAACAUUUCAUCAAACACAUAGAAUGCACUAACUAGAGACAUGUUCAAAUUACAAUUAAAUUGAGAAUUAUGAGGACCCACUAACAAUCAUUUAUAGAAACUACACAAUUAACACUAGCAAUCACAAGAAGAAUCAACAUAUUCAUAGAAAUCAACACCCACAAUGUUCAUGAAUUGGGGUAGAAAAUUGAAAAGCAACAAGACAACACAAUCAAGAUAAGAUCUAAACAAAAUAACACUAGAGGAUUCAAAUUGAGUAAACAAGAGUAUCAAACAACAAGAUCCAAUCCAGUAAUUUCACAAUGGGAGAUCAAAAUCAAGCUAGAUCUAGGGAGGAAGAAGGGUUCCCUCUCUAGAUGAACAAAAACUACCCAAAAACUCAAAAUGUGUCUAAGUGUCUAAUGUGUGAUCCCCCCUUGCUCCUACAAUCCCUGGGUCAUUUCCAUGCAGAGCUAGCCUUCAAUUGGGCCCCUCCCGGCCUCAGAAAUCGCCAGCCACAAUUUCAUUAAUGAGGUCACGUGCUGGUCACGACGCGUGCGCGCCAGGUGUGCGCGCGCACCGAUGAGCUCCUGAAUCCACGCGUACGCGCACGGUGCGUGUGCGCGCCGAUGACGAUUCUUCCAAUGAGCGCGAGAGCGUUAGCUAUAUGCGAGUGGCCACAAUAGUACGCAUCCACGCGUGCGCGCCAGGUGCGCGUGCGCGUCGAUGACUGAACUCCAAGGCUCCAAAGUUCCAUGUUUCUUCACUUGUGCAUGCUUCCUUCUCCUCUUCUAGACCAAUCCUGCCCUGGAAACUCUAAAAUCACUGAAUAAACACGUCACGGCAUCGAGUGGUAAUAGAAGAGAUCAAAAUAUAGCAAUUCCAGCUCAAAUAAGCAUGUUUUCAAUCACAAGGUCAAACACGGAUGGAGAUACAAAACCAUGCAAUUCAAGUGGAUAAGUGCGGAAAUAUUGACAAAAUCUUCUCAAAUCAGCACAAGAUAAACCACAAAAUUAGGGUUUAUCAAAUCUCCCCACACUUAAACCAUGCAUGUCCUCAUGCUAAAGAUAAGAAGACCAAAGGAUAUAGGGAAAAGAGAGUUGUGGAAUGGAACUAAUGCAAAUGCAUCUACCUACUUGGUCAAGGGUGAAUCUAUCCUCCAAGAAUAUAUGGGAAUACAUAGGGUUAAGGUGACAUGAUAGUCCAAGAAUCCUACCAAUUCAAAGCAUCACAAUGCGGUGAACAUAACUUGCAAGAUGUACGCUUGUGAAAGUCGGGAACAAGAAGUUGAGCAUCGAACCCUCACCGGAAGUGUAUCCGCUCUAUUCGCUCAAGUGUAUAGGGUUCGCCACUCAAUUCCCUUCCAAUCAUGCUCUCCAAGAUUUGUCCUUCAUCUAACAAUCAACAAUUAUUUUAAUGCAUGCAUACAGUUAUCAUGAGGUCUUAUUUUCAGUUGUAAUGGGGCUAGGGUGAGGGUAAGGAUGCAUGUAUGGCCAAGUGAGCUUAAGAUUUGUAUCUUUGAUUAGCUUAGAUCCUCACCUAAAACAUACAAUAACCUAUGCAAUUCUAAUACAUAACCUAGCUACCCAAUUAUCCACUUUUCCUCAUGCUCAUGUAUUUCUCUUUAGUUCUUCAUCUGCAUGCAUUGGUGAUCAUUGGCUUUGCCUUGGGGUAAUUUGUCCCAUUUUCAUUGUUUCUUUAUCUAUGUUUUUGUCUCUUUUGUUUUUCUCUUUUUUUUUCUAUUCUUUUUUUUUUUACAUUCUUCCUUUUCUUUCUUUUUGUUUCUCUUUGCUUGUCCCCUUCUUUUUGGGGAUUUUAUGUACAAGAGUGCCAAUGCAUGCGGUCCAAUCAUUCAAUACAUAAGUAUGUUCUUACCUCCCAAAUUUUUUUUCAUUAUAAUUACAAAAACCUACCUUUACAUCUACCCAAGUUCCCAGGUAUUCCCUCCCAAUUGAAUAACACACACCCUCACUCACCUAAGCUAAUCAAGGAUCCAAUUCCAGGGACAUUCAUUGUUUUCUGCUUAGGGGUGUUGACGUGCUAAAAUUAAGAACAAAAGGGAUUAUUAUGGGCUCAAAAUUGGUUAGCAAUGGUAGAUAAAGGUUAAGGCUAUUUUGGGGAAGUGAAGUGACUAUUGAAAUGAUAGCCUCAAUCAUGUAAAUGCAUUCAUACACCAAAUAAAGGACAUAUAGAGUCAGACAAAGCAAUGAUUACACUCAUGGAAAGAGAAUGUUCGCACACAAGAAGAAAAAUAAGUAGUCAUAAGAUGUGACCACGUCAUUAGGCUCAAGUCCCACAAGCUUGUGUUCUUAACUCAACAAUCAUGUUCCAAAGUACAUUCUUCUAGCAAGUUUGUCACACAAAAAUUUUUUUUUUCAAUUAAUUGGUAGGGUGCCCUAAAAAUACAUUUUCUCAGAAAAGGAAGUUAUUACUUUGACCAAGUGUAAACUAACUAUCAUGCAAGGAGUAUUCACAAGCAAAAGUUAACUAACAUGCAAUCUACUGACUAAUCAAGAACAUCCAUGGGUGAGGAAGAGAUGGUUACCCAUGGAGAUCGGUCGAACGACCUCCCCACACUUAGAAUAUAGCACGGUCCUCCGUGCUACUAGCAAUGCGCAAAGGACGGUCGGGACUGGAACUAGCACUAUCCUCUUCAUCAGAGCUCCUGUCAGUUGGGUUCGAAGUGGAUGUGAAUAUUUCGCGUUCCUUCAGUUUAGGGGUAACACAACGCAGAAGCUUCUUGAUGUAAGUAUAGCGGCGUUGGUUGCGCCACUCAUAUCUAUCAAUCUUUCGGUGGAGAUCUUCAAUUUGUUGAUGGGUGGAUCUUUGUGGUGGUAGUGAUGAUGAUGUGGAAGGAAAAAUAGGCUGCGGGGUAAUGUCAAGGCUUGGGGUAGUCAAGGGAAGCUGUAAGUAUCUCCCACUCGGGACUACAUCGCCCUUGGCCGGAAUUAUAGCCUUCGUGUUCGUGGUCUCCCAAGGAACACCCGCUGCAGCGACUAAAGUAGAUACCAAUGCUGGUAAUGGCAAAUUACCCCGAGCAUGGAUUUGACUCAUUGCUUGUUGGACAAGAAGUGGAAUGUUCACCGGUCUCUCUGUGAGAACACACCAAACAAGCAAGGCAAGAUCCGCCAUGAAGGACGACUUGUGGGUGCUAGGUAGCACAUAGUGGGAGAGGAUCUGGGCCCAAGCUCUAGCUUCCACAGUAAGGUAACGAGCAUCGAUGCACUUGGGCUGCAUCCGGAGUCGUCCUUGGGUCCAAAAUGUCUCUGGCUCAGUGAUGACUCGAAGAAUCGAGUCCCAAUCAAACCCAAACGCACUUCGCUGACGUAAGACCUCUUGGUAUCCAUCCAUUUCCCUUGGUACCGGUAGGACAUUAAGCACAUGCUGAAUAGCCUCUUCUGAAACCAGGACUUGCUUUCGGCGCACAUAUACUGGCUGAAGAGAUGGGAGGUGGUAGUUGGUAUAAAAAUCUACCACCCAAGAGAUUGACCUCUUGUGGUUUUCUCAGAAGAAAAUCCCAUCCUCGCCGCUCGAUGCGGGGUAGGAUAUAAUGGGCAAUCUUGUCCGGAGGGGUGAGUAGAUGCUCAGCAUGAUAGUUCCGAUCAACCAUGGCGGGGAACACAAGUUCACAGAAGCGGUUGGGGAACCUUGAAGAGUCCCUUUCCGGAUUGCUCUUCUCUUUUUCAUCAAUAGGAGUGGAUGCCUUCGCUUUCUUAGAAAGAGGUAUGGCUUCUAGUGUAGGAUGCGCCUUGGAGGAUGACUUUUGGGGUGCCCUUUUUGUGGCCGGUUUUCUUGGUUCCUUCCCCUUUCCUUUUUUGGUGGCCAUCUUGAAAAAGGAAAGAGAAUGAAAAAUAUUAAACCCAAAUAAUCAUCUCAUGGAAAACAUCAUGCAAGUGAGAAGUAGUGCCCAGAGUAAAUUGUGGAUCUUGAAGAUGCGACAGUUGCACAUGUGAUCAAGAACAACUAAAGAAGCAUGGGUCACAACACUUAGCAUGGGAUGCAAGAGUGAAUAAUGCAUGCAAUGUGGCAUGAGAAGAGUGCACUCAAGUAUCCAAAAGAAAGAACCAGUCAUGUGAAGUGAGCAUUCAAUUGGUGAGCAUAAAGUAGAAUGGCUCAAUAUGCUUGAAAGAUGGCAAGUGAAUGAGGAAGAAGCACUAAAUUGCGGGUACAAGACCAAAACAAACCAAAAUGGCAUGUGUGCAUUUCUUCGAACACUUGGCGUGCAACUAACAAGUAAUGAGCAAAUAUAAGAAACUCACUCAAUUAAAGCCUCAAAAUGAAACAUCAAUCAUCAACACAAGAUCACUUACUUACAAAGUCAUCAAAUGACAACAACAAGAUUUACUCAAGCAAAUUAAAGUUUUAGUUCAUCAUCCAUGGAGAAAUAAGAAAGGAAAAAUCAAAUGGACAAGCAACAAGCAAAUAAAAGUAAGAGAGAAAUAAGAAGGUACUAAAAGAAGCAUGCAACUAAAAGAAGAAAAUGUGAAAAGAAAGUAAGAGAUGAGAGUAGAAGAAGCAAAACCUUGAGAGGGAGAGAGAGGCAAGAUGGGGUUCUUGCAAAAGGAGAAGAGGGGAAGAGAAAUGUAGGGCCACCGGAGGUGGUGGUGGUUGCCAGUGGGUGACCAGAGACAAUGUAAGUGAAGUAUGGAAGAAGAGGAAAGAGUAAGUAGUGGAAGAAGAGAGAAUUAGAAAAGAGAUGAGAGGAGGGACGAAGCAGGGGCGCGCAGUUUAAAGCUGGGCUGCGUGGCCGGCGCGCGCGCGCAUAGCGCGCUAGCGCACCGAUAAGGGUUGGGCAAGGGACGCGUGCGCGUCCCUUGCACGUACGCGCUAAGAUUGGCACGGGGUAGGCCCAGAGUAGGCCUAACUCUCUGGUUGUUGUACCAGAGUUGGCGUGCGGCAUAAGCGACGCGGACACGCACAGUGCGCGUUCGCGCGUAUGAAGAGGGUGGCGACCGACGCUGACGCGCCAGGUGCACUUGCGCGUCAGGUCGUGGGCACAGAGCAGGCACGACUUUGGCACAACUCUCUGAUUUUUGUACCAGAGAGCUCAGAAUACACACACGACGCACACGCACUGUGCGCUUGCGCGUCGAUAACGAGACAGCAGGGUUGCGCGCAGGCGCCACGUACGCUUGCGCGUGGGCCGCCUGACAUGAAGUGGGCACAAAAGAGGCACAACUCUCUGGUUUUUUAUACCAGAGUAUAAAUGCACCACCGGCACGCACGCGCACGGCACGCUGGCGCGCGGAUGCCCAAUUUCCCCUUCUUUUUUUUUGUUUUUUUGUUUUUUUUUAACAACACAGGAAAAAGAAAAUGUAAUUUAACAUACUCUUGGCAUACAAUCAACUAGAUAGGUUGAGAAAACACUCACAAAAUCAUACAACACUCAAGAUGAAGUAUUUCAACAACACAACCAACACAACAAAGAUUGCCAAGGUUGACAAAAUCCUAAUGAGUAUCACAACAUUCAAACAAAUUCAACUAUACCUAUCAUAUCAACAUAUAUCAAAACAAGCUCAACAAUCAUAAAAAAUCAUGGAAUUCACAAGUAUCUAAGCUAGAAACAAGAAAGUAUAUACAAGAACGAACAUACCACGGUGGGGUGUUGGUGCACGAAUUGUGAAUCACACUUUUCACAACUCGUACCACUAACCAACAAGUGCACUGGGUCGUCCAAGGUAUACCUUACGUGAGUAAGGGUCGAAUCCCACAGAGAUUGUUGGUUUGAAGCAAUCUAUGGUUAUUUUAUAAAUCUUAGUCAGGAAGUCAAUUAUAUUUAUCAGUUGAAUUGCGAAUAACCAAAAGAGCAUAAAUUAAAGGUUACUUGUUAUGCAGUAAUGGAGAAUAUGUUGGAGUUUUGGAGAUGCUUUGUCUUCUGAAUCUCUGCUUUCCUCUGUCUUCUGAUUCACGCACGCAUGUCCCCCUAUUGCAAGCUGUGUGUAGGUGGAUCACCGUUGUCAAUGGCUACCAUCCAUCCUUCCAGUGAAAAGAUUCCAAGUGCGCUGUCACCGCACGGCUGAUCAUCUGCAGGUUCUCAGUCAUACCGGAAUAGGAUCUGCUAUCCUUUUGCGUCUGUCACUACGCCCAGCACUCGUGAGUUUGAAGUUCGUCACAGCCAUCCAAUCCCAGAAUCCUACUCGAAAUACCACAGACAAGGUUUAGACUUUCCGGAUUCUCAUGAAUGCCGCCAUCAAUCUAGCUUAUACCACGGAGAUUCUGGUUAAGGAAUCUAAGAGAUACUCAUUCAAUCAGAUAUAGAACGGAGGUGGUUGUCAGGCACACGUUCAUGGUUUGAGGAAGGUGAUGAGUGUCACAGAUCAUCACCUCUAUCACAGUUAGGCGCGAAUGAACAUCUUAGAUAGGAACAAGCGUGUUUGAAUGGAAAACAGAAAUACUUGCAUUAAUUCAUCGAGACACAGCAGAGCUCCUCACCCCCAACAAUGGAGUUUAGAGACUCAUGCCGUCAAAGAGUACAAAGUUCAGAUCUAAAAUGUUAUGAGAUACAAAAUAAAUCUCUAAAAGUUGUUUAAAUACUAAACUAGUAGCCUAGGUUUACAGAAAAUGAGUAAACUGUAACAGAUGGUGCAGAGAUCCACUUCUGGGGCCCACUUGGUGUGUGCUGGGGCUGAGACUUAAGCAAUUCACGUGCAUAAGGCUGUUUUGGGCGUUCAACGCCAGGUUUGGAUCCAUUUCUGGCGUUGAACUCCAACUUUUGAUCCUUUUCUGGCGCUGGACGCCAGAAUUGGGCAGAGGACUGGCGUUGAAUGCCAGUUUACGUCAUCUAUCCUUGUGCAAAGUAUGGACUAUUAUAUAUUGCUGGAAAUCCCUGGAUGUCUACUUUCCAACGCAAUUGGAAGCGCGCCAUUUCAAGUUCUGUAGCUCCAGAAAAUCCACUUUGAGUGCAGGGAGGUCAGAAUCCAACAGCAUCAGUAGUCCUUUUUCAGCCUGAAUAAGAUUUUUGCUCAGCUCCUUCAAUUUCAGCCAGAAAAAUACCUGAAAUUACAGAAAAACAUACAACUCAUAGUAAAGUCCAGAAAUAUGAAUUUUUUCCUAAAAACUAAUAGAAUUAAACUAAAAACUAACUAAAACAUCCUAAAAACUAUAUGAAAUUAACCCCAAAAAGCGUAUAAAAUAUCCGCUCAUCACAACACCAAACUUAAACUGUUGCUUGUCCUCAAGCAACUAGACAAAUAAAAUAGAAGACUAAUAGGUUGAGAAGCAAUAAUAUCUCAAAGUUUUUGAAUGAAGCUCAGAUUCUAAUUAGAUGAGCGAGGCUAGUAGCUUUUUGCUUCUGAACAGUUUUGGCAUCUCACUUUAUCCAUUGAAGCUCAGAGUGAUUGGCAUCUAUAGGAACUCUGAAUUCAGAUAGUGUUAUUGAUUCUCUUAUUUCAGCGUGAUGAUUCUUGAACACAGCUAUUUUAUGAGUCUUGGCCGUGGCCCUAAGCACUUUGUUUUCCAGUAUUACCACCGGAUACAUAAAUGCCACAGACACAUAACUGGGUGAACCUUUUCAGAUUGUGACUCAGCUUUGCUAAAGUCCCCAAUUAGAGGUGUCCAGAGUUCUUAAGCACACUCUUCUUUUUGCUUUGGACCUUGACUUUAACCGCUCAGUCUCAAGUUUUCACUUGACACCUUCACGCCACAAGCACAUGGUUAGGGACAGCUUGGUUUAGCCGCUUAGGCCAGGAUUUUAUUCCUUCUUGGCCCUCCUAUCCACUGAUGCUCAAAGCCUUGGGAUCCUUUUUAUUACCCUUGCCUUUUAGUUUUAAGGGCUAUUGGCUCUUUGCUCUUGCCUCUUGGUUUUAAGAGCUUUGGCUUUUUCUGCUUGCUUUUUCUUUUUCUUUCUAUUUUUUUCGCUACUUUUUCUUGCUUCAAGAAUCAUUUUUAUGAUUUUUCAGAUGAUCAAUAACAUGUCUCAUGUUCAUCAUUCUUUCAAGAGCCAACAUAUUUAACAGUCUUAAGCAACAAAUUCAAAAGACAUAUGCACUGUUCAAGCAUUCAUUCAGAAGACAGAAAGCAUUGCCACCACAUUUAACUAAUUAGAAUUUCUCUUAUUAAAACUCGAAAUUUUAUUGCCUCUUAUUCAAAAGAUCUACUACUUUAUUCAUGUUUGCUGAUGAUGAGAAAAAUAAACUAUAGCUUAAUUGGAGAAAAAAAUCAAAAUAGACACUAGUUACUACUAUAUGACUCCUAAGGUAAACUUCUAUAAGGACACUAUCACAGAGUUAAGGCAGAAAUUGGAAAUUAACAACCUUUAUUCUGGGGGAACGGGGGUUCCUCUGAUCCUUGGGGUGCUUGGUCCUGCAAGAGAUACUUUCUGGCGCUUCAAGUCCCUUAAGUCACGCCCUUGCUCCUCUUGUUCUUUAAACAUAUAGGUGAGAAUUUGACCGUGUUCCUUUUGUUCUUUUAUGAUUUGUUCCAUAGCUUCCCGUAUCUUGGUAACAGACGUCUCAAGAUACUCCCAGUAUUCAGACUGAAGGAUCUCUGGGAGAAAUUCCUGUGUUUUCUUCUUGAUGGGAUCAUCCUGUGCUUGUUGUUUUUCCAUUGAUGCUUUGGUGAUUGGCUUCUCAACUGAGAUAUACUCAGUUAUUCCCAUCCUUACUCCAGCAUCCUUGCAGAGCAGAGAGAUCACGCUUGGAUAAGCCAACCUGGCCUCUUUAGAAUUUUUGUUAGCAAUUUUGUAGAGUUCAGCUGAGAUCAGCUAAUGGACUUCCACUUCUUUUCCCAUCAUGAUGCAAUGGAUCAUCACUGCUCUUUUAACAGUGACCUCAGAACGGUUGCUGGUGGGCAGCAGAGAAUGCCCAAUGAAGUCCAGCCAUCCUCUGGCGACUGGUUUGAGAUCUUCUCUCUUGAGUUGAUUUGGGACACCCUUUGUGUUGGUGGUCCACCUGGCUCCAGGGAUACAUAUGUCCUCUAGAAUCUUGUCCAGGCCCUUGUCUGUUCUCAUCAUUCUCCUAUUGAAUGAGUCUGGAUCAUCUUUCAGCUGAGGUAGCUUUAAGAUCUCCCUGAUCUUGUCAGGGUGAGUAUGAACAAUCUUUCCUCUGACCACGGUCCGAUAGUCAUAGAGAGCAGUCCCAGAUAGUUUCUGCUUGUCAGUUUGCCACAUAUUAGCAUAGAACUCCUGGACCAUGUUCCUCCCCACUUUCGUUUCAGGAUUAGCUAGGAGUUCCCAGUUCCUGAUUCGAAUUUGCUCCUGGAUCUCCGGAUAUUCAUCUUCUUUCAGAUUGAAUCUAACUUCCGGGAUCACUAAUCUCAGACCCAUUAUUUUGUAAUAAUGGUCUGAAUGUUCUUUAGAUAAGAACUUCCCUUGAUUCCAAAGUGGUUUUGGAACGCUCUCUUUCUUGCCUCUUGGAGUGGGUUGUUUUCCUUUAGGAGCCAUGAUCUUAGUGAUCUCGGAUAAACACACCAAACUUAGAGGUUUGCUUGUCCUCAAGCAAAAGAAAAGAAAGGAGAGGGAUGGAAGGAGAGCUAGGUGCAAUUGUUGAUUGAGGAGGAGGGAGGCCGAACCCAUAUUUAAAGGGAUGGGGGGGUUUUCGAAAAAUUGGAAAAGAUAAGAUAAAAAGAUUGAUUUGAAAAAGAUAAGAUAGAAGAUAUAGUUUAAAAUUGAGAAGAUAUGAUAGAUUUUUGAAAAAGAUGAAUCUAGAUUUUGAAAAAGAUAAUAUGGAGAUUUGAAAAAGAUAUUGAAAAUAUUUUAGAGUGAAAAAGAUAGAUUUGUUUUUAGAAAAUAUUUGAAAGGAGUUGGAUUGAAUUUGCAAAGAGGGUUGUGCUUAUGGAUUAAGAUAUAUUUGAUAUUUUGAAAGAGGAAUUUUUAGAAAUUAAAGUUUUUAGAAAUCAGGGUUCUUGACAUGUUUAUGCAAGAAAUCAUGUAUUGAAACAUAAAAUUUUGAAAUUAGAAUGGAAAUAUGUGUGGAAAAAAAUGAAUUUGGCUCUUCCCUGCCAUCCUGGCGUUUGAACGCCCAAACACUGCCUGUUUUGGGCGUUCAGCGCCCAAAUGCUGCACUCCUGGGCGUUCAACGCCCAGUUGUUGCCCUUUUCUGGCGUUGAACGCCAGAUUGCUAUCCUUCCUGGCGUUCAGCGCCCACUGGAUGCCCAUUUUGGGCGCUGAACGCCCAAAAUGGCCUUCACUGGCGUUUUCUUGCCAGUGAGCUCCCUAUCUCUGUUUUGUGUGUAGAUUCCUUCUGUAACCCUGUGGAUUUAUGAAAAUAAUGAUUUACCUUAGUCUCAAUGAAUUUUAUAUAAACAAAUAAAAAUAAAAAUCGGGCAAAAUGCUUAGAGGAUUGAUGCCCCAUGGCUGGGUUGCCUCCCAGCAAGCGCUUCUUUAUUGUCUUUAGCUGGACCUUGCUGAGCUUUUAAUCUAGCUUCAGCCUUGAGCAUUCUUGCUCAAUGUUGCCUUCAAGAUAAUGCUUGAUUCUCUGUCCAUUGACAAUGAACUUCUUAUCAGAAUCAAUAUCUUGAAGCUCCACAUAACCAUAUGGUGACACACUUGUAAUCACGUAUGGUCCCCUCCACCGGGAUUUCAAUUUCCCGGGGAAUAGCCUGAGUCUAGAGUUAAACAGCAGAACCUUCUGUCCUGGUUCAAAGAUUCUAGAUGACAGCUUUCUGUCAUGCCAUUUUUUUUAUUUCUCUUUAUAAAGCUUGACAUUUUCGAAAGCUGUGAAUCUGAAUUCCUCUAGCUCAUUUAGCUGGAGCAAUCUUUUUUCUCCUGCUAACUUGGCAUCAAAGUUUAGGAAUCUGGUUGCCCAGUAGGCUUUAUGUUCCAGUUCCACGGGCAGGUGACAUGGCCUCAACCCAUUUUGAUACAUAGUCAACUACCACCAGAAUAUAAGUGUUUGAGUAUGAUGGUGGGAAAGGUCCCAUGAAAUCAAUUCCCCAUACGUCAAACAACUCAAUCNCACACCUACGGAUUAUUCCGUCUGCACAUCUCUUAAAGAGAUAGGGUUCAUCCCACAAGUAGUACUUUGCAUCAGUGAUUAAUUUUUUCUUUUGUAUACUGUUGUACUCUUUGGGUAUGAACCUUGCAGCUUUAUAGUUUGCAAUAUCGGCAAACCAUGGUGCUUCCUGAAUGGCAAAUAGAUGCUCAUCCGGAAAAGUCUCAGAGAUCUCAAGAGAGGGGAGGGGCGUCCCUUCUAUUGGCUCUAUCCGGGACAGAUGAUCAGCCACUUGGUUCUCUGUCCCUUUUCUGUCUCUUAUUUCUAUAUCAAACUCUUGCAGAAGCAACACCCAUCUGAUGAGCCUGGGUUUUGAAUCCUGCUUUGUGAGUAGAUAUUUAAGAGCAGCAUGGUCAAUAUACACAAUCACUUUUGAUCCUACUAAGUAUGAUCUGAACUUGUCAAUGGCAUAAACCACUGCAAGUAAUUCUUUUUCUGUGGUUGUGUAAUUUUUCUGGGCAUCAUUUAAAACGCGACUAGCAUAAUAAAUGAUGUGCAGAAGCUUGUCAUGCCUCUGUCCUAACACUGCACCAAUGGCGUGAUCACUGGCAUCACACAUUAGCUCAAAUGGUAAUGUCCAGUCUGGUGCAGAGAUAACUGGUGCUGUGACCAGCUUAGCUUUCAGCGUUUCAAACGCCUGCAGGCACUCUGUGUCAAACACAAAUGGCGUGUCAGCAGCUAGCAGGUUGCUUAGAGGUUUUGCGAUUUUUGAAAAAUCCUUUAUAAACCUCCUAUAGAAUCCUGCAAGCCCCAGAAAGCUUCUGAUUGCCUUAACAUUGGCAGGUGGUGGUAAUUUUUCAAUUACCUCUAUCUUUGCUUGAUCCACCUGUAUUCCCUUGUUUGAGAUUUUAUGCCCAAGAACAAUCCCUUCAGUCACCAUGAAGUGACAUUUUUCCCAGUUUAAAACUAGGUUGGUCUCUUGGCAUCUUUUCAGAACAAGUUUCAGGUGAUCAAGACAGGAGCUGAAUGAGUCUCCAUAUACUGAGAAGUCAUCCAUGAAGACUUCCAGAAAUUUUUCCACCAUAUCAGAGAAAAUAGAGAGCAUGCAUCUCUGGAAGGUUGCAGGCGCAUUACACAGCCCGAAUGGCAUCCUUCUAUAAGCAAACACUCCAGAUGGACAUGUGAAUGUUGUUUUCUCUUGAUCCUGGGGAUCUACUGCAAUCUGGUUAUAGCCUGAGUAGCCAUCCAAAAAGCAGUAAUAAUCAUGACCUGCCAGUCUUUCUAGCAUCUGGUCUAUGAAUGGUAAAGGAAAAUGAUCCUUUCUGGUGGCUGUAUUGAGCCUUCUGUAGUCAAUACACAUGCGCCACCCUGUAACUGUUCUUGUAGGAACCAGUUCAUUUUUUUCAUUAUGAAUCACUGUCAUGCCUCCCUUUUUUGGGACGACUUGGACAGGGCUCACCCAGGGGCUAUCAGAAAUAGGAUAAAUAAUCCCAACCUCUAGUAAUUUGGUGACCUCUUUCUGCACCACUUCCUUCAUGGCUGGAUUUAGCCGCCUCUGUGGUUGAACCACUGGUUUAGCAUUAUCCUCCAAUAGGAUUUUGUGCAUGCAUCUAGCUGGGCUUAUGCCCUUAAGGUCACCUAUGGACCACCCAAGAGCUGUCUUGUGUGUCCUUAGCACCUGAAUAAGUGCUUCCUCUUCCUGUGAAUUUAAAGCAGAGCUUAUGAUCACUGGAAAAGUGUCACCUUCUCCUAGAAAUACAUAUUUCAAGGAUGGUGGUAAUGGCUUGAGCUCGGGUUUAGGAGGUUUUUCCUCUUCCAGAAGAAAUUUCAGAGGCUCUUUCAUGUCCUCUGAAUCCAGUUGCUAGGAAGGGUCUUCCUAGAAUGAGAGUAGCACUCUUGUGCUCCUCCAUUUCCAGCACAACAAAGUCAGUGGGAAAGGCGAAUGGCCCAACUCUGACUAUCAUGUCUUCAAUCACGCCUGAUGGGUAUUUAGUGGAGCCAUCAGCAAGUUGGAGACAUAUCCGGGUUGGUUUAACUUCGUCAGCUAAGCCAAGCUUUCUGACAGUGGAUGCAGGUAUUAGGUUGAUGCUUGCCCCAAGAUCACAUAAAGAUGUCUUGGUACAAUUAUCUUCCAAUAUGCAUGGUAUCAGAAAACUCCCAGGGUCUUUAAGCUUUCCAGGAAAGCUCUUCAGAAUGACUGCACUGCAUUCUUCAGUAAGGAGAACUCUUUCUGUUUCUCUCCAAUCCUUCUUAUGACUCAAGAUCUCUUUCAUGAACUUGGCAUAAGAAGGUAUUUGCUCAAGUGCUUCUGCAAAUGGAAUCUUUAUUUCAAGAGUCCUGAGAUAAUCUGCAAAGCGAGCAAAUUGCUUAUCCUGCUCCUCUUUCCGGAGUUUUUGAGGAUAAGGUAUCUUGGCUUUAUAUUCUUCAACCUUAGUUGCUGCAGGUUUAUUGCCUACAGAAGUGGUUGAAGAAGCCUUUUUAGAGGGGUUGUUAUCAGCAUUUGUGUGUGUCUGAUCCCUCACUGGCAAUUGAGUGCCAGAAGUAGAAGCUGGAGUGAUGUUGGGCGCCAACUCCUUGUCUGUUCCUGGCGUUUGAACGCCAGAAUUGUGCCCAUUUUGGGCGUUCAGCGCCAGAUCCUGCCCAUUUUGGGCGUUCAACGCCAGAUCCUUGUCCAUUUCUGGCGUUGAACGCCAAUCCUGCCUUGUUUCUGGCGUUGAACGCCAGUUUUGGGCAUGGUCUGGGCGUUCAGCGCCAGCCUUCCACCAAUUUUCUGGCGUUUUAACGCCAGAAUUAUUUCUCCCUGGGCUCUUAUAGUCCUCAGGUGAAUCUUAGGUGGUUUGCUCAUUUCUUAGCUUUUUGCUGCCUUGAGGUGGGGCAUUUAAUGUUUUCCCACUUCUUAAUUGAACUGCUUGGCAUUCUUCUGUUAUUUAUCUUGACAGCUGCUGCUUUGUUUGCCUAAACUGUUCUUCCAUAUGUAUAUUAGCCAUCCUUGUCUCUUGUAGUCUAUCCUUGAAUUCGGUUCCCCAGAGUCCUCCUGGACUGUUCAUUUUCGCUUAGGUCCUUGAUGGAGAAAGGGAGAUGAUGUAAAAUAGAAAAAAAAUAUUUUUAUUUAUUUAUUUAUUAAUUUAUUUCGAAAAUAAAAUAAUAAUAAAUAAAAAUGGGUGAAAUUUUCGAAAAAUUGAGGAGAGAGAAAAUGGUUAGGAAGUUUUGAAAAAGAUAUGAUGAUUUUUUUGAAAAAGGUUUUAAAUUUUGAAAUAAAAAUCUGAAUUUUUGAAAUAGAAUUCGAAAAUUUGCUUUUAAAACAGAGAGAAAAUAUAUUUUUGAAUUUAAAGAGGAGAGAGAAAAACAAUAAGAUAGCACAAGAUUUAAAAUUUUUAGAUCUAAUGCUCCUUGUUUUCGAAAAUUUUGGAGGGGAAAACACCAAGGAACACCAAACUUAAAAAUUUUAAGAUCAAGACACAAGGAAAACUCAAGAAUACUUUGAAGAUUCACAAGAACACAGUAACACGAAGGAAGAACACCAAACUUAAAAUUUUUAGAAAACCAAACUAAAAUUUUCGAAAAACACAGAGAAAUCAACAAGAAAACACCAAACUUAAAGUUUUGGGCAGAGGACUGGCGUUGAACGCCAGUUUACGUCGUCUAUCCUUGUGAAAAGUAUGGACUAUUAUAUAUUGCUGGAAAUCCCUGGAUGUCUACUUUCCAACGCAAUUAGAAGCACGCCAUUUCGAGUUCUGUAGCUCCAGAAAAUCCACUUUGAGUGCAGGGAGGUCAGAAUCCAACAGCAUCAGCAGUCCUUUUUCAGCCUGAAUCAGAUUUUUGCUCAGCUCCUUCAAUUUCAACCAGAAAAAUACCUGAAAUUACAGAAAAACACACAACUCAUAGUAAAGUCCAGAAAUAUGAAUUUUUUCCUAAAAACUAAUAGAAUUAAACAAAAAACUAACUAAAACAUCCUAAAAACUAUAUGAAAUUAACCCCAAAAAGCGUAUAAAAUAUCCGCUCAUCAGGUGUCUCCCACCCAGCACUUUUCUUUUACAUCCUUAAGUUGGACGAUCUUGUGCUCAAGCUUCCUCUUCUUUUGGUGCAUCCUCCAGGAGGAGCACUUCCACUUCCUUGGGUGAUUUGUAGCCAUGGUACUUCUUUACUCUAUGGCCAUUCACCUUGAAGGUUGUCUUACUUUGAGGAUCAAACAGCUCCACUAUACCAUAGGGUUUAACUUCCUUCACCUUAAAGGGACCUUCCCAUCUUAAACAGAGCUUUCCAGGCAUGAAUCUGAGCCUCGAGUUGUAGAGGAGAACUUCGUCACCUUCUUGAAAAUCUUUCUUCCGAAUGUGGUGGUCAUGGAAUGUCUUAGUCUUUUCCUUGUAGAUCCGGGCAUUUUCAUAUGCCUCUAUUCUAAGAUAUUCAAGCUCCUCUAACUGCAAUUUUCGGGCUACACCCACCUUGGUGAUGUCCAUAUUACACUGCUUCACUGCCCAAUAGGCUUUGUGUUCAACUUCCACCGGGAGGUGGCAUGCCUUACCAUAGACGACCCGAAAGGGGCUCAUCCCUAACGCUGUCUUGUAGGCCGUCCUGUAUGCCCACAAUGCAUCUCCUAACCGAGUGCUCCAGUCCUUCCUUGUGGGUUUACCACUUUCUCCAGGAUUCGCUUAAUCUCUCGGUUGGACACUUCUGCUUGCCCAUUUGUUUGGGGUGAUAUGCAGUUGAAACCUUAUGUGCUAUCCCAUAGCGCUUGAGUAGUGCUUCUACUUUUCUGUUACAAAAAUGGGAACCUUGGUCGCUCACGAUUGCUCGUGGCAACCCAUAACGGCACACAAUAUUAUUUCUAAUGAAAGAAAUCACAGCAUUGGCGUCAUCAAGGCAAGUAGGUAUCGCUUCUACCCACUUUGAGACGUAGUCAAUUUCUAACAGGAUAUACAAGUACCCACUUGAGUUGGAAAAUGGUCCCAUAAAGUCUAUGCCCCAUACAUCAAAGAUUUCGCAAAAUAGCAUGGGUUGUUGAGGCAUUUCAUCCCUUUGAGAUGCAUUCCCCGACUUUUGACAUUGGUGACACGACACACAAAAUUGGUUAGCAUCCUUGAACAGCGUGGGCCACCAGAAUCCACAAUCCAAAACUUUUUUCGCCGUCUGUUGUGGGCAAAAGUGGCCACCAAACUCGGACGAGUGACAAGAUUCAAGAAUUGAUUGGAUUUCAGAUUCUGGAACACAUCUGCGAAUUACUUGGUCUACUCCUCUCCUCCAUAAGUGGGGGUCAUCCCAAAUAUAAUAUUUGGAAUCACUCCUCAACUUAUCUCUUUGGUGUUUGGAAAAGUUGGCAGGGUAAAUCUUAGCAACCAAGUAGUUCGCCAUGGGGGCAAACUAAGGAAAACUAUCCGAAACAGCAUGCAAACCUUCUAAAGGGAAUGAGUCAUUGAUCGGAAAUGGAUCAUACUUAAUAUUUUCCAAGCGGCUUAAAUGAUCCGCAACUAAAUUUUGUGAUCCACUCCGGUCCCUAAUCUCAAUGUUGAAUUCUUGCAAAAGCAAGAUCCAACGUAUGAGCCUGGGUUUUGACUCAGUCUUUGUCAAUAAAUAUUUCAAGGCAGCAUGAUCCGUGUAUACCACUAUCUUAGAGCCUAGCAAGUAAGAUCGAAACUUAUCCAAAGCAUAAACAACGGCUAAAAGCUCUUUCUCGGUAGUGGUAUAGUUGGAUUGUGCCGCAUCCAACGUCUUUGAGGAGUAAGCGAUGAUAUAGGGGAGCUUACCAUCGCGCUGUGCUAGCGCGGCACCUACGGCAUGAUUUGACGCAUCGCACAUGAUCUCGAAUGGCUACGUCCAGUCAGGGCCCCUCACAAUCAGUGCUGUGGUAAGUGCUCUCUUUAACUCCUCAAAUGCGUCCACACAAGCACUAUCAAACUCAAAGUCCACGUCCUUUUGGAGUAGGCGCGACAAUGGCAAUGCAAUUUUGCUAAAAUUCUUGAUGAAGCGCCUAUAGAAUCCUGCAUGCCCCAAAAAAGAACGGACCUCCCUCACAGAUGAGGGGUGAGAUAAACCGGUAAUGACAUUCACCUUGGCCGGGUCUACAGAAAUUCCUUUGUCGGAAACUACGUGUCCUAAUACUAUACCUUGUCUAACCAUGAAGUGACAGUUUUCAAAAUUCAAGACAAGGUUAGUAUCAACACACCUAGCUAGGACCUUGGCCAAGUUCUCCAAACAACUAUCAAAUGAAGUUCCGUGCACACUGAAGUUGUCCAUAAAGACUUCCAUACAACUCUCCAUAAGAUCGGAAAAGACACUCAUCAUACACCGCUGAAAUGUGGUGGGUGCAUUGCAUAGCCCGAAUGGCAUCCUUUUGUAGGCAAAGGUGCCAAAGGGACAAGUAAAUGUGGUCUUUUCCUGAUCCUCAGGAGCGAUGUGAAUCUGGAAAUAUCCAGUAUAGCCAUCAAGAAAGCAAUAAUGGGAUUUACCCACAAGUCGGUCUAGUAUCUGGUCGAUGAACGACAAAGGAUAGUGGUCCUUCCUAGUUGUAGCGUUCAACCUCCUAUAAUCGAUGCACACUCGCCAUGCAUUUUGUACUCUUGUGGUGACCACUUCACCAUCUUUAUUCUUUACAGCGGUGAUGCCAGAUUUCUUUGGAACGACCUGGACCAGACUUACCCAUUCACUAUCAAAAAUCAGGUAUAUGAUACUUGCAUCAAGUAGGCUCGUGACUUCCUUCUUUACCACGUCAAGGAUAGUUGGGUUAAGUCGUCUUUGCGGUUGUCUAACCAGCCGAGCUCCUUCUUAUAGAAAAAUGCGAUGCAUGCACAUUUGUGGAUCAAUUCCCACAAUAUCGGCUAAGCUCCAACCGAUUGCUCUCUUGUGUUUCCUCAGGACUUCUAGGAGCUUCUCCUCUUCGUGACUAGAGAGCUCACUAGCAAUAAUGACCGGAAACUCUUAAUUGUUCCCAAGGAACGCAUACUUCAAAUGAGACGGAAGAGGUUUCAGUUCACUUUUUGCUUCCAAUUGAGGUUCUUUUUCACUGAGCUCAUAGGAUUCAUCUUCAACCAUUUCCCUUUGUUCAUCAUGAUUAUCCUUCUCUUUAAUAGUAGCGUAACAUAGCUCGUCAUGAUCUUCGCUUUGCACUUCCGCUACCACCUCAUCAAUUACAUCACAUCGGAGAACGGAAUGCUCUUCUGGUGGGUGUUUCAUGGCUUUCUCCAAGUUGAACUUAAUCAUCGUAUCCCCAACCUCAAAAGAAUAUCUGCCGGUGUAGGCAUCUAACUUGAAUUUGGAAGUUUUAAGGAAGGGUCUACCAAGUAGAACAGAGGAAGAGCUUCUACCCUCUGUUAGUGGCAUUUCAAGAAUGUAAAAAUCGACCGGAAACACCAAAUCCUUGAUUGCUACGAGUACAUCUUAGGCUAUACCCAUCACAGUAAUUAUACUCUUGUCGGCUAAGGCAAAUCGAGCGGCCAACCUUUUCAAUGGAGCCAAGUUCAACCUUGCAAAAACUGAGAGCGGCAUAAUACUCACACAAGCUCCUAGAUCACACAUACAAUCAGGAAAAAUAACUCUACCAAUACAACAAGAAACCAGACAAGGCCCGGGGUCAUCAAACUUUUCAAGAAUAGGCUUCAUCAAUGCAGAAAUAGAAUUGCCCAAAGACAACAUUUCUAGUUCACCAAUCCUAUCUUUAUGUGUACACAAGUCCUUCAAAAAUUUUGCAUACUUCAGAAUUUGUUGUAUAGCAUCAAGAAGUGGGAUGGUUACCUCAACCUUCUUGAACACUUGGAGCAUGUUCAAAUCGAAUUCCGGAGCUUUCUUUGCUUUCUUUAUCAUUGAAGGGAAUGGGAUAGGAAUGGGAUCAUCUGUGGUAGCUUUCCUCUUAGGUUCCUUGAGGCUCAUUUCUUCUUCUUCUUGCCUUGUGCUCACCUCCUCCUCUUCAUGUGGAGCUUCAACAGCCACUUCCUUCUCCUGAAUGUCUUCCAAGACCCUAGGAGGUAUCUUCUCCAAUGUAGUCCCCGACCGUAGUGUGAUGGCGUUGAGUAUGCCCUUUGGGUUUGGAAGGGGUUGGGAUGGAAGGUUUGAAGAGCUUGAGGGUUGGUGGAUGUUGUUGGAAGAGGGUAAAACCAAUCUUGAGACCAUCUCGGUGAGGUUAGCUAAUUGGGCAUUCACAGUAUUAAAUUGAGCUUUGCUAUUUUCUUCAUUCUUUUCCACAAUAGCUCUAAGCUUAUCAACUUGGUUGGUAGAAGCAGAAGAAGCUUGGUUGGAUUGUUGUCUUUGAUGUGGUGCUUGGUAUUUUUGGUAGUUGUUUUGGUUUUGGUUGGCUUGGUAGUUGUUGUUGUUAUGGUGGUGUUGGGAUGAAGAUUGGUAAUUGUUGUUGUGGUGCGAAGAAGAGUUGUUCCAUCUUUGACCUUGAUGGUUCCCUUGUGCAUUAUCCCUCCACCCUUGAUUGGAGUUAUUGCCAUGAGAGUAGUUGUUGUGGCCUUGGUUUUGGUAGGGUGGGUGAUUGUUGUAAUUCACAUUAGCGACGGCUAAGGUGUAGUCCUCUUGAAUUCGGUGGCAUUGAUCCGUGUAAUGUACGGUGCUAGAACACAAGCCACAAAUCCUUAGAGGACCUUCAAUUUGGGGAACUUGGGGUGAAGCUUGAACGGCUUGAAUGGAAUAGAACUCCUUUUGCUGUUUGUGCAUCUCGAUGAGAAUGGUAGUCAUGUCACCAAGCACCUUAGUCAAACUUGAUUCAGAAGGAGAGGGUUCCACUAUACCCUUGAGGGGGUUGCUUCUCACCCUUACGUGUUGAGUAGCCUCGGUGACAUCAUUUAUCAAGCUCUAUGCUUCCGCCUCUGUCUUGUUCUUGGAAAGGGACCACCGCUAGAUGCGGUAAGUAGCCUUCUAUCUUCCACACAAAGACCUCCGGUGAAGUAACUUAUGAGUAGAUGAGUGCUCAACCCAUGGUGGGGGCAAGUCUCCAAUAAUCUCUUGAAUCGGCUCCAAUACUCAUACAAAGUCUCUUGAUACUUUUGCAUUAUGCCCGAGAUCUCUUUCCGGAUAUAGUCGAUCUUUUCCGGCGGGAAGAACUUGUCUAGAAACUCUCUUCUCAAGAAGUCCCAAUUGGUCACUAUCUCAUCCGGUUGGGAGUAGUACCAUUCCUUCGCUUGCCCUUCAAGAGAAAAGGGGAAGGAGUAAACCAUGAUGGCAAUUUCGUUGGCCCCAUGCCUCCGGGCCGUAGCACAAGCCGCUUGAAAAUCUCUCAGAUGUCGAAUGGGGUCUUGACCGGGAAGCCCAUGGUACUUAGGAAACAAGUUGAUCAGACUACUCUUCAACUCAAAGUUUCGGUCAAGGUUGGGAAAUCUUGUUUGUAGUGGUGGCAGAAUGAGGUCCGGCGCUCCUUGUUCAUGCAAAGUGAUCCUACGUGGCUCCGCCAUGCGAGGUUCACCUGUUGAUUGCGAAGAUGUAUCAGUAGUGCCAACAGAAGAAUAAGAAGUAAUGGACUCUAAGUCGCUCGGAACCGUCUAGUGGUUCGGUAUGUUCCUCAAGUGAGGCCGAAACACUGGGCGCGUAGUCCAACCGACGCCUAGCUUGCCGAGUAUGCAAUAAAGUCCUUUCAAUUUCUAAGUCAAGCUCGGCUAAGCUAGCGUUUGGUUGGGACCGAGUCAUCAAACUUGAGAGUCAUAGCUCAUGUACACAAGAAAUCUAUACUAAGAGAAAAAUAGAGAAAACAAGUAAACUAUCCACACUAUCUACAUAUUCAUAUAACCAAUGCUAAGGCAUACGUUGCACUCAUUCCCCAGCAACGGCGCCAUUAAUUUGGUAGAGUUGACGGAAGGUAUACCGGUUCGGAAUUCCACAAAAUACAUCCGUUGUUAGUAUAGCCCAACUGAUAAUUAAUCCUCAAUCCCAAAUUAAGAAAGGGUGGUUGUUGAUGAGCGGAUAAUUUAUACGCUUUUUGGCAUUGUUUUUAGGUAGUUUUUAGUAGGAUCUAACUAUUUUUAGGGAUGUUUUUAUUAGUUUUUAUGAAAAAUUCACAUUUCUGGACUUUACUAUGAGUUUUUGUGUUUUUCUGUGAUUUCAGGUAUUUUCUGGCUGAAAUUGAGGGAUCUGAGCAAAAAUCUGAUUCAUGCUGAAAAAAGACUGCUGAUGCUGUUGGAUUCUGACCUCCCUAUACUCGAAAUGGAUUUUCUGGAGCUACAGAACUCCAAAUGGCGUGCUCUCAAUUGCGUUGGAAAUUAGACAUCCAGGGCUUUCCAGCCAUAUAUAAUAGUCCAUACUUUAUUCAAGUUUAGACAAUGCAAACACGUCACAAACCAGAGUUAAACGCCAAAAACACGUUACAACUUGGCGUUUAACUCCAGAAGAAGCCUAACACGUGUAAAGCUCAAGUCUCAGCCCCAGCACACACCAAAGUGGGCCCUGGAAGUGGAUUUCUGCACUUAGACUUAUUUCUAUAAACCCUAGUAACUAGUUUAGUAUAAAUAGAACUUUUUACUAUUGUGUAUGGAGUUCCUUUUUGGAAAAUCCCCUUUUGGGAGGAUCCUUGGACGUUCAGUUCUUAGACAUUGGGGGCUGGCCAUUCGGCCAUGCCUGGACCACCAUCACUUAUAUAUUUUCAACGGUGGAGUUUCUACACACCAUAGAUUAAGGUGUGGAGCUCUGCUGUACCUCGAGUAUUAAUGCAAAGUACUAUUGUUCUUCUAUUCAAUUCAUGCUUAUUCUUAUUCUAAGAUAUCCAUUCGCACCCAAGAACAUGAUGAAUGUGAUGAUUAUGUGACGCUCAUCACCAUUCUCACUUAUGAACGUGUGCCUGACAACCACCUUCGUUCUACAUGCAAACAAGCCUGAAUGAAUAUCUCUUGGAUUCCUUAAUCAGAAUCUUCGUGGUAUAAGCUAGAAUCCAUUGGCAGCAUUCUUGAGAAUCCGGAAAGUCUAAAGAGUAGGAUUCAGGGAUUGAAUGACUGUGACGAGCUUCAAACUCGUGACUGUAGGGCGUAGUGACAGACGCAAAAGGAUAGUAAAUCCUAUUCCUACAUGAUCGAGAACCGACAGAUGAUUAGCCGUGCGGUGACAGCGCAUCUGGACCAUUUUCACUGAGAGGACAGACAGUAGCCAUUGACAACGGUGAUCCCCCAACAUACAGCUUGCCAUGGAAAGGAGUAAGAACGAUUGGAUCAAGACAGAAGGAAAGCAGAGAUUCAAAAGGAACAAGCAUCUCCAUACGCUUAUCUGAAACUCCCACCAAUGAUUUACAUAAGUAUCUCUAUCCUAUUUUAUUUAUCUUUUAAUAUAUUAUAAUCUCUCAACCAAUUUGAAUCAGCCUGACUAAGAUCUACAAGAUGACCAUAGCUUGCUUCAUACCAACAAUCUCCGUGGGAUCGACCCUUACUCACGUAAGGUUUAUUACUUGGACGACCCAGUGCACUUGCUGGUUAGUUGUCCGAAGUUGUGAAGAAUGUGUGUGAACCAUGGUAUUGUGCACCAAGUUUUUGGAGCCGUUGCCAGGGAGGGAACGAACAACAAUUGCCAUUGAGAUCACAAAUUCGCCUAUCAGUUGUCACAAGUGCUAACCCCAAAUAAGAAUGUAACCGGAGUAUUUAGACUCCGGGUCAUCUCACGAAGAAUGGAAAAGCAUGUGCUUUAGCAUUGAUCAGAAAUACGGGGUUGAGAAUCAUGGUGAUGAAAAUUAACUACCAAGCUUGUCAUGCAAGAAAUCUUAAAAUGCAAGAAACUCUAAAUUUAAGCAAUUAACUAAAUCAAGAACUAGCAACUAAGAAUUUUGGUUUUUCAAAUAUGAAUCAAAGGUACUCUUGACUAAGCAUGGGAAUUGGGGUCUCUAUCCUUGUCUUCAACUAUAAUUUGCCAAUUGUGACGAACUAAACUCACUAAGUCUACCUCAAAGAACCUUAAGUACGUAAUAUUUACUCCUAGGGUUGAGGUAUGUCAAGUGGUUUGACCAAUUUCAACACAUAAGUCCCAACCAAUCUACUAAUUAGUAGUGGGUUGGUGUUAAUGGGUGUCAAUUUGGUCACUAAGGGUUCUCCAAUCAACAAUCCAAUGAGACCCAAUGACUCAAGGUCACCCAAUUCUCAUAACUUAGACCAAGAGUAAAAGAAACUACUCCAUAAUUAAAGCAAACAUUUCAUCAAACACAUAGAAUGCACUAACUAGAGACAUGUUCAAAUUACAAUUAAAUUGAGAAUUAUGAGGACCCACUAACAAUCAUCUAUAGAAACUACAUAAUUAACACUAGCAAUCACAAGAAGCAUCAACAUAUUCAUAGAAAUCAACACCCACAAUGUUCAUGAAUUGGGGUAGAAAAUUGAAAAGCAAUAAGACAACACAAUCAAGAUAAGAUCUAAACAAAAUAACACUAGAGGAUUCAAAUUGAGUAAACAAGAGUAUCAAACAACAAGAUCCAAUCCAGUAAUUUCACAAUGGGAGAUCAAAAUCAAGCUAGAUUUAGGGAGGAAGAAGGGUUCCUCUCUAGAUGAACAAAAACUACCCAAAAACUCAAAAUGUGUCUAAGUGUCUAAUGUGUGAUCCCCCAUUGCUCCUACAAUCCAUGGGUCAUUUCCAUGCAGAGCUAGCCUUCAAUUGGGUCCCUCCAGGCCUCAGAAAUCGCUAGCCACGAUUUCAUUAAUGAGGUCACGUGCUGGUCGCGACGCGUGCGCGCCAGGUGCGUGCGUGCGCCGAUGAGCUCCUGAAUCCACGCGUAUGCGCACAGUACGCGUGUGUGCUGAUGACGAUUCUUCCAAUGUGCAUGGGAGCGUCAGCUAUAUGCGAGUGGCCACAAUAGUACGCAUCCACGCGUACGCGCCAGGUGCGCGUGCGCGUUGAUGACUGAACUCCAAGGCUCCAAACCUCCAUGUUUCUUCACUUGUGCAUGCUUCCUUCUCCUCUUCUAGACCAAUCCUGCCCUGGAAACUAUAAAAUCACUAAACAAAUACGUCACGGCAUCGAGUGGUAAUAGAAGAGAUCAAAAUAUAGCAAUUCCGGCUCAAAUAAGCAUGUUUUCAAUCACAAGAUCAAACACGGAUGGAGAUACAAAACCAUGCAAUUCAAGUGGAUAAGUGUGGAAAAUAUUGACAAAAUCCCCUCAAAUCAGCACAAGAUAAACCACAAAAUUAGGGUUUAUCAAACCUCCCCACACUUAAACCAUGCAUGUCCUCAUGCUAAAGAUAAGAAGACCAAAGGAUAUAAUGAAAAGAGAGUUGUGGAAUGCAACUAAUGCAAAUGCAUCUACCUACUUGGUCAAGGGUGAAUCUAUCCUCCAAUAAUAUAUGGGAAUAUAUAGGGUUAAGGUGACAUGAUAGUCCAAGAAUGCUACCAAUUCAAAGCAUCACAAUACGGUGAACAUAACUUGCAAGAUGUACGCUUGUAAAGGAGAAUAACAUGGAAGCUAUAUAUGGUAUGAAGCAAAUGUUCUAUUUGAAACUAAUGCUAUAUCUUGUUCAUUUAGUUUCCUUGUUGCAUUAAGAGAAGGCGACAACUCCUUUUGUUUAACAUCUGCAUACUUUCCCAAAAAUAAACUUCCAAGAUGGUACUCGAAAGUUUAUGCCACUAAUAAAAAUAACCUGGAAAGAUAACAAAUAAGCUCCAAAAGAUUUAAAAAGUGAGAAAACUAACCGGAUAUUAGUUAUAUUUUUUCAUAAAAUACUUUAGAUAUUAGAUUUCGAUGCGAUUUUUUGUAAGUAUUAUUAGAAAAAAGAGACUUUGUCAUAGUUAAAAUUUGGUGAUUUGUCAAGGAAUUUUUUCAAUAUUUUUUGUGAAUGAUUGAAUUUAAAAUAAAAUGCACAAGUUGUUUGCUAAAUACAAAAUUCCUUUAUCAUUUAUGUAAAAAAAAUGAUAUUUUUGUUAAUUUUGUCACGUUUUUAAAUCUUUUGAGACUUCUUGUCAUUCAUAGAAAUCUUAUUUGGUUAUUUUUCAUAGCGAUAUGAGUUUUUUGGUGCAAUUUCAGUAGUUUACCUUGUUCCUAAUAGCAUGUGAGCUAUUUUUAGCUCAAUUUGUUAGUUACUUUAUAAGCUAAGCUCUUGAGCCGGUGAGCUACUGAGCUUGAGCUAAAAAUUUGAGCUCAUUUAUUAAAUGAGUCAAACUUAACUUUGCUAUGAUCCAUGAGCAAGGUUGUAUAUUCAUUUAUCGGUUCACAUAGAUAUGUAGAUGCCUGAGACCUUGGCAUAAUAUCACCUAUAUCAUUAUAUAUUAUCAAUAAUAAUAUAUAAUAUCUCAAUUAUUUGCAUAAUGUGUCUUGUAGAUUAAAUAUGUUGAAAAUAAGUAUGUACUUAUAGCCAAAAGCUUAAUUAAUAUCUAAGGGUUAAUGUUUAAAAUGGUCUUUGAAAUUUUACUCGUGCAUCAAGAUUCCAUAAUAAGAUUAAGCUCAAUAAUAAAUCAGUCAAACCAUGAGUUGAGCUAAAUAUUAUCAAGCUGAGUUUGAGCAUUGUCAAUUUUGGGGUUGACUUUGCGUAAUUUCAACCCUUGAUUUUGUUUUUGUUCUUUCACACUGAAUGAAAAUCUUGGAAUCUUCCAGAAUACUCUAGUUAUGAUGUCUAUUAUUAUCUGUAGAGUCAGAAGAAGGUUAAAUGCCUGCUAAAGCUAUUAUGCGCACUAACAGUACCAUCCUCUUCAUCUCCUUAGAGGAUGGCCAUGUAAAUUUGGUGGCGCCUAGUUCAUCAUUUUUCAUUUAAUGUUCUACAGUUUUAGAUGAAUGCCAUUGACUAAUUAGAUCGAAGAAAUGCAAGUAUUGGUUUUCAGUUGCUAGACCAUUCUACAAAGUUGCUUAUACCAUAUAGUUUCAAAUUCAGUGUUGGUUUAUACUUGGGGAAGCAUAAUUGUUAGAUUAUUACAUAGUUACAUUGAGGUUCAGUUAUUUAGUCAGUAAUGAGAAUUAUUCUCCUAAAUAUGUAUGUUAGGAUUGGUUUCAUUCUGUUAAGAGUAGUACAAACUACUUAAAAUGAGUAUGUAAGUGAUAGCUAUGAUUGAUUGUAUCGGUCAACCUCAUUUUAAAUUUAUGCUUAGAUUUUUCUCCCAGCCUACUCAAUUUGUCUGAGCCUCCGUGCAUUCCAUUGGAUAUUGACAUUUGUUAACCCUUCGUGUUAUAAAUUUUAAUAAUUUGAAUUGUGUAUUCUCUUUGCUAAUAGAUGUUUUAUAUUGUUAUGAAUACCAUCAUGUAGUAUUUAAUCUGAAAGUAAUAGCAGAAGCAAUAGAAUAAUAGCAAGCGGCAUAUAAUCCUGAUAAACUCCAAUAUUGUGGUUUAUCUUGUACUUAUUUUGGGGGAUUUUAUCACCUUUUCUCACAUUUAUUCAAUGAAAUAGCAUGGUUUUGCAAUUCUCCCUUGAUUUGUGCUUAAAUGUGAAAACAUGCUUUUUAGGCCCUAAAAUAGCUAAAUUUAACUCACUUUAAUUCCAUUCGAUACCUUGAUGUAUUUGUUGAGUGAUUUCAGGUUCAUAAGGCAAGUAUUGGAUAGAAGAAGUGAGGAGAAAAGUAUGCAAAGUGGGAGAACUCAUGAAGAAAUGAAGGAAUCGUAAAGCUGUCAAGCCUGACCUCUUCGCACUCAAACGACCAUAACUUGAGCUACAGAGGUCCAAAUGAGGCAGUUCCAGUUGCGUUGGAAAGCUAACAUCCGGGGCUUCGAAAUAAUAUAAAAUUUGUCAUAUGUUGCUUCAUUUUAAGGGGCGCGCACGCGUCAUGUACGCGUGCCUGCCGAUGCUGCUCGUGGCCCACUAAAGUGAAAUUGCCCCCAGCGAUUUCUGAAGCAUUUUGGGCCCAACUCAACUCAUUUUUGAUGCUAUUUCAUGCAGAAUUUAAGCUUGGACAAGGGGGGAGCAAUUGUUUGGUAGCUUAGCAUCAUGUAGGUUAGUAUCUAGAGAGAGAAGCUCCCUCUUCUCUCUAGAAUUAGGUUAGGUUAAUCCAUCUUAGAUCUAGGCAUGAUUACAUGUUUUCAUCUUGUUCUCUUUACAAUUUCAUGCUUCUACUCUUUCAUUCUCAUGAUUUGUAAUGUUAAUUUCCCUUUUGUUCUCUUUUGUGAUGAUGAACUCUUGAUGGAUUUGGAUCUCUUUUAUGAAAUUUAUGUUUGAUGUUCUUUUAAUUGUUGAUUUGAGUUGUGAAUUUACUUUUCUUGCAAUUGAUAGUUGGUAGAUUUAUUAUUCUUGCACUUUUACCAUGCUUUCCAUUUGUACCCAUCAAGUGUUUGACAAAAUGCUUGGUUGGGCUUUAGAGUAGACUUUGAGCAUUCUUGGCUUGGAAAGAAUAAUUAGGCAAUCUUGAGUCAUGAAUACCCAACUAAUGUUGGUGAUCUAGAGUUGUUAAUUAAUAUGAAUUCCAUUGACUCUAAUCUUUUGCUAUACAUUUGGAUUGAGGUUAACUAGUCUUGUUUGACUUUCUCUUAUGGAAGAUAAUGUGAUACCUUCUUCCAAUAUUGGAGAUGACGAAAUGAGAUAGAUUCUUGUUAUUAUUGUGAUAUGAUUGAUUAGUUUUAUUUGACAUUCUCCCUAUGUGAAGAUAACAUGAUACCUUCUUCCAUUUGUUGGAGUUGACUAGAAAAGAUGAAUUAAUCAUUGUAUGACUAGGAUAGAAAGCCUAUGAUCUCAAUUCUUGCCAUGAAUGUCUCUCUUUAUUAGUUGCUUCCUUUAGUGACUUGCUUGAUUUACUUUUCUUGCCCAUUUAAUUUCUUAUCCCUUCUUACAAAUCAAACACCCCCUUGUAUCUUCAUAGCCAAUAAUCAUUCACUUCAUUGCAAUUCCUCGUGAGACGACCCGGGGUCUAAAUACUCCGGUUAAUUCUUAUUUGGGGUUUGUUAAUUGUGACAACCUAAAUUUUUUAUGUGAGAAUUGUUUGUUGGUUUGGAGCUAUGCUUACAACGAAGUAAUUCUUUCUAUAAGAAGAAAAUCUAAACCGACACGACAAUAUCUCAUUAUCAAAUCCCAUAAAAAAAAGAAAAGAAAAAGGUAGACGUAAGUUGAUUGUGCAAUAAAUCUUUCUCCUUUUUCACCCUAUCGACGUUUGCAAUGUAGCAUUUGGAUUAAGUCCAAAGUAGUUUUUGAGAUUGUUCAUUUGCACCGGAAAAGUUUUUGAGAUUUUAAAUACAUUAUAAAUAUCUUUAAGAUUAAAAAAAUUGUAUUAUUAUCAUUUCAACAAAUAUUUAUCGUCAAAACUAAAGUAACGUCAUUUUGUCUAAGUCAAGUUACUCAAGAUAUGAUGUGUAACUCGACAGAGAAGGGAUAGGAAUCACGUGGUGUAAUUUUUUUAAUCUUGGAGAUUUGUUAGUGCAAUUAAAAUUUCGGUGAUUUUUUUUUUGUGCAAGCUGCCAAUUUUAAUGACCACUUUAGAGUUUAACAGAGUUUACAUCGUAAUAUUUUCUCUUAUGUUGCAAAUAGUUAGUGUUUUUUUAUCUUGAAGUAGUUGGUGUUUAAUCCAUGGUCUGACUAUUGGCACACUCUUCGUUCAAAGAUAAAGUCUAAUGAGUUAUAUGUUAGUAUCCUGUUUAGUUGAAGAUAAAUAUAGAAAUUGAAAUAAACAAAAUUACUAAAAUAUCCUUAUUAAUAAAAAAAAUUAAAAUUAGAAUAAAAAUCCCAUUCGGUCAUCCCACACAUUGAAAACGAAAGAAAUAAAGAAAGAGAGAGCAGAGACUGAAAGAAAAGAUAGGGAAGAAGAGGAAGGAAAGAGAGAAGAGGGGAGGGAGAGACGAUGCCGAUGGUAUGGGUGUUCGUGCAGUUUGGAUCGGUUUUAAGUCAAACACUCAUUUGAUUCGAAUACUAAUUUUACUUGAGGUGCGGUUUGGAUGGAAUCGGAUUUGUGUCACAAAACAAACAUAACGAGCAAUAUCUAAAGAUUUUUCCAUUUACUAGAAGGUAAUUUUGCCAUUAGCUUGAACUUCUGUAGAAGAACAUGUGGUGCACCAGUUUGGAUGACAGAAAAAUGUCUCUUUCUCUUAGUUAGUUGACUCAGUGACUAUUUCUUAUUGGAGGAGGUUAUUGCUACUGUACGUUUGUUCUUGGCCAACGGUUAGGCUGAAGGUGUUUUAGGAUUGGACUAGAAUUGGUUAUUGGACUGAGUUGUUGCAUUCUUGGGUUGAGCUGCUGAUUUCUUGGGUUUAGAAGCUGGUUUUUUGGGUUGAGUUGCUGGAGGGUUGGGUUGUGAGGAUGAAGUCUUCCUCUACUUCCCUUUUUGAACUAUUUGACCAGGGAGUUGUGAGGAUGAAGCCUUCCUCCCUCUCUUAGGAGCUUUGGCAGCUUGUUGUGUUGAUAUUUGGGCCUAUGAAGGUAAUCACAAUUAUAUAAAAAGAAUCAGAAUUAAAUACAUAACCAAAAAGUAAAAUAUAUACAUAGCAUAAACCCAAGUAAACCCUAGAGCAUAAUGGCACAUUGAUGAGCAGAUAAUUUAUACGCUUUUUAGCAUUAUUUUUAAGUAGUUUUUAGUAUGUUUUGAUUAGUUUUUAUUAUAUUUUUAUUAGUUUUUAUGCAAAAUUCACAUUUCUGGACUUUACUAUGAAUUUGUGUAUUUUUCUGUGAUUUCAGGUAUUUUCUGGCUGAAAUUGAGGGACCUGAGCAAAAAUCUGAUUUAGAGGCUGAAAAAGAACUGCAGAUGCUGUUGGAUUUUAACCUCCCUGCACUCGAAAUGGAUUUUAUGGAGCUAAAGAUACCCAAUUGACGCGCUCUCAAUUGCGUUGGAAAGUAGACAUCUUGGGCUUUCCAGCAAUAUAUAAUCGUCCACACUUUGUCCGAGUUUUGAUAACGCAAACUGGCGUUUAAACGCCAACUUUCUACCCUUUUCUGGCGUUAAACGCCAGAACUGGCAUAAAAGCUGGAGUUAAACGCCCAAACUGGCACCAGAGCUGGCGUUUAACUCCAGGAAAAGCUUAUGCACGUGUAAGCUUCAAUGUUCAGCCCAAGCACACACCAAGUGGGCCCAGAAGUGGAUUUCUGCAUCAUUUACUUAUUUCUGUAAACCCUAGGUUACUUGUUCAUUAUAAAUAGAACUUUUUACUAUUGUAUUUUCAUCCGAGGAUCAUUUUAUCCUCUAGUAUUAGAGGCUGGCCAUUCGGCCAUGCCUGGACCUUCAUCACUUAUGUAUUUUCAACGGUGGAGUUUCUACACACCAUAGAUUAAGGUGUGGAGCUCUGCUGUUCCUCAUGAAUAAAUGCAAAGUACUAUUGUUUUUCUAUUCAAUUCAUGCUUAUUCUUGUUCUAAGAUAUCCAUUCGCACUUCAACAUGAUGAAUGUGAUGAUCAAGUGACACUCAUCACCAUUCUCACUUAUGAACGCGUGCCUGACAACCACUUCCGUUCUACCAGAAAACAAGCUUGAAUGCAUAUCUCUUGGCCUCCUGGUUCACGACGCAUGAUUGCCUCUCCUGACAAUAGAGCAUUCCAUUUUGUGAGAUCAGAGUCUUCGUGGUAUAAACUAGAAUCAUUUGACAGCAUUCUUGAGAUCUGGAAAGUCUAAACCUUGUCUGUGGUAUUCCGAGUAGGAUCCGGAAUGGGAUGACUGUGACGAGCUUCAAACUCGCGAGUGUUGGGCGCAGUGACAGUGUGCAAAAGAAUAAUUGUAUACUAUUCUGACAUGAGUGAAAACCGACAGAUGAUUAGCCCUACGUAACCCGUAGCCGGACCAUUUUCACUGAGAGGACGGACGGUAGCCAUUGACAACGGUGAUCCCCCAACAUACAGCUUGCCAUGGAAAGGAGUAUGAAAGAUUGGAUGAAGACAAUAGGAAAGCAGAAGUUCAGGAGGAACAAAGCAUCUCCAUACGCUUAUCUGAAACUCCCUCCAAUGAAUUACAUAAGUAUCUCUAUCUUAUUUUAUGUUUUAUUUAUCUUUUAGUUAUCAAAACCCCAUAACCAUUUGAAUCCGCCUAACUGAGAUUUACAAGAUGACCAUAGCUUGCUUUAAGCCGACAAUCUCCGUGGGAUCGACCCUUACUCACGUAAGGUAUUACUUGGAUGACCCAGUGCACUUGCUGGUUAGUUGUAUCGGGAUUGUGAAUAACAAUUUAAUGCGACCAAGUCUUUGGCCAUUGCCCACGAGGGAGCGAACAAUAAUUCCGUGCACCAAGUUUUUGGCGCCGUUGCCGGGGAUUGUUCGAGUUUGGACAACUGACGGUUCAUCUUGUUGCUUAGAUUGGGUAAUUUUAUUUUAUGAUUAAACCUUCUUUUAUUUUUUUAUUUUAAAAAAGAAUCAAAAAUUUCAAAAAAUUUUAUUCUGUUCUUCAGAAUUUUUAAGAAUGAAUUCUAGAGUUUCAGAUGAUAUGUGAAGUCUGGUUGGCUGUUAAGCCAUGUCUAAUCUUUUGGACCGAGGCUUCAAUUUAUCAUCACAAGAGCUUGUUGAUUUCUAUCAAUCUUGCUGUUGAAUGUAAUGAUCUGCUAAAGCUUGGCUGGCCAUUGGCCAUGUCUAGUGUUUUGGACCGAAGCUUUCACUUAAAGCUUGGCUGGCUAGUAAGCCAUGUCUAAUCUCUGGACCGGAGCUUUAGACUAACAUUGCAUGAUUCCUGGAAUUCUCAUUAAGAAUUUUGAUUUCCUUAUUUUCUUUUUUCCAAAAUACUUUCAAAAAAUACAAAAAAAAAUUUAUAAAAAUCAUAAAACUAAAAAAAAUAUUUUGUGUUUCUUGUUUGAGUCUAGUGUCAAGUUUUAAGUUUGGUGUGAAUUGCAUGUUUUUCUUUUUUUUUUCUUGCAUUUUUUUCGAAAUUUUAUGCAUUGUGUUAUUUAUUGAUCUUCAAGUUGUUCUUGAUGAUUUUCUUUGUUCUGAUCUUUAAAUUCUCUUGUUUUGCGUCUUUUGUUGUUUUUCAUAUGCAUUUUCAAAUUGUUAGUGUCUCUAGUAUAAAAAUUUUUAAGUUUGGUGUCUUGCAUGUCUAUCUUUUCUUAAAAAUUUUCAAAAAUGUGUUCUUGAUGUUCAUCAUGAUCUUCAAAGUGUUCUUGGUGUUCAUCUUAACAUUCAAAGUGUUCUUGCAUGCAUUAUUAGUUUAUAUCUUAAAUUUUUCUGUUUUGAGUCAUUUUGUUAUUUUUCUCUCUCAUCAUUAAAAAUUCAAAAAAAAUAAAAAAAAUAUCUUUUCAAGUCAAUAAUAUAGAGAAUUGAAGAUUCAGAACAUACAGUAGAGGAAUUACAGAGAAAAAACUGGGCGUUCAAAACGUCCAGUGAGGAAGGAUUUCUGGCAUUUAAAUGCCAGCCAGGGUACCUGGCUGGGCGUUAAACACCCAAAAAGGUAGUGAUUUGGGCGUUAAACGCUAGAAUUGAUACCAUUCUGGGCAUUUAACGCCAGGAAGACACAAGGGAGGUAAGCUUGUUUUCAAUUCAAAUCUUUUUCAAAUUCUCAUAACUUUUCAAAAUCAAAUCUUUUUCAAAUCUUAUCUUUUUAAUCAUAUCCUUUUUAAAAUCAAAUCUUUUUCAAUUUUCUUUUAAUAUUUUUGAAACCCUUGCUAACAAUUAAUGUUUUGAUUCAAAAAUUUCAAGUUUGUUACUUUCUUGUUAAGAAAGGUUCAAUCUUUGAAAUUUUAGAAUCAUAUCUUUUAGUUUCUUGUUAGUCAAGUCAUCAAUUUUAAAAAUCAAAUCUUUUUAAUUUUGUUUUUCAAUCAUAUCUUUUUCUAAUUAAAUCUUUUUCAAUCAUAUCUUUUUAAAACCCUUUGAUUUUAAAAUCUUUUUCUAACUUCUUAUCUUUUCAAAAUUUAUUAUUUCUUAUCUUUUUCAAAACCACCCAACCACUUUCUCACUUUCAAUUUUUGAAAACCAUUAACCAUUUUUCAAAAUUCUUUCUAAUUAAAUAAUUGUUUUGAACUCUAGUUUAUUUUAUUUUAAAAAUUUUUUGAAGAUUCCCUCUCUCUCAUCUCUUUCUAUUUAAUCACUAACACUUCUCCUCUCUUAAUAAUUCGAACUCUCUACUCUCCUUAUAUGUUCGAAUUCUUCUCUAUCUACCUCAUCCUUCUGUUCUUCUUUUCCUCUGACACAUCAAGGAAUCUCUAUACUGUGAUAUAGAGGAUUUCAUACUUUUUUUAUUUUCUUCUCUCUCAUAUGAGCAGGAACAAGGACAAAGGCAUUCUUGUUGAAGCUGAUCAUUAACCUGAAAGGACCUUGAAGAGAAAGCUAAGAGCAGCUAAAGCACAAUACUCUAAAGAGGACCUGACAGAAAUUUUCGAAAAGGAAGCAGACAAAACAGUCAUGGCCGAACCCAACAACAACAAUGCAAGGAAGGUACUUGGUGACUUUACUGCACUAACUCCCGACUUCUAUGGGAGAAGCAUCUCUAUUCCUGCCAUUGGAGCAAACAAUUUUGAGCUUAAGCCUCAAUUAGUUUCUCUGAUGCAACAGAAUUGCAAGUUUCAUGGACUUUCAUUGGAAGAUCCUCAUCAGUUUUUGGCUGAAUUCUUGCAAAUCUGUGACACUAUUAAGACCAAUGGAGUUGAUCCCGAGGUCUACAGGCUACUGCUCUUCCCCUUUGCUGUAAGAGACAGAGCUAGGAUAUGGUUGGACUCACAACCUAAGAAAAGCCUGAACUCUUGGGAAAAGUUGGUCAGUGAUUUUCUGGCUAAAUUCUUUCCACCUCAAAAGAUGAGCAAGCUUAGAGUGGAAGUCCAAACCUUCAGACAGAAGGAAGGUGAAUCCCUCUAUGAAGCUUUAGAAAGAUACAAGCAAUUGAUCAGAAGGUGUCCUUCUGACAUGCUUUCAGAAUGGAGCAUCAUAUGCAUAUUUUAUGAUGGUCUGUCUGAACUGUCCAAGAUGUCAUUGGACAGCUCUGCUAGAGGAUUGAUGAGCGGAUAAUUUAUACGCUUUUUGGCAUUGUUUUUAGGUAGUUUUUAGUAGGAUCUAGCUACUUUUUGGGAUGUUUUUAUUAGAUUUUAUGCAAAAUUCAUAUUUCUGGACUUUACUAUGAGUUUGUGUGUUUUUCUGUGAUUUCAGGUAUUUUCUAGCUAAAAUUGAGGGACCUGAGCACAAAUCUGAUUCAGAGGCUGAAAAAGGACUGCUGAUGCUGUUGGAUUCUGACCUCCCUGCACUCGAAAUAGAUUUUCUGGAGCUACAGAACUCCAAAUGGCGCGCUCUCAAUUGCGUUGGAAAGUAGACAUCCAGGGCUUUCCAGAAAUAUAUAAUAGUCUAUACUUUGUGCGGGUUUUGAUGACGUAAAAUGGCGUCAAAACGCCCAUUCUCUGCCCUAUUCUGAAGUCAAAAUGCCAGAACUGGCAUAAAAGCUGGCGUUUCAACUCUAAGGAGCCUCUGCUCGAGUAAAAGCUCAAUGCUCAGCCCAACACACACCAAGUGGGCCCCGAAAGUGGAUUUCUGUAUCAAUCAUCUAUUUCUAUAAACCUUAGUAGCUAGUCUCAGUAUAAAUAAGACUUUUUACUAAUGUAUACGGAGUCUUUUAGGCGGGGAUCUUUGGACGUUUAGUCCUUAGACCGUAUCUUUGGAUUAUUUGUUGAUCCUUUGAUCACGUUUUGGAGGCUGGCCUCACGGCCAUGCCUGGACCUUGUUCUUAUGUAUUUUCAACGGUGGAGUUUCUACACACCAUAGAUUAAGGGUGUGGAGCUCUGCUGUACCUCGAGUUUUAAUACAAUUACUACUAGUUUCUAUUCAACUCAAACUUAUUCUUGUUCUAAGAUAUUCACUCGCACUUCAACCUGAUGAAUGUGAUGAUCCGUAACACUCAUCAUCAUUCUCACCUAUGAACGUGUGCCUGACAACCACUUCCGUUCUACCUAAGAUGGAGCAUUUAUCUCUUAGAUUCCUGGCUUAUGCGUGUUGAUUGCCUCUCCUGACAAUAGAGCCGUCAACUCUUUGAGAUCAGAGUCUUCAUGGUAUAAGCUAGAAUCCAUUGGCAGCAUUCUUAAGAAUCCGGGAAGUCUAAAUCCUGUCUGUGGUAUUCCGAGUAGGAUUCAGGGAUUGAAUGACUGUGACGAGCUUCAAACUCAUGAGUGCUGGGCGUAGUGACAGAUGCAAAAGGAUCACUGGAUCCUAUUCCAACACAAUUGAGAACCGACAGAUGAUUAGCCCUACGUAACCCGUAGUUGGACCAUUUUCACUGAGAGGACGGGAGGUAGCCAUUGACGCCGGUGAAACCCAACAUAACAGCUUGCCAUGGAAAUGAGUAGGAAUGAUUGGAUGAAGACAGUAGGAAAGCAGAGAUUCAAAAGGAACACAGCAUCUCCAUACACUUAUCUGAAAUUCUCACCAAUGAAUUACAUAAGUUCUUCUAUCUUUAUUUUAUGUUUUAUUUAUCUUUAUAUUUUCGAAAACCCAUAACCACUUUGAAUCUGCGUGACUGAGAUUUACAAGGUGACCAUAGCUUGCUUCAUACCAACAAUCUCCGUGGGAUCGACCCUUACUCACGUAAGGUAUUACUUGGACGACCCAGUGCACUUGCUGGUUAGUUGAGCGAAGUUGUGACAAAGUGUGAUUCACGUUUGAGAGCACCAAGUCUUUGGAGCCAUUGUUGAUGAUCACAAUUUCACCCACCAAGUUUUUGGCGCCGUUGCCGGGGAUUGUUCGAGUUUGGACAACUAACGGUUCAUCUUGUUGCUCAGAUUGGGUAAUUUUAUUUUAUUUUGUUUUUCUUUAAUUUCGAAAAAAAAUCAUAAAAUUAUAAAAAUCCAAAAAAAUAAAUAUUUCAUGAUUCUUGUUUGAAUCUAGUGCCAAAUUUUAAGUUUGGUGUUAAUUGCAUGAAUUUAAUUAUCUUGCAAUUUUCGAAGAACAUGCAUAAUGUUCUUGAUGAUCUUCAAGCUGUUCUUGAUGAAUUGCCUUGUUUGAUCUUCAUGAUUCCUUGUUUUGCAUUGCAUAAUGUUUUACAUGUGCAUUCUUGCAAAGCAUAUGGACCAAACAUGAGAAAAUUCUAAGUUUGGUGUCUUCCAUGUUUUCUUUUAUUGAAAACUAAGUUCUUGAUGUUCAUCAUAAUCUUUAUGAUUGUUCUUGGUGUUCAUCUUGACAUUCAUACUGUUCUUGCAUAUAUCUUGUGUUUGAUCCAAGAAUUAUAUAUUUUGACUCAUUUUGCUGUUUUUCAAAAUUGAAAAUACAUCUUCUUGAAUAAAGAAUAUAGCAAAAUGAGGUUUCAAGAACAAAAAGCAGAAGAUUUACAGAGAAAAAGCUGGACAUUCAAAACGCCCCGUGAAGAAGGAAACUUGGCGUUUAAACGCCAACUAGGGUACCUGGUUGGGUGUUUAAACGCCCAAUGAGGAAGAAAAACUGGCGUUUAAACGCCCAACCAGGGUACCUGGUUGUGCGUUUAAACGCCCAAUAAGGAAGGAAAACUGGCGUUUAAACGCCAGCCAUGAUACCUGGCUGGGCGUUUAAACGCCCAAAACAUGCAUCAAGUGGGCAUUAAAUGCCCAAAACGUGCAGCUCCUGGGCGUUUAACGCCAGAAAGCACUAGGGGAGGAAAUUGUUUUCAAAUCAAAUCUUUUUCAAAAUCUUCAUAAUUUUUAAAAAUUUUUCAAAAUCUUAUCUUUUCCAUAUCUUUUCACAUCAAUCAUAUCUUUUUCAAAUUAUAUCUUUUCAAAAUUUGAUUUCAAAAUCUUUUUCUAACCUCUUAUCUUUCCACAUUUAUUAUUUCUUAUCUUUUUUAAAACCACCUAACUAUUUUUCUCUCUCUAGUUUUCAAAAAUUAUUAACUACUUUUUCAAAUUUUAAUUUUAAUUUUCGAAAAAUUUCCCCCCUUUUUCUCAUUUUUUAAAUUGAACACUAACAUUCCUCCUCCAUUAUCAAUUCGAACCCCAUCUCUCCUUGAGUGUUCGAAUUCUUAUUCUCCUUCAUCCUUCUAUUCUUAUUUUCCUCUGACACCUCAAGGAAUCUCUAUCCUGUGACAUAGAGGAUUCCAUAUUUUCUUUGUUUUCUUCUCUUGAGCAGGAACAAGGAUAAAGGCAUAAUUGUUGAAGCUGAUCCUGAACCUGAAAGGACUCUGAAGAGAAAGCUAAGAGCAGCUAAAGCACAAAACUCUGAGGAGGACCUCACUGAAAUUUUUGAAAAAGAGGCAGCCCAAGAAACAACUAUGGCCGAACCCAAUAACAAUGUAAGGAAGAUGCUUGGUGACUUUACUGCACCUAAAUCCAACUUCCAUGGAAGAAGCAUCUCAAUCCCUGCCAUUGGAGCAAACAAUUUUGAGCUAAAGCCUCAAUUAGUUUCUCUAAUGCAACAGAACUGUAAGUUUCAUAGACUUCCAUCAGAAGAUCCUUAUCAGUUUUUAACUGAGUUCUUGCAGAUCUGUGACACUAUUAAGACUAAUGGAGCAGAUCCUGAAGUCUACAGGCUUAUGUUUUUCCCUUUUGUUGUAAGAGACAGAGCUAGAACAUGGUUGGACUCACAAUCUAAAGAUAGCCUGGACUCUUGGGAUAAGCUGGUCACGGCCAUCUUGGCCAAGUUCUUUCCUCUUCAAAAGCUGAGCAAGCUUAGAGUGGAUGUUCAGACCUUCAGACAAAAAGAUGGUGAAUCCCUCUAUGAAGCUUGGGAAAGAUACAAGCAGCUGACCAAAAAGUGUCCUUCUGACAUGCUCUCAGAGUGGACCACCUUAGAUAUAUUCUAUGAUGGUCUAUCUGAGUUUUCUAAGAUGUCACUGGACCAUUCUGCAGGUGGAUCCAUUCACCUAAAGAAAACGCCUGCAGAAGCUCAAGAACUCAUUGAGAUGGUUGCAAAUAACCAAUUCAUGUACACCUCUGAGAGGAAUCCUGUAAAUAAUGGGACGCCCCAGAAGAGAGGAGUUCUUGAAAUUGAUGCUCUGAAUGCCAUACUGGCUCAGAACAAAGUAUUGACUCAACAAGUCAAUAUGAUAUCUCAGAGUCUGAAUGGAUUGCAACAUGCAUCCAACAGUACUAAAGAAGCAACUUCUGAAGAAGAAGUCUAUGAUCCUGAGAACCCUGCAAUGGCAGAGGUAAAUUACAUGGGUGAAGCCUUUGGCAACACUUAUAAUCCUUCAUGGAGAAAUCACCCAAACUUUUCAUGGAAGGACCCACAGAAACAAGGCUUCAAUAAUAACAAUGGUGGAAGAAACAUGUUUAGCAAUAGCAAACCUUUUCCAUCAUCAUCUCAGCAACAGACAGAGCAUUCUGAGCUGAACCCUUCUAGCUUAGCAAACUUAGUCUCUGAUCUAUCUAAGGCCACUCUCAGUUUCAUGUCUGAAACAAGGUCCUUCAUUAGAAACUUGGAGGCACAAGUGGGCCAGCUGAGUAAAAGGGUCACUGAAACUCCUCCCAGCACUCUCCCAAGCAAUACAGAAGAAAAUCCAAAAGGAGAGUGCAAGGCCAUUGAAGUAAUCAAAAUGGCCAAACCUGAGAAGGAGGAGGAGGACAAAAAUUCCAAUGAGGAAUACCUCAAGGAACGUCUACCAUUCAGUAAGGAGUACCCUAAUGAGGAACCAAAGGAAUCUGAGGCUCAUACAGAGACCAUAGAGAUUCCAUUGGACUUCUUUUUACCAUUCAUGAGCUCUGAUGAUUAUUCAUCUUCUGAGAAAGAUGAAGAUAUUGUUGAAGGGCAAGUUGCCCAGUACUUAGGAGCAAUCAUGAAGCUGAAUGCCAAAUUGUUUGGUAAUGAGACUUGGGAAGAUGAACUUCCCUUGCUCACCAAUGAAGAGAAUGCAUUGGUUCAGCAAACUCUACCUCAACAGAGACAGGAUCCUGGUAAAUUCUUAUAUCGGCACCAUGAUCUUUGAAAAAGCUCUGUGUGACCUAGGGUCAGGGAUAAACAUGAUCCCACUCUCUGUAAUGGAGAAACUGGGAAUCUUUGAGGUACAGGCUACAAAAUUCUCAAUAGAGAUGGUCUACAGCUCUACAAAAAAGCCUUAUAGAUUAGUAGAGGACAUGUUGAUAAAGGUUGGAGGCCUUUACAUCCCUGCUGAUUUCAUAAUCCUGGACACUGUGAAGGAUAAGGAUGAAUCCAUCAUCCUUGGAAGACCCUUCCUAACCACAGCAAAAGCUGUGAUUGAUGUUGACAGAGGAGAGAUGAUCCUUUAUGUAAAGGACGAAUGCCUUGUAGUAAGGACUCAAGGUUCUCCCUCUGUAACCAUGAAGAGUGAGCAUGACAAGCUUUUCUCCAUACAGAGUCAUACUGAGCCCCCACAUUCAAACUCUAAGUUUGGUGUUGGGAGGCCACAGCCAAACUCUAAGUUUGGUGUUGAGAAAUCUCAACCAUGCUCUGAUCAUCUGUGAGGCUCCAUGAGAGCUCACUGUCAAGCUAUUGACAUUAAAGAAGCGCUUAUUGGGAGGCAACCAAUUUUAUUUUAUCUAACUUUAUUUUAUCUAUGUAAUUUUUGUUUUCUUUUAGGUAGAUGAUCAUGUGAAAUCACAAAGACACUCAUAAAAAUAAAGCAGAAGUCGAAAACAGCACACCCUGGAGGAAGAACUUACUGGCGUUUAAACGCCAGUAAGGGUAGCAAAAUGGGCAUUUAAACACCCAUCCUGGCACCUUUCUGGGCGUUUAAAUGCCAGAACAGGGCAGGAAGCUGGCGUUUAAAUGCUAGAACAGGAAGGAAAGCUGGCGUUUAAAUGCCAGAACAGGAAGGAAAGCUGGCGUUUAAAUGCCAGAACAGGAAGGAAAGCUGGCGUUUAAACGCCAAAACAAGGCAGCAAUCUGGCGUUUAAAUGCCAGGAUUGCACUCCUAAGGCGUUUUGAACGCCCAAUUGGAGCAGGGAUGAAAAAUCCUUGGCCCCACAGGAUCUGUGGACCCCACAGGAUCCCUACCAACCUCAACUCCUUAUACUCCCCUCUUUCUUAUUUUGCUCGAGGACGAGCAAACAUUUUAAGUUUGGUGUGGUAAAAGCAUUGCUUUUUGUUUUUCCAUAACCAUUUAUGGCACCUAAGGCCGGAGAAACAUCUAAAAAGAGGAAAGGGAAGGUAAAAGCUUCCACCUCCGAGUCAUGGAAGAUGGAAAGAUUCAUCUCAAGGGUCCAUAGUCCAGUGGUAGAGCAUUUGACUGUAGAUCAAAGAGCCACGAGAAAAGAGUAAUAAAGUCAAAGAAGAGACAUAGAGGAGCUCAAAAGCACCAUUGGUCAUUCAAGAGGAGGAAGACACCACCCUCACAAAGGUGGACUCAUUCCUUAAUCUCCUUGUUUAUUUUUUUUUUCUGUUUUUUCGAAUUUUUGCUUGAUAUGCUAUCUAUGUUUGUGUCUUCACUACAUGAUCAUUAGUGUCUAGUGUCUAUGCCUUAAAGCUAUGAAUAACUCUAUGAAUCCUUCACCUCUCUUAAAUGAAAAAUGUUUCUAACUACAAAAGAACAAGAAAUACAUGAGUUUUGAAAUUAUCCUUGAAAUUAGUUUAAUUAUUUUGAUGUGGUGGCAAUACUUUUUGUUUUCUGAAUGAAUACUUGAACAGUGCAUAUUUUUUAUCUUGUUGUUUAUGAAUGUUAAAAUUGUUGGCUCUUGAAAGAAUAAGGAAAAAGGAGAAAUGCUAUUGAUGAUAUGAAAAAUCAUAAAAUUGAUUCUUGAAGCAAAAAAAAGCAGUGAAAAAGAAAAAGCUUGCGGAAAAAAAAAAGAAAAGAAAGAAAAAGAAAAAGCAAGCAGAAAAAGCCAAUAGCCCUUUAAACCAAAAGGCAAGGGUAAAAAGGAUCCAAGGCUUUGAGCAUUAAAGGAUAGGAGGGCCCAAGGAAAUAAAAUCCAGGCCUAAGCGGCUAAAUCAAGCUGUCCCUAACCAUGUGCUUGUGUCAUGAAGGUCCAAGUGAAAAGCUUGAGACUGAGUGGUUAAAGUCGUGAUCCAAAGCAAAAAGAGUGUGCUUAAGAGCUCUGGACACCUCUAAUUGGGGACUUUAGCAAAGCUGAGUCACAAUCUGAAAAGGUUCACCCAGUUAUGUGUCUGUGGCAUUUAUGUAUCCGGUGGUAAUACUGGAAAACAAAAUUCUUAGGGCCACGGCCAAGACUCAUAAAAGUAGCUGUGUUCAAGAAUUAACAUACUGAAAUAGGAGAAUCAAUAAAACUAUUUGAAUUCUGAGUUCCUAUGGAUGUCAAUCAUUCUAAACUUCAAAGGAAAAAGUGAGAUGCCAAAAUUGUUCAGAAGCAAAAAGCUACUAGUCCCGCUCAUCUAAUUGGAGCUAAGUUUCAUUGAUAUUUUGGAAUUUAUAGUAUAUUCUCUUCUUUUUAUCCUAAUUGAUUUUCAGUUGCUUGGGGACAAGCAACAAUUUAAGCUUGGUGUUGUGAUGAGCGGAUAAUUUAUACGCUUUUUGGCAUUAUUUUUAGGUAGUUUUUAGUAGGAUCUAGCUACUGUUUGGGAUGUUUUUAUUAGUUUUUAUGCAAAAUUCACAUUUCUGGACUUUACUAUAAGUUUGUGUAUUUUUCUGUGAUUUCAGGUAUUUUCUAGCAGAAAAUGAGGGACCUGAGCACAAAUCUGAUUCAGAGGCUGAAAAAGGACUGCUGAUGCUGUUGGAUUCUGACCUCCCUGCACUCGAAAUGGAUUUUCUGGAGCUACAGAACUCCAAAUGGCGCGCUCUCAAUUGCGUUGGAAAGUAGACAUCUAGGGCUUUACAGAAAUAUAUAAUAGUCCAUACUUUGUACGGGUUUUGAUGACGUAAAAUGGCGUCAAAACGCCCAUUCUCUGCCCUAUUCUGAAGUCAAAACGCCAGAACUGGCAUAAAAGCUGGCGUUUCAACUCUAAGGAGCCUCUGCUCGAGUAAAAGCUUAAUGCUCAGCCCAACACACACCAAGUGGGCCCCAGAAGUGGAUUUCUGUAUCAAUCAUCUAUUUCUGUAAACCCUAGUAGCUAGUCUCAGUAUAAAUAAGACUUUUUACUAAUGUAUACGGAGUCUUUUAGGCGGGGAUCUUUGGACAUUUAGUCCUUAGACCGUAUCUUUGGAUUAUUUGUUGAUCCUUUGAUCACGUUUUGGAGGCUGGCCUCAUGCCCAUGCCUGGACCUUGUUCUUAUGUAUUUUCAACGGUGGAGUUUCUACACACCAUAGAUUAAGGGUGUGGAGCUCUGCUGUACCUCGAGUUUUAAUACAAUUACUACUAGUUUCUAUUCAACUCAAACUUAUUCUUGUUCUAAGAUAUUCACUCGCACUUCAACCUGAUGAAUGUGAUGAUCCGUGACACUCAUCAUCAUUCUCACCUAUGAACGCGUGCCUGACAACCACUUCCGGUCUACCUAAGAUGGAGCAUUUAUCUCUUAGAUUCCUGGCUUAUGCGUGUUGAUUGCCUCUCCUGACAAUAGAGCCGUCAACUCUUUGAGAUCAGAGUCUUCGUGGUAUAAGCUAGAAUCCAUUGGCAGCAUUCUUGAGAAUCCGGAAAGUCUAAACCCUGUCUGUGGUAUUCCGAGUAGGAUUCAGGGAUUGAACGACUGUGACGAGCUUCAAACUCAUGAGUGCUGGGCAUAGUGACAGAUGCAAAAGGAUCACUGGAUCCUAUUCCAACACAAUUGAGAACCGACAGAUGAUUAGCCCUACGUAACCCGUAGUUGGACCAUUUUCACUGAGAGGACGGGAGGUAGCCAUUGACGCCGGUGAAACCCAACAAUAACAGUUGCCAUGGAAAGGAGUAGGAAUGAUUGGAUGAAGACAGUAGGAAAGCAGAGAUUCAAAAGGAACACAGCAUCUCCAUACACUUAUCUGAAAUUCUCACCAAUGAAUUACAUAAGUUCUUCUAUCUUUAUUUUAUGUUUUAUUUAUCUUUAUAUUUUCGAAAACCCAUAACCACUUUGAAUCUGCCUGACUGAGAUUUACAAGGUGACCAUAGCUUGCUUCAUACCAACAAUCUCCAUGGGAUCGACCCUUACUCACGUAAGGUAUUACUUGGACGACCCAGUGCACUUACUAGUUAGUUGAGCGGAGUUAUGACAAAGUGUGAUUCACGUUUGAGAGCACCAAGUCUUUCGAGCCAUUGUUGAUGAUCACAAUUUCGCCCACCAAGGAUCUCUUCAUCUAAAGAAGACACCUGCAAAGCUCAGGAACUUAUUAAAAUGGUUGCAAAUAACCAGUUCAUGUACACCUAUGAGAGGAAUCCUAUGAAUAAUGGGACGCCUCAGAAGAAGGGAGUUCUUGAAAUUGAUGCUCUGAAUGUCUUAUUGGCUCAGAACAAAAUAUUGACUCAGCAAGUCAAUAUGAUUUCUCAUAGUCUGAAUGGAUUGCAAGCUGCAUCCAACACUACUAAAGAAGCAUCUUCUGAAGAAGAGGCUUAUGAUCCUGAGAACCCUGCAAUAGAAGAGGUGAAUUACAUGGGAGAACCCUAUGGAAACACCUAUAAUCCUUCAUGGAGAAAUCAUCCAAAUCUCUCAUGGAAGGACCAACAAAAGCCUCAACAAGGCUUCAACAAUAAUAAUGGUAGAAGAAAUAGGUUUAGCAAUAGCAAGCCUUUUCCAUCAUCUUCUCAGCAACAGACAGAGAAUUCUGAGCAGAGCCUCUCUAGCUUAGCAACCAUAGUCUCUGAUCUAUCCAAGACCACUCUCAGUUUCAUGAAUGAGGCACGGUCCUCUAUCAGGAAUCUGGAGGCACAAGUGGGUCAGUUGAGUAAAAAGGUUACUGAAACUCCUCCUAGCACUCUCCCAAGCAAUACAGAAGAAAAUUCCAAGAGAGAGUGCAAGGCCAUAACUGUAACCACAAUGGCCGAACCUGGAGAGAGUGAAAAGGCAGUGAUUCCCAGUGAGGAAGACCUCAUGAGACGUUCACUGACCAAUAAGGAGUUCCCCUUUGAGGAACCAAAGGAAUCUGAGGCUCAUACAGAGACCAUAGAGAUUCCAUUGAACCUCCUUCUGCCAUUCAUGAGCUCUGAUGAGUAUUCUUCCUCUAAAGAGGAUGAAGAUAUUACUGAAGAGCAAGUUGCUAAGUACCUAGGAGCAAUCAUGAAGCUGAAUGCCAAGUUAUUUGGUAAUGAGACUUGGGAGGAUGAACCCCCUUGCUCACCAAUGAACUGAAUGACUUGAUUAGGCAGACAUUACCUCAGAAGAAACCGGAUCCCGAAAAAUUCUUAAUACCCUGUACCAUAGGCACCAUGACCUUUGAGAAGGCUCUGUGUGACCUGGGGUCAGGCAUAAAUCUCAUGCCACUCUCUGUAAUGGAGAAACUGGGAAUCUUUGAGGUACAAGCUGCAAGAAUCUUACUAGAGAUGACAGACAAAUCCAUGAAACAGGCUUAUGGACUAGUAGGGGAUGCCUUCGUGAAGGUUAAAGGCCUUUACAUCCCUGCUGACUUCAUAAUCCUAGACACUGGAAAGGAUGAGGAUGAAUCUAUCAUCCUUGGAAAACCUUUCCUAGCCACAGCAAGAGCUGUGAUUGAUGUGGACAGAGGAGAGUUGGUCCUUCAAUUGAAUGAUGACCACCUUGUGUUUAAAGCUCAAGGAUCUCCCUCUGUAACCAUGGAGAGGAAGCAUGAAAAGCUUCUCUCAAUACAGAGUCAAACAAAGCCCCCACAUUCAAACUCUAAGUUUGGUGUUGGGAGGCCCCAACCAUGCUCUGAAUAUCUGUGAAGCUCCAUGAGAGCUCACUGUCAAGCUAUUGACAUUAAAGAAGCGCUUAUUGGGAGGCAACCCAAUUUUAUUUAUCUAUGUUAUUUUAUGUUUUCUUUAGGUUGAUGAUCAUGUGAGGUCACAAAAACAACUACAGAAUUAAAGCAAAAUCAAAAACAGCAUUAAAAACAGCACACCCUGGAGGAUGAGCUUACUGGCAUUUAAACGCCAGUAAGGGUAGCAGAAUGGGCGUUAAACACCCAGUUUGGCACCAUUCUGGGCGUUUAACGCCAGAAAAGGGCACCAGAUUGGCGUUUAACGUCAGAGAAGGGCACCAGACUAGCGUUUAACGCCAGAAAAUGGCAAAAAGCUGGCGUUAAACGCCAGAAAGGGAAGAAAAGCUGGCGUUAAACGCUAGAAAUGGGCAGCAACCUGGUGUUUAACGCCAGGAUUAGCACAGGAAUGGGCGUUUACACGCCAGAAUGGUGCAGGGAUGAGAAAUCCUUGACACCUCAGGAUCUGUGGACCCCACAGGAUCCCCACCUAUCUCAACUCACUCUCUCUCUUCUUCACACCUUCCCAUAACACCCUUCCCCAAAUACUCUUCACCAAUCACCUCCAUCUCUCUUCCCUAAAUACCCCCUCACCAAUUACAUCCACCCAUUCUUUCCCAAAAACCCCCACCUACCUCACCAUUCAAAUUCAAAACCUUUCCCUCCCAAAACCCAACCCUCACACACGGACACCCCUCUCUUUCCGCUCCUAUAUAAACCCCUCAUCACUCCUUCAUUUCCACACAUCUUAUACACUUUCUCCCUACUUGGCCGAACCUUUCUUCCCCCUCCAUCUCCUCUGUUUCUUCUUCUUCUCCGCCCUUCUUUCUUCUUUUGCUCAAGGACGAGCAAACCUUCUAAGUUUGGUGUGGUAAAAAGUGUUGCUUUUCGUUUUUCUAUAACCAUUUAUGGCACCUAAGGCCGGAGAAACCUCUAGAAAGAGGAAAGGGAAGGCAAAAGCUUCCACCUCCGAGUCAUGGGAGAUAGAGAGAUUCAUCUCAAAGGUCCAUCAAGACCACUUCUAUGAAGUUGUGGUCAAGAAGAAGGUGAUUCCUGAGGUCCCUUUCAUGCUCAAGAAGAAUGAGUAUCUGGAGAUCCGACAUGAGAUUCGAAGAAGAGGUUGGGAAGUUCUCACCAACCCCAUUCAACAAGUCGGAAUCUUAAUGGUUCAAGAGUUCUAUGCUAAUGCAUGGAUCACUAAGAACCAUGAUCAAAGUAUGAACCCAAACCCAAAGAAUUGGCUUACAAUGGUUCGGGGGAAAUACUUAGAUUUCAGUCCAAAAAAUGUAAGGUUGGCAUUCAACUUGCCAAUGAUGCAAGGAGAUGCAUGCCCCUACACUAGAAGGGUCAACUUUGAUCAAAGGUUAGACCAAGUCCUCAUGGACAUAUGUGUAGAAGGAGCUCAGUGGAAAAGAGACUCUAAAGGCAAGUCGGUUCAACUAAGAAGGCUUGACCUCAAGCCCAUGGCUAGAGGAUGGUUGGAGUUCAUCCAACGCUCUAUCAUUCCUACUAGCAACCGGUCCGAAGUAACUGUGGAUCAGGCUAUCAUGAUCCAUAGCAUCAUGAUUGGAGAGGAAGUAGAAGUUCAUGAGGUUAUAUCUCUAGAACUCUACAAAGUGGCUGACAAAACCUCCACCUUGGCAAGGUUAGCCUUUCCUCAUCUCAUAUGUCACCUAUGCAAUUUAGCUGGAAUUGUCAUAGAAGGAGACAUCCUCAUUGAAGAGGACAAGCCCAUCACUAAAAAAGAGGAUGAAGCAAACAAGAGAGUCCACUCAUGGACCUCAACAAGAGCAUGAGGAAGUCCCUCAUCAAGAAAUCCUUGAGAUGCCUCAAGGGAUGCAUUUUCCUCCAUACAACUAUUGGGAGCAACUCAACACCUCUUUGGGAGAUUUGAGUUCCAAUAUGGAGCAACUGAGGAUGGAGCACCAAGAGCACUCUAUUAUUCUCCAUGAAAUUAGAGAGGAUCAAAUAGCUAUGAGGGAAGAGCAACAAAGGCAAGGAAGAGAUAUUGAGGAGCUCAAGCACUCCAUAGGAUCUUCAAGAAGGAGAACUAGCCGCCAUCACUAAGGUGGACCCGUUCUUUAAUUUCCUUGUUCUUAUUUUUCUGUUUUUCGAUUUUUAUGCUUGAUGUUUUAUCUAUGUUUGUGUCUUCAUUACAUGAUCAUUAGUGUCUAGUGUCUAUGUCUUAAAGCUAUGAAUGUCCUAUGAAUCCUUCACCUUUCUUAAAUGAAAAAUGUUCUAAAUGCAAAAGAACAAGAAGUACAUGAAUUUCGAAUUCAUCCUUGAAAUUAGUUUAAUUAUUUUGAUGUGGUGACAAUACUUUCUGUUUUCUGAAUGAAUGCUUGAACAGUGCAUAUUUUUUUUAGUGAAGUUUAUGAAUGUUAAAAUUGUUGGCUCUUGAAAAAAUGAUGAAAAAAGAGAAAUGUUAUUGUUUAUCAGAAAAAUCAUAAAAUUGAUUCUUGAAGCAAGAAAAAGUAGUAAAGAACAAAGCUUGCAAAAAAAAAGGCCGAAAAAGAAAAGAAAAAGAAAAGGCAAGCAGAAAAAGCCAAUAGCCCUUUAAACUAAAAGGCAGGGGUAAAAAGGAUCCAAGGCUUUGAGCAUUAAUGGAUAGGAGGGCCUAAAGGAAUAAAUUCCUGGCCUAAGCAGCUGAAUCAAGCUGUCCCUAACCAUGUGCUUGUGGCAUGCAGGUCCAAGUGAAAAGCUUGAGACUGAGUGGUUAAAGUUGUGAUCCAAAGAAAAAGAGUGUGCUUAAGAACUUUGGACACCUCUAAAUGGGGACUUUAGCAAAGCUGAGUCACAAUCUGAAAAGGUUCACCCAGUUAUGUGUCUGUGGCAUUUAUGUAUCCGGUGGUAAUACUGGAAAACAAAGUGCUUAGGGCCACGGCAAAGACUCAUAUAGUAGCUGUGUUCAAGAAUCAACAUACUAAAACUAGGAGGAUCAAUAACACUAUCUGAAUUCUGAGUUCCUAUAGAUGCCAAUCAUUCUGAACUUCAAAGGAUAAAGUGAGAUGCCAAAACUAUUCAGAAGCAAAAAGCUACUAGUCCCGCUCAUCUAAUUGAAACUAAGCUUCAUUGAUAGUUUGGACUUUAUUGUAUAUUCUCUUCUUUUUAUCCUAUUGUGUUUUCAGUUGCUUGGGGGCUAGCAACAAUUUAAGUUUGGUGUUGUGAUGAGCGGAUAAUUUAUACGCUUUUUUGCAUUAUUUUUAAGUAGUUUUUAGUAUGUUUUGAUUAGUUUUUAUUAUAUUUUUAUUAGUUUUUAUGCAAAAUUUACAUUUCUGGACUUUACUAUGAGUUUGUGUGUUUUUCUAUGAUUUCAGGUAUUUUCUGGCUGAAAUUGAGAGACCUGAGCAAAAAUCUGAUUCAGAGGCUGAAAAAGGACUGCAGAUGUUAUUGGAUUCUGACCUCCCUGUACUCGAAAUGGAUUUUUUAGAGCUACAGAUACCCAAUUGGCGCGCUCUCAAUUGCGUUGGAAAGUAGACAUCUUGGACUUUCCAGCAAUAUAUAAUAGUCCAUACUUUGCCCGAGUUUUGAUAACGCAAACUGGCAUAAAAGCUGCAGUUAAACGCCCAAACUGGCACCAGAGCUGGCGUUUAACUCCAGGAAAAGCCUAUGCACGUGUAAGCUUCAAUGUUCAGCCCAAGCACACACCAAGUGGGCCCGGAAGUGAAUUUCUACAUCAUUUACUUAUUUCUAUAAACCCUAGGUUACUAGUUCAUUAUAAAUAGAACUUUUUACUAUUGUAUUUUCAUCCGAAGAUCAUUUUAUCCUCUAGUAUUGGAGGCUAGCCAUUCGGCCAUGCCUGGACCUUCAUCACUUAUGUAUUUUUAACGGUGGAGUUUCUACACACCAUAGAUUAAGGUGUGGAGCUCUGCUGUUCCUCAUGAAUAAAUGCAAAGUACUAUUGUUUUUCUAUUCAAUUCAUGCUUAUUCUUGUUCUAAGAUAUCCAUUCGCACUUCAACAUGAUGAAUGUGAUGAUCAAGUGACACUCAUCACCAUUCUCACUUAUGAACGCGUGCCUGACAACCACUUCCGUUCUACCUGAAAAUAAGCUUGAAUGCAUAUCUCUUGGCCUCCUGGUUCACGACGCAUGAUUGCCUCUCCUGACAACAGAGCAUUCCAUUCCGUGAGAUCAGAGUCUUCGUGGUAUAAGCUAGAAUCAUUUGACAGCAUUCUUAAGAUCUGGAAAGUCUAAACCUUGUCUGUGGUAUUCCGAGUAGGAUCCGGGAUGGGAUGACUGUGACGAGUUUCAAACUCACGAGUGUUGGGCGCAGUGACAGUGUGCAAAAGAAUAAUUGUAUCCUAUUCCGACAUGAGUGAGAACCGACAGAUGAUUAGCCCUACGUAACCCGUAGCCGGACCAUUUUCACUGAGAGGACGAAUGGUAGCCAUUGACAACGGUGAUCCCCCAACAUAUAGCUUGCCCUGGAAAGGAGUAUGAAUGAUUGGAUGAAGACAAUAGAAAAGCAGAAGUUCAGGAGGAACAAAGCAUCUCCAUACGCUUAUCUGAAACUCCCUCCAAUGAAUUACAUAAGUAUCUCUAUCUUAUUUUAUGUUUUAUUUAUCUUUUAGUUAUCAAAAUCCCAUAACCAUUUGAAUCCGCCUGACUGAGAUUUACAAGAUGACCAUAGCUUGCUUCAAGCCGACAAUCUCCGUGGGAUCGACCCUUACUCAUGUAAGGUAUUACUUGGACGACCCAAUGCACUUGCUGGUUAGUUGUAUCGGAAUUGUGAAUAACAAUUUAAUGCGACCAAGUCUUUGGUGCCAUUGCCCACGAGGGAGCGAACAACAAUUCCGUGCACCACACAUAUACUCUUAUUAGAUUUUGUGCAGCCCCCUUCUUGUGCCCUACAUCACCACAAUUAGAGCAUCUUUGAAUUUGACCCCUCUGUGAUAGGUGAUUCUGGCUUCUAUUCUCCUCAUCUCCAGAUCCUCGCUUCCUCUUUUUCACAGGUAUGUGACUUGGCCUCCUAUAUGGAGGUGGCAUGACAUCAUCAUAUUGGGUUCUCUCCUAUAAAUCCGGUCCAUUCAGAGGGUAUAUCACCUUCUGGUAGCAGCACUUCUGGUUAGCAUCUUUCUUUUAGCAAUCAUCCCCAUAGGAUUUUAAAUCUAGUCCUUUGAAGUUAAUGCAACUAAUGGCAUGAGGACAUGAAAUUCCACUCAUCUGCCACUUCCUACAAGAACACUAAGCAGCAGCCAGAUCCACAAUAAAUUUAUCUAAUCCACACAUGACCUCAUAUUUAUUAGUAGCUGACCAGUAUGGCCUCCAGUCCCUAGCUAACCUUGCCCAUUUCUCCAAUUUAUUCCUAAUUAUUGGCAUAAUAUUUUCCUAGUAAAGCUUAAUCCUAUCUCUAUUGGCAACCUAUCUAGUCAUGAGAUACACCAUAAUGUCAUCUAACAUGGUUACAAUAGGUUUUUCUCUUGCCUCUACUAUGACAGCAUUAAAACUUUCACUCAUGUUAUUAACAAGGGUGUCACAUUUUGAAUGAAAUAUAAAUCUAGAACGCGACCAAAACCUGUGUGCAAUGCCGUUUAAAUGUCAAAAUUCCCCAUCAUUACAAGUCUCAGAGAUUUCAUUUCCUUCUCCCAAUCCCUCCAAUGAGUUGCCUUUGCACAUUGCCACAUUCUGUUCUUCAGCUCUAAACUAGGAAAUUUCUAUCUGAAAUUGCUAUAGAGAUGCCUCAUGCAGAGUCUGUUGUCACCCCUGGUAUGACCUCUUCAAAUGCUGGUAACAAACCUUAUGAAAUGAAGGUGAGCAUGCAUUUGGUUAGUCCAGAAAUCAUUAUAUCUAAUUUGAAACAAUCAUUAUUUGUUAAAGCAUAACAAUAAUGUAAACUGUAUCAUUACCUUCUGCUGAUCAGACAUGAAGGUGCAUUUUCCAAUUUUUUCCAACUCCAAAUCCUCAACAAGAUGGCGCAAAAACCAAAUCAAGGAGUCAUAUGUCUCAGCUUCAACCACUACAUAAGCAAUUGGAAGCAUAUGAUCGUUCGGGUCUCUUCCAAUUGCAGUUAACAGUUGUCCACCCUGAGGAGUCUUUAAGAAGCAUCCGUCCAAACUAACAAACGGUCUACAGUGUUGGAAGAUUUUCUUGCAUGCAUCAAAGGAUACAUACAGUCUCUGGAAUACACAAUAAUUCAUCAAGAUUGGGUUCUGGAUCUCCUGAGCAAAAUCUAGGGACCGAAUCAUUUUCAGGUAAACGGAUGAUCCUGGAUUUGCUCUUAGAAGUUCAAACAAUAAUCGUUAAUCCUCUUAUACUGCUCUCUAAAUGCCCUGAAUCUGGCUCAAUGCCUUUUGCUUGGUUUUUACUGCCAUUGAUUUAGUCACAGUCAGAUUCCACUUUUUGUAUGCCUUUGCCACCAACUCCUUUAUUUUGAUUCUUGGAUUAGACUCCACCUUCUUCUUAAACUGGUUGUCUAGCCAUUUGGAGUUCAUUAUGCCAAUCCUGUGUGUUUGCAUGCAAGUAUGUUGCAAAUUUAAGCUUCUUAAUUGCCAUGUUGACUCCUCCCCGCCAAUCCUGUGUGCAUAAAGCCAAAAGAGGCACUCUUUGUGACAAACAGCCCUCUUCCAAUCUGUCCUCCACCUCCUAACUCUCCUGAAACACCCUCGUUAUGUUCCCCACUUUCUGCAUUCUGAAAUUCUAUUUCAACCUCAUCAUCAACUGCUUCAGUCAAAGGGUCAUCAUCCUUUACUAUCACACUCCUUUCUUGCUUUCCUUCAAAUACCAACUAUCUCAACACCAGCACCAUUAAGUUUCUCACUUUCAACGCCCCAAUAACUCCCCCUACAUUAAUAUAACUAACUUUCGGAAAUCCAUCCGCAUCCCCAACAUCAUAGACCACAAACAAAUCACCAAACCCCACAUCUCAGCUAUUUUGCACAUCUCAAUUACAUCUGAGUCACCUUUUAACAUCUUCAAGUUAUUUUCAGAAUCUUCCGUAGUUGGAUCUUUAUACCAUAAUGCUGCAAUGUUGGACUCCAAGUAUCCAAACCGUCUUAACUCUUCACAGGCCUCAACACAGAGCACCGAUUGCCAUCAAUUUUUUCGAUAAUUGUAGUUUGCCCCUUCAAAUGCUUAAAUACCCCGUUCUCAUAUCCGAAUGCACCCCAUGAUGCACCCUCAUGUAAAGUACACCGUCUUCUACUCAAACAACCUUAUUAUUAUUCAACAUAAUACAUUACUAAAACAAACAAGAAAGAAAAGAAAUAGAUCAUCACAAACCUAGCUUUAUCCACCGUCAAUGCAGUCUACAUUAAACCCUAAACAAUUCAGAUGCAGCAACAUUGUUGUAAAGCUUAAACCACCCAAAUGUAAGAAAUAUUUGAGGUGAAGCGACAUUGCAUGGAAAGCAAGCUUACCUCAACAACGGCUAUCUACAGCGAUGAAGAUGAGUGACGAAUGCGACAUCACGCCACACCCUCGGUCAAACUCCUAACAACAAAAUGUCUUCAACUACUAGCGUAGAUCAUCCUCGCAGGAACACUUUUGUAGGGUUUCACGCAAAUGUUUCAAAGACCAAGUGUGUUCUCAAAUAUUGUGAGUUAUUUGAGGAAGACGAAAUGAUUUCACGAGAAUAACAUGAAGGAAAAGAAACCAUAAAGAGCAAAAUCGUCUUUAAAAAGUAUUUUUUAGCCCGAAGGACGAUUUAAAACAAACUCGAACCUUAGGGACGAUUUUGUAUGAAAAAAAGAUUAGAGACAAAAAAAAUUUCGGCCUAUACAUUAAAGACCAAAAUUGUACUUAACCCUAUUGUUUAUUUGGUUAAAUUAUCUAUUUUUAUUAUGAAUUAAGUUACCUUAUUUUUUUUAUAUAAUAUUUUGUAUUUUCAUAACAACAUUUGGCUAAUUUUUUUAAAAAAGUACACAAAUAUAUAAUUAUUAAAUAUUUUAUUGAGUAUAUAUUCAAAUAGGUUCCAAAAAAUUUUGUAUAAGACGAUUUAGUCUUUGACAAUUUUUUAUUAUAAUCAAGGUCCCCCAAACUUUACAUAAACGAGACAUUUUAGAUAUCUAGUUAGUCAAAGUCGUUGACUACUAACAGUAAAAGUAGAUGUGGUCGUUAAGUUGCUGACGUGGCCAUAACGUUGUCACGUGUCGCCAGUCGGACUAAUAGGUCUUCCAAAUUAAAGGACAAAAGCGAUGUCGUUUUUUUUUUUUUUUUGAUAAAAUGCUGCUUUUCUACUUAAAUUCUGAAAUGAAUGACAGAAUACAAGAGUUCUUAUGUGAAUGUCAAUGCAAAAAAUUUUGAUAUAAAUUUGAAUGCGAUUGGUAUAUCUGAAUAUGAAUAUUGUUGUUUUAAUUUAAAUAAAAAUGCAGUAUUUUGUCCAAAAAAUUUAAUUAAAGAACCUAUUAAUUUGAUUGGCGAUACGUAAUAACAUUAUAGUCAGCAAUUUAAUGCUCACGUAGUCUUUGACUGUUAGUAAUUAAUAGCCUAAUUGUUUUAUAAAAUUCGAAAACUUUGAUUGUAAAAAAAUUUCAUUACACCAAAACGUGGAAUAUGAAAUUUUUUGAAUCUUAUUUGACCGUAUAUACUCUAUUUUAUUUAUUAAAAAAAAUCCUAAGAACAUUUGCCUAAUAAUUUCCUAUUUCGAACCACAGGGUUUCCGCACCAGUAAGCCCCCACAAAACCACAAACCAAACGACAAACCCUGCGCCACCUCUUCCACCACCAUCAUGGCACGGAUAGCCAGGUCCUCUGCGCCGCGCCUGCUCUACACCUUCUUCUCCUCCUCCGUGCCCCCGGCAUCUCCAUCGCCGUCUCCGUCUCCGGCGUCGUCCCUCCUUGCCGGUGCAUUCCACCUGCGGCACUUCUCGUCGGGCAACGCUGCUCGAGCGAGGGCGGCGGCGGCGGACAAGGAGCCAUGGUGGAAGGAGUCCAUGGAGCGGUUACGCAACAUCGGGAUCUCUGCUCACAUCGACUCUGGCAAGACAACUUUGACGGAGCGAGUGCUUUUCUACACUGGUCGUAUCCACGAGAUCCACGAGGUUCGGGGCAGAGACGGCGUCGGCGCCAAGAUGGAUUCCAUGGACUUGGAGAGGGAGAAAGGUAUCACUAUCCAGUCUGCUGCUACUUACUGCUCUUGGAAAGACUAUAAGGUAAUAUCUCUUUCUCUGCUAUUGAUAAACUGUUCCCCUUCUCCAAAUGGUUUUGUUGUUUUGCUAUUCCUCAAAUGAUAAAACAAUAUAAAAGUAGUUAUUUACUCCAAUUUUAGUCUAAUUUUUCAAAAAGUAAUUAUUUUUUUUACGUUUUCUGUAAAGAAAAUGUGUAUUGAAGUACCUGUCAAUCUACUAGUGACUAUGAUGAAUCAGUCAGUUUCAUUUCAGUGUUGCAGUUAUGAUUGGAGUUGAGAUUCAGUUGGAUGAAUUUUAUGUGGUUAUGAGUUGACUGAGCUCAGACUGAAUUUAAGUAUUAAAUCAAUUUUGAAGAGCUAAUGAGCUUUUAAUGUAUAGUGAGAUUUGAGUGCUGCUGUUACUGCAAUCCCUAACAUACUAAUUAUUGUUAUGGAUUAGUUAUUAGUUAUGAUGGAUAAUGGAGAAAAGGUUGAAAAGGUUUCUCUGUGUAAUCAUUCUUAAGUGGAAUUGAGAAAAUAAAAAAGUUAGUCUGCUAAGCAAAAGUAAAUUGUCUCGAUGACAGUCAGAAAUGUUGAAACAUUGGAAUAUUGGAAUAAGAAUUCUAUAUUAUACUUGCAGUACUGAUGACUUCCUUCUUUCAUCUCUUUGACUUGCUAAUUAUUUAUACUUUCUAAUUUUUGGGUAUAAAUAUAAUUGUAUCUGUAUUUCUUUUGGGAAAUUUGUCAUUGCAGAUUAACAUAAUUGACACACCUGGUCACGUUGAUUUCACCAUUGAAGUUGAGAGGGUUUUGCGUGUCCUUGAUGGUGCUAUUCUUGUACUUUGUAGUGUUGGUGGUGUGCAAAGUCAGUCCAUCACGGUAGAUUGUUUUUCACCAAUAGAUUAUCAUGAAGUCGAUGUACUGCAUUCUCCUUUAGCUUUAUAUGUAGUUUAGAAUAUUUAAUUAUUUUAUUAAAUAUUGAGUUUUAUUAUUGUGAUGUCAUUUUUCUUUGAGCAGGAAGCAAUUCGUAGGGCCACCAUAGCACUGAAGUUUGUACCAGUGUUCAUGGGUAGUGCUUUUAAAAAUAAGGCAACCAUUGAAUUACCUUUAGUUAUUAUGUGUAUUCUAUGCUAUAUAGUCAUUGCUUUCUGUAUUCCUCCUCUUUACAUUAUUAAUAUGUUGUAUCCUUAUUUUCCAUAUGUACACAAUGCACCUAAUUUGGAUUUUUUUUUUUUUCCUUUUCUUUUUUUGAGAACUUAAAUCCUCUUGGCAUAGUUGCCUCGACAUUCUGUAAUACACAACUGCUAUAAUGGUUGAGUAUGCAUAUCAUAUGGGAUCAUAAAUGGCAUGCAUCAUGUUAGCAGGUAUUUAAUAUUUGUCAGGAUGGCUCAAAAUAUUAGGAGUGUAAAAUAUUCAAAUAUUGCAAGAGGUAGCUUAAGUUGCCCAACCUACUAGAUCCUUUACGUUUGUUUUGAUUGGAUCAUAGAUGUCUGGGAUUUUUGAUCCCAUCAUAUGCCCAAAUGAAAUCAAAUACAGGUCAAUUUAUGACCAUACACAAUAAAUAUAAAGGAAUAAAAUAUUUUGUCCUGAUAAAUUUUUAUUAGAAUGCUGCUGUGUUUAUAACUAUCUAUUACUGACUACUAGUCUCCUAUUUGUGUUCGAUCUCCUAUCUUGCUUGUGAUAUUCUGGAUUGCUCUGUUAAUGUGGCGUGUAAUGUUUUGUAAUUUGUAUCAUUUAUUAAGUUACCUUUUGAUCGGGUUUGUGUAAUUGAUGAAUCUUUUUAUCAUCAAUUCGUCUUGGGUUGGUAUCCUUGCUCUCAAGUUCAAACUCCCAAACCCCCAAGAGGUUCUCUUGUACAUGCAUAUGCUUGCAGGCAUCCCUAUUUUUACCUUCUGCCUCUUAUGCUUUUCAUUGUCUUCUGUUACUGAUACAGGGAGUACAGCCACUUCUGGAUGGUGUACUUAAUUAUUUGCCAUGUCCAAUUGAAGUUAGUAGUUAUGCCCUUGACCAAACAAAGAAUGAGGAAAAGGUACCUGAUUUGUAAGAUGUUUAUCUUUGUUUUGCUUUGAUAUUAUGAUCUAUUUGUCAUAAAUUGUCAAUUGGCCUCUGAAUUUGCAGGCUAUUUUUUAAUGAUGAUUUAUAAGUUUCUUUAUAUUUAUAGAUUAGAUAUAUAUUUGAGUGGGAGUGAAAGAAGAAUAUUUGGUUUGAAGAAUCAUACAAGAAAAUAUAUGGAGAAUAGAGUAAAACCUAGAAAAAGGGGAAAAACAUCAAUUAAGAACUUGUUUAAUUACUCGAAUAAUUAAAUUUUCAUGGAUUUUUUAAAAUGUAAUUACUAGUUAAACAUAAUCUUUAAAAAAGUUAAAAAUUCUCAUGUGGACAUUUUCUUGCAUCUAUAGUAGCAUUUGUAAGACUCCAGGCAGAAAAAGUAAAUACAAAAUGAAAAAUAACAUAACUUAGAUUUAACCGGGAUGAUAACUAUUGCAUAAGUUUUCAAAAUAUAAAUCACAACUUAGUCAAGGGAAGGUUAAAUUAUUUUGAUAGAAAAAGAAAUUUUAUUAGGAGAGAGAAGAAUGUACACAAGAGGAUGGAAUAUCCUCACAUGGAUACAAAAUGGUAUCACCCAACAAACAGGACCAUGUACUAAAGCAUGCCAAUCCCUUUGAAUGUUAGCUAGAGGAAGUGAGGAACACCCUUAGACAGACCAUGUACUAAGCACCAAAGCGAGGCCGAAAAGGUAAUCGUAUCUCAAUUAAAUGAGUAGUCGAAAAGGAGCUGUUAAAAGGCAUGGACUUCCUUUACAAGUUUCAACCGAAUGCGCCAAAACACUGAAAAGUUACCAGUUGUAUUUGCUUCUUGGUAUGAUCCAAAACUCUGAAUGUGGUAAUUAGAAACUGAUGCAAAUCCAUUGGGAAAAACCCAAGGAUUUUAAAUGAUACCAAAAGGCCUCAAGAGUUCUUGCUGUGGCAAUGAGAGGCCUGCAAAUGAUUUUGCAAGCCGAUUUUGCAUUUGUGCUCUUGUUUCUUUUUUUAUUGAAUAAUUUAUCUAUGCACUUUCAGGUUGAGUUGACUGGAAGUCUUGAUGGGCCACUUGUAGCGUUGGCAUUUAAGUUGGAGGAAGGGCGGUUUGGCCAGUUGACAUAUUUAAGGUAAUAUAACUUCAAACUCUUUUUCAACAUAUAUAUGGCAGUAUCAAGUGAGAGAAGUUGGCUGUUAUGAGAGUGAGAGCAAUUCUUGGCUGCAUCAUCGUACAUGAAUGGUUGACGUACUUUAGAGCUCACAUGAUUACAUAUAGAAGUCGCCUCUCGUAUGACUGUAUGUAACAACUGGUACCAAUUGUAGGUAGAAAAGAGAUCAAACAGUACAGAAACUGAAGGAAAUGGGUAAAAUCCAAUGUGGCUUUACCCUUCCCCAGGUCAUAUGUGUUCUUUACUGAGAAAGGAAAAAACAAUGUGUGACAAAUGGCAGACUUUUGAGAGACCUGACUCUCUCCUAGUCUGAUUCUAAUCCCAACAAUCUGAAUGCCCUCCUCAGCAUUUUGUCACCUCCCAAUAUACUCCCCAACUCUCUUUUCUAACAAAAUCAUUUCACUACCCCUCCCCACCAGUCUUGCCACCCAGAGUUACCAGUCCCUCGGGCCCAUAUUGCGCUCCCCUCCUCCCCGUCCUGAGCAUUUUGUUUUUCCACAACCGAGAUUUACUCAUUUUAUUCUCACCAUUAACCAUUUUAUCACUUUCCCUGCGUGUGUUUGUCUGCAUAUAUUUUGUUUUGAAUGUGUUAACUUUGUAAAUUACACAAAAUUAUUGGAUUGUUUUCUCAAUUUUCCCUCCCCCCGGCUUUGGGUGUUG